UUUGGGUGUAGGUAAAAAAAGUAUAUCUACUCCAGAAAAUUUGUAUUUCUAUGUGUCACAUUUUAUAAUUUGAAAGUUUAAUAAUAAAAUAUCUUUUUGGCCAAACGUACUAAGUGACACAUGAAAUAACACACAUUCUAUAAGACAACAAAUAUGUUUCAAUAGAGUAAAAAGUAAAAAAGUAUUUUAAGAAAAAAAAAAAAAUCCAGGGGGGGCAGCUGCCCCCACCUGUACCUUCCAUGCUCCGCCCAUGUGCAGAAGGUGAGAGUGAAUGAAUGAUAGAGGAGAGGAAUGAAUCACAAUGUAUAUUACUUGCCUUGAGUUUUAGAGAGUACAUACUAUUUAUAGAAACCAGUUAGUAACAGAAAAAAACUAACUUUCUGUUUAUAGUAAGAAUUACAAAAAUGCUUAACACAUAUAUCCAGUCUUUUUGGAUUUUUUCCAAUGCUUAUUCUUCCCGUUAUCUUUCUCUCUUCUCUGUCCACUCGUAACCAGUUUUAUCUGGCAAAUAUACAUUCUUUUUAUUUCUUUUUUUUUUUAUAAAUUAUAUCAUAUGAUUCUGUUUUUAUUCUUUUUUUAAUAAAUAAUAGUAAGGAGUUAAACACUACCUAUGCUUCUGUUUUGUGUUUUAAUAUAUUGAGAUUAAUGAAAACAAUAAUAAUUACCGUAGUAAAAUAAUGAAAUAACAAAUGUCCUUUUUGGUGAAAUGUAUAUUUAUACAAAUAUAUAAAUGAAAAACAUAAAAUUUCAACUUUUAUAUUUUGCUGUAAAUAUUAUUUAAUUUCUAUAUACAAAAAAACAUAAUCCUAAGUAACCACCACCAACCAUUAACAUUCAUCUCAUCUUAAAUUGAACAUUAUAAAAAGACAAAAAAAAAUUAUACAUUAUUCAAUUAUUGAAUUGAUCAUAAAUCGUACUCAAGGAUAAAUCCAAAAACAUACUGCAUGAAAGAGUAGGAUAGAUAAAGAGGUGCCAAAUAUACAUGUCUCUAAUAAAUAUUUAACAAUAGAUUAUUUUUUAUAAAAAUAUUAUUAAUAUAACAAAAUAUAUACAAAGAGAGGCCAACCACAUGACAUGGAAUUUCUUUAGCAUAUUGAGUCUUAGAUCUAUCAUGGGCACAUUUAGGAUAUUGUACUCACUAAUAGUGUUUGCCCAUUCAAAUCAUAAAAAUAGUUAAGGGAUUAUAUGACAAAGUAAAGGGGUUCGAUUCCUGUAAGUAACAUUUAUUAAGAGUAACAGUUAUAUUCCCCAAAAGAGAUUAGUUAUUUACCAAAAAGGGUAAGAGAAUCCCUUGGUAGUACCCAAAAUAAUCAAUAUUUACAAAGGUGUUCUAUGAAACCCACUCUAAUAAUCAAACAAAACUACAUUGACUUACUAAUAAUCCUCUUCAUUCCUUUCCCAUCACAAACUAUGUUUUAAAUAUACCAAUGACUAUGUAGUUACAUUAUCAUCUGCUCCAAAAGGCUCACAUCAUUAAUUUGGCUAAUUGUUCCCUUUGUUUCUGUAAUUUGUCACAUUGAAAUAUUCAGGAAGGUAUCAUUAAAUUUGCUGCUUUCAGAAUCAAUUAUUGAUGCAUGUAAAAAGAUACACAAUCCAAGAUAUAUCAAGUUCCAGAACUCAUGCUCAUAAAGAACAGUUAAGAACACUGGAAUUUACAGCAGUAACUCACAAAAACACCCUUCAGCCUUGAGAUUCAGUAUUAUUAGAGGUACAUUCUUGAGGCAACAUGGGCUUUAAGAUUUGCACAUGAUAUAUAAGUAUAGUGAAGCAAUUCACUAAAAGCAAAAUCUAAUACAUUUUAGGAAGAUAACUGCUUAACAACUUCAAUUUGCCCGGUCUCUGAGCACUUCAAGAUCCAUUUCUGUGGGAUCAGUAGCCUGGAUUUCAUAGUGAACACCAUCUAGCUGACGUAUAAACCUGUCUUUAGAUGUGGCGUAGAGCAUCUUGGCACGGAUGCGAGAUGUUGAAGGAGACCUAACCGAUAUCAUGCAGUGAAAGAAUUCUAGUUAUAUCAGUGGCAGAUUCAUAACAAAUGUAUAUAUGAAUUAAGACUACACACAAUGAUGAGUAUGAAAGCACAUUAAAAGCUACUAUAAAAAAAACUCCAACUUGUCAAUAAGGCACAGGACUGAAAAAAUGCAGCACUCACAAUCACAACAGAAAGAGGAGGAGGUCUAAUUCCAACUGAGAUAUUUAAACCUAAUACAGAAAAUGAUAAUGUGAUAGCUAAGAUACAGUUCAAACAAAAUAUAGAAAAUUAAUGGUCAAAGUAAUCCAUCAAACUAUAAGCAAAACCUUUAAAAUCAUAAAAUGGGUCAUCUAUUAUUUUCUUUCAGUUGCUUUGUACUCAAAGGUACAAAAUGCAACUAUUAGCCAAUGCCCUAGAUUAGAUUCUGCACGAGCCUCAAGUGUCAUGGACAAGGUCCAACAAACAUGAAGAUAAAGUACAAUACCAAUAGUGAGGUUUUGAAUUCUGGAGAGAAAGUAAACUAUAUCAAGGAUGUGCAAGUUUAGUUGAAGUAUAGAUGAACAAUGGACAAGACCUUCUUUCCCUUCAUGAGAUCAUCAUCUUAUCUGAAGAUACUAAAAUAAUUAUCUGCUAGUCUCUAGAAGACGAUACUUAUGGAAAUUUUGUAACUACAUAAUGCACUGGCAACAAAAUAGUAAUGUGCAAAUUGCUUAAUCUCAUCAAAAUUUGAUUUUCUUCUUUAAGAUAAGAUUUUUAACAAGAGGAUGAGCACUAGCAUAACAGUAAAGUUGUUCUCUUGUGACAUGAAGGUCACAGGUUUAAGUCAUGGAAAAAACCUUUCUACUUGCAGGAAACAAGUUUCUGGUUUCAGCCAAGGAAGCACUAGACAGUAUCCUCGUACAUUGGACUGUUUUUUUUUAGAUUUCAGCAAAAAAGGUUAGAAUCCCUGUCAGAACAAUUAAAUUCUCUAAAAUAUCAAUGUUAAAGUUAAAACUAGACAAAUUAACCACCCCAAAAAAUGGAAAAGAAAAUUACGCCUAACAGUUAGGCCAUUCAAGAAGCUUACUCAUGUAUGAUUCAAUCUAUUGAAGCAUGAAGAUGUUUGUGUUGUUUUAAUCACGUCAGAUUUUUUCAUACUAACAUAAGCAUUUGAAGACUGUAAAAUCUUAUCUGAAAUUUAAAUGCUCUGUUUGCCCUUAAAAUGUGACUGACAGAAUGCCCCGGUACAAAUUGAUUUCUGACAGCAGCAAACAGAUUAGAGAUGUGGUAAAAGGGAGAAUGGUACCAAAAAGCUACAAGUUUCUAGAUUCGCUAGAAUAUAAAGCUUAAUAAAUGAGUCAGCCUAGUGCAUGAGGCUCUCACCUAGUGGGGUAUGGGAUAGGUAGAUGCGCGCAGCCUUAACCUUGCAAGCGGAGAGGCCAAGAUUUGAACCUGUGACCUCAUCGUCAUAAGCCGCAACCUUACCAUUGUGCCAAGUUCACCCUCUAAUAGAAAGCUCAAUCAAUGUAAAAGAAAUUGCAUCUAAACAAAAACACGAAAUUCAGCCCAAAAUAAUGAAACAAUAAACAUAUGGUGCCAUGAAUAGAUAACAUGCAAAAUAUACACUAAAGGCAAAAGCAAGUAGCGUCAUGGCAUGUUGAGUUAGAGAAAUUCAAGUAACGGCGUAGUGCAUAAAUCAUAUGUGCUGCAAGAUUUCCCUUAUUGCACAUCAUGGACCACAUUUUACAAACAUCACUAUCUACUUUGUUAGUCAGAGCAACAAUGCUGCUCUUGAAGACAAAUACACAUGAAUAUUAAAGAAAGAGGUGGAAUAAACUAACCAUGCAAUGAAAAAGAUUUUACUCUUUUGACAGUUCUCAGAAGUGACAAAAUCAAAGUCGAAGACAGCAUAUCUGCAAUCGUUCUGAGGCAAAGAUGCAGCAAAAUCAUCAUAGCUCUCAGAUGGAACACCGGUCUUCUCAACCACAACCUCCCUUUUACUUUCAUCAAUCUUAAAGAUCACAUAUCGAUAAACCUUCUUUAGUUUCAAGUCCAUGAAUGUAUUUUGGCUGUGAUCAGCAACACCCAUUCCUGAUGAAGCAUUUGGCUGCAAACCAAAUGUAGCUGGGUCAACAAAGUGAUUUUUAAACAAAGAAAUCUCUAGUGCCUGUCAUUGAGAGAAAUUCUUGGUCUCUUGGGAUGAAAUUUCCUAACUUUUUACACCGGAAAAUCAUUUUCCUAAAUAGUGUAAAGUGAUGUUAAUAAGGGCACUAUUAGUUUCAGGAGAAAUUAGACUAACCUCUGUCAAAAUUUAACUUAAUUACAUCAAGCUGCAGUUUUUAUAUGAAAAUUUACUCCGAUCCACACUUGAGUUUAUAUUAUUACAUUUACAAAGUUGAGAUUUAUGCUAUCAUUACAUUUACACCCCCUUCAGCCUAAUAUCAAGUGAGAUCAGUAUAAUUAUGAAACCACAUAUAGGUACAAAAAACAACAACUUAUCCUUGAUCCCAAUAAGUGGAAGUUGGCUACAUGGAUCGAACUACCCGAUAAUGCUAAUCAUUUUCAUUUAUCUCUAAUUUUUUACUAAUGAUUUCACCUACAUUUUUUCUUGACCUCCCUCUUCCGAUAGAAAUUGGACAAACCUUCCUGUUUGAUCUAUUCUUCUUAACGAGACUUCCAAAAGUCCCCUCCACACGUAUUUCCAAAACACGGAAGAAGCGACUCUACCUUCUUUUCUACACCGAUUACAAAUAUAUAACUACAGACAUGACAAAAAUAUAACCUCGAGUGAAAUCAGUAGCAAUUUGUAAAGCUAAGGUUUAAAUGAUGGAGCAUAGAAACCAAAAGCACCACAUCUGAAAAAUAUGAUUCACCAAUCAUGACCCAGAAAAAUAUGGGAUUGGAAAGUAAAAUGGUGAUUCAAAGUUGAAAGCUUUUAUUUGUCUGGAAUAAAAAGAAAUUAGAGGAAUUUGAUUAAAGUAAGUGGGAAGUAGCAGAAGAUGAGAUUUGAAGUUGAUAAUCUUACACGGUUGAGCCAUCGGAAAGACAUGACAGGCAGAGACUACAGUAGAAAAGAGACAGAGAGAGGCGGCGAACAGUUGGUAACUUCGAUUUACUCAAAGAGGCAAAGCAAGAACUUUCGAUUCAACUAUAUAUAUAUAUAGUAAAUUAGAGUGACACUUUGGUGAAAUUAUUCACUCCAUUUUUUUUAUAAAUAUUGAUUACGUGCAUGAGGAAUAAACAUGAUCUAUAAAAUAAAAAAGAUGAUAAAGUGUAAUUAAGUUAAACAAAAUAUUAUAUAUUGUAGAGAAAAAUUCAAAUAAUAUAUAAUUCAAAACAUUUCCAUUAUUUUUUGUUUAUUAUAAGAUGCAUUAAUAAUUAUAAGAUAUAUUGUUUACAUCACUCUUAUAUUGUAUUGUAAUGAACAACAAAUAAUGAAAAUAUACUCACAUACUAUUUAUACUUCUAUCUAUAAUAUAUUAUAUUUUGUUUAACUUAAUUACACUUAUUACCUUUUUUUAUUUAAAAAUCAUACUCAUUUCUCACAGAUGAGUAGUUAGUGUUAUGUAUAUAUAAAAAUUAGAGGUUUUUUGUUUGUGUAAAAAAUAGAAGGAUAAUUUAGUGUUUAAGAUGUUCUUUAGAAUUGAGCAGGGAUGGUCAGUAUCGAACGUCAGUAGAAUGGAGAUGAUCAGAAGUCUUGGUCGGAAUAUUGUCUAGACUCGUCGGGGGAGGUACCUGAAAAGGUUCUCCGACGAUCAAGUCAAUAUAGAGUCUUAGAGAGUGAAUGAGAAUAAGAGAGAAGUUAGAACAAUAGCAAUAAGUGCAAGCAAUAAAUGAGAAUUAAUUAUACUUUUUAUGUGGAAUCCUCUAUUUAUAGGGUUUUGGGGCUGCUGAUAUGAAAUCUGGCCAUUGGUUAGUACAUGGUAGGUAAAAUGGAAUGUGCAAGUGGCGUGGCAGGUGGAAUGUCAGUUUGCAUUAAAGGUGAGCCAGUGGCGCAUUGAAGAUGAAGUUAGAGAUGCAUUAAAUAAUAGACUAGAAGCAUUAAUGGCACGUCAUAAGCAUUUAUGACACUUAUAGUGGGUAUUACCUACCUUAAGCGGGUGAGAGAGGUAUACAUAGCUUAGGUCAAAUGUCUGGGGUGGGUUAGAAACAACUUAGAUUUAUCCAGGGUGGAACAGUUGCUUCCAGUCUAUCAGGUCCGGCAGAAGUGGUCGGGCUGGUAGACUCAGGAUGUUCCGAUCUGGUGAUUUUGGGUAGCAUCUAGGUGUAGGGGUAGGUCAUGUCGAGCUCGCUUGAUACAUGAAUCCGGUUGUCAGUCCUUUAUCUUUUUCAAAGCUUCUAAUUCUCAGUAACUCGGUAAUUCCUUUCUCUCUUUUCCUUUUAGGCAUAAGUUUUUCCUGUUAUACUAAUGUUGAGCGGAGACUCUAGCCUUGACAAGGUGGAGAUCUUGUCCAGACCUGCACCUGUUUUUAUUAACGUCGCCCCUUGUCGCAGUCAACAAGCUCAGCUUGCUUCCAUUCUGGGUAGUAGUUGGUCCCUAUGGAGGCGACCGAAGCAAUUAUCCCUGCCGGCCUUAUUACGUAAUCUGAGAAAGAAGAAGGCCGAAAGUGAGGUAACCCUGAUGGACUAGGCAGCUCUCUUAGAGAAGUAGCAUCUGGUCUUGAAUAAUAUGUCCAGUUUGGAGUCUAACACUUCUUCUAAUGACAUGUAUAUUAUUGGGGGCUCUCAAAGUUAUGGAGCGGUCUUGUAUCCUUCGCUUGUUUUUCUAGAUGUUCCGAGUGACCCAUAGCACGAACAAAGACCAAGCUAGGGCUGGGCGCCAAGGGUGGACAACUCUUCAAUCUCGGAAUGGUCGCGCUCUUUCCCUUCCCUUCGAAGGGUCAGUAAAGAAUUGGAAGGGUGGCUUCUUCAGCGUGGAAGCUCGAGGGACACGCCAUACUUGGGCGUAUGGUCCCGACUACCUCCCCUCUUCCCCUUUUCUUGGAAUGGGGAAAUCCAUCAAAAGUCCACCGACUCCUUCGCUUUCGCAUAUGAACAGUUGGACGAUCGAGAGAAAUGGCGGAACAAGGACAAGUCGCCUGCCAUUCCACCUACCACGCCGCCUGCACAUUCCACCUGCCCCCGACAAGUCAACAAGCGCAGACCUGAAGGAGGAACAAAGACAACCCGACAUAUCCCCAUUGUACCUACCAUGUACUAACCAAUGGCCAGAUGUCAUAUCAGCAGCCCCAAAAUCUUAUAAAUAGAUGAUUCCACACAUGGAGUAUAAUUAUUUUCAUUCCUUCAUUUAUUGCUUGCACUUAUUGUUAUUGCUCUAACUUCUCUCAUAUUUACUCCCAUUCCCUCUUUAAGACUCUAUACUGACUUGAUCAUCGGAGAAUAUUUUCAGGUAACUCCCCCGGCGGAUCCAAACAACAUUCCGACUAAGACUUAUGAUCAUCUCCAUUCUAUCGGGCGUUUGAUACCGACCAUCCCCAUUCAAUACUAAAGAACAUUAGUGUUUAAGAUUAUGAGUGUCUUAACGUCAUGGAUUUUCCAUUUUAUAUACUCCUUUAUUUUAAUAUUGAUAAAUUCUCAAAAUACAACGAUAAAUUUUUUCAAACAAAUAAAAUAAUACUUUUUGAAUAAUCAUCCAUCAUUUUUUAUAUUUUUUUUUGUUCAUUUUAGUUUUCCAUUUCAUCCCCUAAUUAAAUUGUUUUGUUAAGUUUAUUUUGUUCAUUUUAGUUUUCCAUGUCAUCUCCUAAUUGUUUUAUAUUAAAUUAAGUUUAUUUUGAUUUAACCAUGUGCAACCAAAAUUUUAACAUAGCUAAGAAGGACUAUGUGCAAGAGGAAGAGAGAGUGCAGAGAGAUAAGACUGAAAGUACUCACUUAGUUAUGACCUCUCAAAAUAAGAAAAGAAAGAACAAUAAGGAUGUUGCGAAAGGGCUAUUUGUGUUUUCCUCAGAGAAUGUGGAAUUGUUCUACAAUACAUUAUUCCAUGCAAACCUAGCAUGAAGGGUGUUGUUGAGUGAUUAAACUGAACUCUUAAGGAUAUAGUGAGAAGUAUGAUUAGUCAUUCUUCCUUGGUAGAGUCUAUUUGGGGGAAAGCUUUAAAGACUGUAGUUUACAUCCUUAAUAGCAUGCCAAGUAAAGCAGUUAACAAAACCUCAUAUGAUUUUUGGACUGAUAAAAGACCAAGCUUAAAACACUUGCAUUUUGGGUUGUCCAGCUGAGGCACGACCUUAUAGGCUGCAUGAAAGAAAAGUGGACUAAAGAAUAGUUAGCGGUUAUUUUGUUUGCUAUGCUGAACACUCUCGAGACUAUAAAUUUUAUGAUCCCACUUCACGACUUUUUUUAGACGAGAAAUGCAAGAUUUCUUGAGGAAGUUGAAUUUGGGAGGAAGAGAACAUAAAGAAUGUUGUCUUUGAGAAAAAACCUACCACUAAUGGUGAGCAAGUUCUUGUGCCUAUUACCAUUCAAGGAACAACUUCGGUAAUAGAAGAUAAUAUUCAGAAUAUUGUUCCUAAAAAUAUUCUUGAACAAGACAACAAUGAGGUUCUCCCUCAAUUACCUAUAGAAAAUAUUCAAGAACCUCAAGAAGUAAAAAUGUCAUCAAGUAGAUCCACUAGAAAGGAGAAGUGCAAUUCCUGAUGAUUAUAUUGUAUUUCUUUAAGAACAUGAGGAUGACAUUGGGUUAACAUAAGAUGAUCUAUUGAACUUCUAUCAAGCCAUGAAAAGUUAUAAUUCUCAAAAGUGGAUCGAUGCCAUGAAGGAUGAGAUGAAGUCUAUGCAUAAUAAUGACAUUUAGGAUCUUGUCGAAUUACCUAAAGGUGCGAAACCUGUUGGUUGCAAAUAGAUAUUUAAAACGAAGAAGGAUUCGAAGAAUAAUAUUGACAGAUAUAAAGCUCGUCUUGUUGCUAAAUGCUACACUCGGGAAGAGGACAUUGAUUAUAAAGAAACUUUCACUUCAGUAACUUCGAAUGAUCCUUUUAGAAUAAUAUUGGAACUAGUAGCUCAUUUUGAUUUAGAGCUAUAUCAUAUGGAUGUUAAGACUACGUUUCUAAAUGGUGACAUUAAAGAAACGACCUAUAUGGCGCAACUAGGAAAAUUUGUGUUAGUUGGCUCAAAGUCUAUGGUAUGCAAAUUAAAGAAAUUCAUCUAUGGCCUUAAAUAAGCUUUCCAUCAAUGGAAUCACAAUAUUCAUCAAGCUAUUACCUCGUAUAGUUUUGAGGCAAAUAAAGUUGAUAGUUGCAUGUACCAAAGGUUCAGUGAGAGUAAAUUUAUAAUCUUGAUAUUAUAUGUCAAUGAUAUACUGCUUGUUAGCAGUGAUAUGAGACUAUUGCAUGAGACCAAGAGAUUUCUAACGAAGAAUUUCGAAAUGAAAGAUCUUGGAAAAAUUUCUUUUGUAUUAGGUAUUCACAUACUGAGAGAUCACUCUCAAGGUAUCCUAAGGUUGUUACAAUAAAGCUGUAUAGAUAAAGUCCUAGAUAGAUUUGGCAUGAAAUACAGCAAACCAGUGGAUACCCCUAUAGCUAAGAAAGACAAGUUUAGUCUUAAACAGUGUCCCAAAAAUGACCUUGAAAGAUCCGAUAUGCAAAAGAUUUUUCAUGCAUAUGUAGUAGGAAGUCUAAUGUAUGUUCAAGUUUGUACACGUCCCGACAUAACGUUUGUCGUGGGAGUUUUGAAAGUUAUUUGAGCAAUUUUAUAAUGCAUCAGUGGAAGACAAUCAAACAUGUUAUGCGCUACUUAAAGAAAACAAAUGAUUACAUGUUCAGUUAUUAAAUGUAUGAGAAUUUAGAGAUCAUUGGGUAUUUUGACUCCGAUUUUUGGGUGUCUAGACAAUAGACACUCCACCUCUGGAUAUGUGUUUAUCUUGGUUGAAGGUGCUAUAUCUUGGAAGUCUUCUAAAUAGACGCUCAUAGCUCCUUUAAUCAUGGUUGCGGAUUUCAUGGUUUGUUUUGAAACAUCAGACCAUUGCAUAUGGUUGCGGAAAUUUUGUCACUGGUUUACGUGUGGUUGAUGGUACUAAAAGACCACUGAGAAUUUGUUGUGAUAGUAAGUUUGCGGUUCUUUACUCCAACAAUAAUAUGAGUUCUAUAAAGUCAAAAUUUAUUGAUAUCAAGUUUUUGGUUGUUAAAGAAAGUGUUCAAAAUUGACAAAAUUCCAUAUAACAUAUAGGGACAAAUUUAUGCUAGUUGAUCCAUUGACUAAAGGCUUGGUAUCUAAAGUCUUUCAUCAGCAUAUUUCUCAUAUGAGUAUUGCUCCUUAUGAUACUUUGGUUCAAUGUGAGUCUAUAUGUUUUAUGACUUAUUUUGGACGUUAUAUAUAGUUUUAUGCAUAAUAAAGUCAAUGGUUUAUUGUUCUAUUUUGAAGUUAUAUAUUGUAAUUAUUGUGUUGCAAUUAAGGACUUUGGAUUGAUCUUACUAAAUAAUAAAGAAGGACCAGUUGGAAAUAGAUAUGUUUGAGAUCACAUUGCAUGAAAUUUCCAUGUCACUCAUCCAUAUUUGAUUUUUAUCAUUAGUAUAUUAAUAUGAUAUUCAUCGUGGUCGAGUCACGUUUGAAUGUGAUGAAGGUCGCUGUGGUUCUAUAGUUGAUAUAUGAGAUGAACCAGAUUGUAUUAAGGAGAAGUCUAAAUAUAAAUAGCAUACGGAUGUGCGCAUAAAGAAUAUGUGGUAUAAUUGUUUCAUAAAAAAUAUGAAGCUCAAGUGGAAGAUUAUUAGAAGUUUAUAAUUUCUAAUUAAGGUGGACAUCAUAUAUUUAAUACAAUUAUAUCGACUAUUUAUUUCGGGGUUGCAAAUCAAGUGAUCUAAUUAAUGACAACCUAAAAGACUUCUGAAACUUAUAACGAAUAUAAGUUUAAUGAGUGGAUACCCAAACAGUUGGCCUAUAAGAGAUAAUGGGAACCCUAUAAGUUAACACACAAGGAGCGGUUAUGGUCCCUAAGAUACCAAAUCACAAAUAGUUUUCACAUAUCUCCAUCAGAGAGAAAAUGAAGGUCCCAAAAGGAAUUAAUGAUUUGGUUCAGGAAGAUCAUCAUACCAAAACUCUCUCAAAAGAUAUAUCAAAUGAGUAGAUCGGAGAAUAUGGAUUCAAGGAUUCAGAUAUCAUUUUGUAUCCUUGUUUUAUAUAAUGUGUGAGAAUCAUGAGAUUUAAGAUCAUAUGAUUGAUAUUUCAGCAAUCGUUAGUAAAUAUCUAACAUUUUUUUGCUCCCGAAGAAGUCUCAAAUAUUACCCUAAAGAAUAUCUUGUAAAUGGAGAUGAUAGGGGUGUCAGGAGAUCCAACCAACAUAGUAAUGAUAGUGCGAUUGAGAUAAGAUUUGGUGAUUUAGAGGAGGAGACCAAUGUUGAAGACAAGUACUCUUUCAAUUUGGAUGCAAGGAUUGUUCAUGAAAAAACCAGAGAGGAAUGCCAUGUUGUCAUGUCCUUAUUUCUAUUUAUGUAUUUGUUUAAUGUCUAGUUCAAUUGAAAGGUGUCAAGAAAAGUCUUAAAACAAACCUAAUUCAGUGAAAUAUAAUUGAUUAAAGACAGUAAAAAAACAUGAUUUUUUUUGGACAAAUAAUUUUAUGCUAGGAAGACCUAAGAAGAGAAGGAUCAAAGCAUUAAAUUCAUGAGUUGUAUAAACUUUUUUGGUACUACUAAAUAUAUUUUUUACUGUAUGAUUAAGAAAUUAAUCUCUUAUAGGGUGUGUGGUUGUCACUUCUAAUAAAUGCUGCUAUUGAACCCUUAACAUUUUGGUCUUUCUGAGAAUUUAACGAGAUCUUAUAUCACUAGACCAAUGUAUAAUUGGUAUGAGUCAUAUAAACUACAAACCUUUUAAAAAUAGUAAUUUUUUUAUUUUCUAUUAUUAGUAAAUCAAAUCAUACUUGGUGAUAAUCGCCUAUCAGUUUUCAAAAUUGUGUAGUGUUUAAAAUUAUCUAAAAAAUAAUAUGAGCGAGAUAUUAAAUAAAAGAGAGUGAAUCCACUUAUUUUAGGAGUAGGUUCAAAAUACAUACUAUAUAUAUUUAGUAUAUGAAAAUUUAAUGGGUCAUAUGAACUAUGUUUUUUAACUUACUCGUGGAGUAAUGAAUUCCCUCUUCUUUUAGUACUACCAAAAGUAUCAAUUCGCCAUUUUCUUCUCUAAAUGAAAUAUAACAUUUUCUUAUAUAUAAAAUUAUGAAUUAUAUAAUAAAAAUACUCAUCUUUAACUUAAUUUUAUACAUAUAAAAUCUCAACUAAAAGAAGAUAAUAGUAAACUUAGUCCUCUAAAGAUUACAUUGGCAUUAACUUAGGUUGCCUUUAGUUGGGGAGAGUAUGUAGAGAAAGAAAGUAAAAGUGAUGGACCCAUCAACUUUUAGUUUCUUCUCUCAUGUUAGAAGAAAUGGUAAACAAAGAAAGUUUUUUUGUAUUUAUAACAAUGCAUUAGGGCAACUACAAUGAUUGUUCUUAACAUAAUAAGAAUUUGUUCCCCCAUUGUGCUAUUCUUAUUUUCUGAUUUUUAACAGUUUUUUGUUGUUCUUAGUCAAAGGAAAAUGAGGAAAGAGGUAGAUUUUCUAGAAAAAAUAGAUAUUGUGGGACCCAAAUAAAAAUGAAAUUUUUGUUAUCUAUUGGAGAUGUUCUUAGCUUUAUCAAAUCAUCAUUGUUAUUUAAAAGGGUAAAAUUAUCUUUUUAGCAAAAACACAUUUUCUCCCCUUCUAAUUCUUUCAUAUCAAAGAACUCUUACAAUCAACUCAUUUUUUCUUUCUCUCUAGUCAUACUCUUUCUUUUUAUCUUCUCUCCACUCAUACUCAUCCUAUUUUCUUCUGAAAAAAUGUUACUAAACUAUUCCCUUAAAUAUUAUAUUUUUCACCAAGUUAGUGAUUGAAAGAAAUUGUAAUCAUAUUAAGCCAUAUCUUAUCACAUUAGUUUCUUAAAGAACAUAUAUGUUGGUGGUACCGAAUAAGAUGAGAAAUUGUACAAAUAUUAAUAUAUUUAUCAUAAUUGAAUAAUCUUUACUUGACUUUAACUUAACUAUGACAGUUAUCAUUUUUUUAAAAUCAUUAAUCAAUAUGCAAAGAAUUUUUAUAUAACCUAUAUUAUAAAUAUAUGGCCAAGUUCAUGACCAUCCAAAUAUGAUGUUAUAAAUAUUUUACAAAUUUAUCACUAACUUAGUUUUUCAAAGGUCGUGGUGUCAUGACAUAAUUUUCCAAUAAUUUAUUUUAUUAAACUUGUCCAUUAAAAAUUAGAUUUGGUAACACGUAACACGUUAGCCCUUUAUUAACAGAGAUAUUAACUUCAAAAAAAACCUGUCUCUGAAAAAGUAAUACUUUCAGCUUUUUGAAAUAUAGUCUUUGAAGAUUAAUCUAAUAAUUUUUUAUCCUCUUUAAUACUAGAGGUCAAAUAUUUGAAUUCGGAGCUCAAAUUAUUUUUAUGAUAUACUAGGUCAAAUAUCCGACGAAUGAUAUUACAUAUUCAAUUUUUAUAUAUUAUAUUUUUUUUGUUUAUGAUAAUGUUUAAUUUAAUGUGAGAUAUGUGAUUAAUUAAUGCAUUGGUGGUAGUUGCUUAGGAUUAUAUAGUUUUUUUUGUAAAAAUUAAAUAAUGUUAAGAGGAAUACAAAAAAUAUUACACCAUGAGGGAAGUUAUUUCAAGUUUUGGCUUUAUAUAUAUAUAUUAUAUUUCAAAUUUGCACCGUCCAUUUCCUUUGUUUUUUCAAAACACAUAUCAUAAUCUUUUCUUUUAAAUUUCCUGGAGGGUAAAAAAAGAUGUAAUGAGAUUAAUCUAAUUACAAAUUUAUUUGAGAACCAAGUUGAUGAUUCAUCUUUACAUGCGAAAUUAACCAUAUGGAUCCUCGAAAAACCAAAACUUUGGUUGAAAUGGAUAUGUUCACUUCAAAGGAAAAUAACUCCGUUUCUACACGUUCGUUUUAUAGCGUGUGUUAGGUGAAGACUGUUCUAGUUCCUUUGAGAGCCUCGAAAUCCUUUACCUUUUCAUCAAAUUUGAAUUCUUUCAAUGGAAUUGCUGGUAACUACUCUAACAACAAGCCUCUCUCUCUUUUCUUCUGUCUGUGUAUUGCAAUUUCUAAUUUUUUGCAUUGAAAAAACUUCAGGAGAAGCUGAAGAUGCAGAAGAAAAAACAACCAGACAAUAACGAAGUCGAAGGUGGUCCUGUGUUUUGGUUUGAAACCUCUGUUUCUGUUUCUCGCCGCUUUCAGUUUGAACCACAGGGCCAACUUUCUGUAUGUUCCUCUCUCUCUCUCUGUAUUGAUGUGUAAAUUAUAAUGAUAAAUGGGUAUUGGGUCUAUGUGUGAUUGAAUUGUGGAUGUAUAAUGUAGUAGUAUAAAUAGGUUUAGGGUUAAUUGUGUUUGUGAUAAGCAAAAGAAAGAAAAAGAGUAGGUAGCAGAUAGAAAAUGAUGUGUAAGAGUAAUAAGUGAUGGGCACUUUUGAUUUGAGAAGAAUAUUUGCAAGGUACCACUUUUGUACACUUUCUUUGAGGGGAAAAGUCUAGUUUCUCAAGCUAGGGAUUAACAUUUUAUGUUUUGUACCUUUGUUCAUUGUUAGUAUCAUAUUAUUAGGUAAAUGAUAGUACUUAAUAUGUUUGUAAUGAGCCAAUGACUAAUGCUAACCAUUAAAACAUUGAUUCUGUAUUUUCACUUAAUGUGAUUUUAUGUUUAUUUUAUACUAAUUUUAUAUGUUGAAGCAUAGCCGUUUUGUAAUAUAAUUUAUAUAACUGCUGUGUCAUGAUAUCCUUGCUUUAUGAAUUUGUAUCCUAUAUUCCUAUGUCAUCUACUCAUAUGUGUGCUUCCUAGAUGAGUUUCUUUGAAGUCUAGGUUUGGCCAAUCCUUUCCUUUCAUUACCCGGAAAAAAUGUAUAUUUUAUUUUUCGUUUUCUAUGCAGGUAAAGAUUGUUGAUGAUUCCAGACCAUUGCACAGCAGGGUUGUUGAGUCUUUCCUGCAUAAAUUUUUCCCUUCUGGAUAUCCAUACAGGUAGUUUGAUUUUUUAUUGAAUAUGUUGCAAGGCAUAGUUAUUAUAUCUUAGACAAGCUAGUUUAGAUUUUUAGUGUUCAAUUUGCAGUGUGAAUGAAGGCUACCUUACCUACACUAAGUUUCGAGCAAUGCAACACAUUACCAGUGCAGCACUAUCAGUGUUAUCAACUCAGGUCUUCUUCUGAUAACUUGAAAACCUCAGCAAAGCAUGUAACCAUAAAAAAGUUCACGUCUUUGAUGUUCUAAAAUAAAAUCCAUUUACCUAGCCACUGAAAGAAAAGGGUGGUCCAGUGCACGAGGCUCCCACCUAGUUGGGUCUGGAGAGGGUAGAUGUGUACAAUCUUACCCUUGCAAGCAAAGACGUUGUUUCCAGGAUUUGAACACAUAACCUCUAGGUCAUAAGGCAAGCAACCUUACUGUUGCGCCGAGGCUCACCCUCUAAAAAGGAAGCCUAGUGUUACUGAAUGUAUGAUGUUUUCCAUUUCAUAUUUGAUUUAUUCCUUAUAUAGUAUAGAAAAUAUUUCAAUGCCUCUUUGGCUGGUACAAUUCAUUUAGUGGUUGUAAUUUUUACAAAAAGAAUCUAUAUGAAACAAUUGUGUGUGAAGUCUAUGUCUUUGGUCUGUAUGCUUAUUCUUCUGCAGUCACUGUUAUUUGCUGCAGGCUUGCGUCCCACUCCUGCACAAGCAACUGCUGUUAGCUGGGUAAAUUGAUACUACAUUCCAAUUGACUAUUUCUCGGACCAGUCGUGGUGGCAUCCAUUUACGAUAUAACAUUUUUUUUCUCUUGUUGGCGUCCAGAUUUUAAAGGAUGGCAUGCAACAUUUAGGGAAUCUGAUAUGUAGUAAUUUGGGUGCAAGAAUGGAUUCAGAGCCUAAACGUUGGAGAAUUCUAGGUUUGCAAUUGAGCUGUUGCUUUUCAUUUUUUCUUGUAUUAGCUCUUAUGACACUAUCAAGGUUUUUGACUGCAAUAAUCAUUGCAUCGCGCAGCCGAUGUGCUCUAUGACGUUGGCUCUGGAUUGGAAGUGCUUUCUCCCUUAUGCCCACAUCUCUUUCUUGAAAUGGCAGGCCUAGGCAAUUUUGCUAAGGUAUAAUUUUUAUUGAAUUUCUUAAAUUAAUUUUACAUGUUGGUAUUUGUUGCUAACAUGCUAUGUAAAGUUGAUAUGAUGCUAAUUGUUGAUUCAUGCAUCUGUAUGUCAUGAUAAAGAACUUUAAUGUCAUAGUGAAAGUGACUGCUCAUUAACCUAUUGUUAUUGUUUUAAUCAGUUCAUGUUUACUCUUAGUCUGCUUAAAAUUGGUGUAAAGCCAUUUACAAAAUUUAAAUUUUAAAUAUUGAAACAAAAUAUGAAAGAGAGAGAGAAUGAAAGGCUCAGAGAGAUGUUAUGCUAUAAACGGAUGAGAGAGGCUAUAAUAGUUGGAUUAGAAAAAAUUCUAUGAAAUAGAGUUCGUAAAGAACCAGUUUCCCCCGCUUAGGCGCCUGCCCUGGGAGAUUGGUCUUUCACAUAUCGGGUGGGAGGAUACUUUGGAAAACCAAAAAAAUAAAUAAAAAGUUAGGUAGUUACGAAACACUGUUCAUUUGAAAGGUAGCUCUUGUGCUCUUACAUAUCUAGUUUUUAGAAUUCCAGACAUCCCUUUAUCUUUAUAUUAUUCUGUAAUCAACAGGGGAUGGCAGUUGUUGCAGCAAGAGCUACAAGGUUACCUAUAUAUUCUGCGUUUGCCAAAGAAGGAAAUCUCAGUGACCUAUUUGCUAAAGGGGAGGCUAUUUCGACUCUCUUCAAUGUUAUUGGAAUUGGAGUUGGAAUUCAAUUAGCAUCUACUGUAUGUUCGUCAAUGCAGGGAAAGGUAAAAUGUCUAUAUAGAUUAUCUUUGCUUGUUCUUGGGAGUUUAGUGUUCAAUAUUUUCUUCAGUUUUUGACUCACAUAAGAAUUUGCGCAAACCACCCAUGAUUGUCGCCAUUGUUUGUUACUGGAAUGGGUGAAGAUUGUUGCGCAGGUUGAGAUCAGAAAUUUGAUGUUUUCUAUUGAAUGUGGUGGCAAAGUUGUAGAUUAAAUGUAGCUUAUGAAGUCAUCCCCAAGGGUAUGGAUCAUAGAUAUUGUUUAUUGGAAAUUAGAACAAUUACUAAAAAAAUAUGAAAGCAAGUGAUUUUUUUUCUAGUUUUCUUAUAGAGAUAUAAAUAUGCUUUGUCAUAUUUUAAUGAUAAAUAUACAUUUUAUUUAUGAUUCCAAACUGAUGGAUUAUGAAAUGUUUCUUGUUAGUUGGUUGCGGGGCCUAUACUUUCAGUUCUACAUGUAUACAGCGUCAUCGAAGAAAUGAAAGCUACUCCUAUCAAUACCUUAAAUCCACAAAGAACUGCAAUGAUUGUGGCUGAUUUUCUCAAGGUCUGCUUUACAAUAUUAUCAUAAAUGAAUGUUCUCUUGUUUCCCUUUAAUUAAAAAGAAAUUGAAAUGCUGUUUGACUGAUAUUUGAAUUCCAAACCAGGCAGGAAAUGUAUCAAGCCCUGCUGAUCUCAGAUAUGGAGAAGAUUUGCUAUUUCCGGGGCGUCUCAUAGAAGAUGCCGGAAAUGUGAGAGUGGGUAGGGCUGUGCACAAGGUUAUUAAGCCUUCAAGGUUUGUUGAAUUAAAACAAAUGUUCCCCGAGGAAAAGUUUCUUUUAAAUCGAGGCGAUAAAUGCAUUGAUAUGGUACUGGCAAAAGACGCGGUCGGCGAAGAUGCAUUGAGAGGGUGGCUAGUUGCUGCAUACGCUGCACAAAUCGACAAGUCCUCUCAUGAGCUCAGUGCCAGUACCCUGCAAGAGGCCUAUGAGAGAAUGAGUGAUGUCUUCCCUGUGUUUUUAAAUGAAUUACAGAACAAAGGGUGGCAUACUGAUCGUUUUCUGGAUGGAACCGGGAGCCGCUUUUCCUUAUAGUGUUCAAAUAGAUCCUAUAUUGACCUGAGUAGGUUUUGUAACCCUUUUUGUGAUAUAGGAUGCAUUGCAGUUAAUGGUUCAGAUAAGUUGAACUUGAUCUCACUCUUUUUCUGCAUUGCUGGAUGGAAUGUUAUAGCUUUGGUUUUAUUGUUCUUCUUUCUCUUGCAAGUUGCAACAAUGUAGAAUAUAUUCAUGGUAUUCUCAGGACUUGUGUUUGACCUUGUUUUCUUCUCUUGGUGUUGUCCUUUUACUAUUAUUAAUUUGCAAUAAAGAAUGUAUGACUCUGGAAUAGUGAAAAGUGUUAUUUGCAUAAUUAAUAAACAUCAGAACUCAGAAGGCAAGUUUUGAUCACUGACAGAAUUUGAAGAUAUGGUACAAACAUUAAGACAUACCGGAAAUUCAUUUGUUUAUAGUAGAUCUUGAAACAAUGUUAAGUAAUCUAUCUUUUAUAUUUCUCAAAAUACUCUUCAGGAAUAGCUAAAACAAGAAAAUUGUUCCAAGAAAAUUCCUUCAAGCUUGUGUAUUCUGAUGAGCAAUUUUAUGGAGUUUAUAAGACUGCUCUUCCACAGUCUUGUCAUUUGAUACUUAAGGUAUCGGAUUAUAAUAUAUUUCUUCGUUCUAGCUUUCUCAAUGUUUUACUUCUUCCUGAACACAUCUCCUACCUAUUAGGAGAGUUGUUUAUAGAAUAAUAGUCAUAUAGGUCAUCUCACAACUUAUUAAAGAUGGAAUUUUUGAACAAAAAAAUCAUUCUCCAUCAAAACAGACAAAUCCUUAUUUUGUUUUUCUUUUUCCUCUUAAGUUGCAAAUCCAGUAUACUAUUAAAAGAUGUUGUCACUUAGCACAUGAUAAUACUCUAAGAAAAUUAAUCUUUCACCCCCUAAGUGGAGCUGUUUGAAAAUUAAAAAGCAUAGUUAGUUCUACAUAAAUUUUAUCUCACAUAAAAAAAAUAAAACAAAAGAUGAAAAGAUAAUAACAAAACUUCAAAAGUAACAUUUUAUCAUGGCGCAAAAGUACUAUUAUAUUAUAUGCAAACUCUGCAAUUUACAUAGAUAAGGAGGCUUGGAAGUACACAAGGCCAUAUUUUAUUACUAAACGUUACUACAAGUUCUCAACAUCCAAAACUUAUUUUAUUUUAAGAUGGCCACCUUAUUUCAACACCAUUGUUAUUUUCUUAUGCAACCUUAGGAAGGGUGUGAUCCUCAGACUCAGACUGAGGACUAACCAAAGGACCCUGGUUUCCACUGUACUUGAGCUGGCUCACCUGAUUCAGGCGAAGACCGAAAGCAUUGGCAAGAACCUCUGCAGGGAUGCCCCUAAACACUUGCUUAACUGGGCUAGUUGCAGCUAAGUCAUUUGUUUUGAAUGCUAUGAACUCAAAUCCUUCAUCCCCUGCUUGGUGUGCCACAACAAAGUUCUGUGGCACCACUAGAAGUUGUCCCCUUCUAAGGUCAUCAUUGAAAACUGAGUUGCCUUGGCAAUUCACCACUUGAACCCUUCCUCUUCCUCUAGUCACAAAGAUCACACUGUUUGCAUUGAUGUUCCAGUGUGGAGCAUAUAUACCAUUCUGCAUGCAUACACUAAUUUCAUGUUAAUAUAAAAUCAUGUUCAUAUAUAUACCAUAUUAUGAUAAGACAGAAUAAUAACAAUUGAUGUGUAUUUCAUAUUAAAACUAUUAGUGUCUAUUUUCGAGUUGGAUUAUGGAGGGGAAUGAAAAGAAAAGAAGGCUCGAGAGCCAUGAAAUACACUUUUCAUUAUUUCCCUUCCAAAACUUAACUCACAUAAGAACCCUCAUGAGAAGUUGUUGAAAUAAUAGUGGCUAAAGUUAAGGUGAUUAAUUACCCUGUAGAGGUUAACAUAGUCAGCACUAAGUUGGAACCAUCUGAGAAUUGGGAGGGUCAAGCUAUUGACACUGCUGAUGCGGCCAGCAUUUGGGUUGUAGAGAUCAGCACGCGAAGGUUUAGCAAUGUUCUCUAGAAGCCUAGCAGUGCAGAUAGUUUCCUCAAGUCCAUUUCUACUUUCUUGUCUCUUUCUCCUUCCUUGUUGUUGCUGCUGCUCUUCUUCUUCUUCCUCUCUUUGUUGUCCUGAUCUGCGUCCUCUACCUCCGUGGCGUCCUCGCCUUCCUUCUUGUUGUUCCUCUUCUUGUUCUUGUUCUUGUCCUUGUUCUUGUCCUUGUUCUUGUCCACGCCCUCUUCCUUGCUGGCGACGCACUCGAGUACUUGUUUCUUCUUCCUCCUCCUCUCCUUCUUCUCCUUGUGCACGUCUGUGUCGGGUUGUUCUCUCCCAUUCACGCUGCUGUCCUCUUCCUUCCUGCUCUGACUCUGACUCUUCUUCCUGCUCUUCUCCUUGGCGUCCUUGUUGUCUUCCCGGACGCCUUCUAGAUUGACGCUCAUAGCGUUCUCGAGAGCGAGGUUCAUCCUCUUCUUCUUCUUCCUCUUUCUCCUCUUCUCUUCUUUCCUCUCUUCGUUCAGGCUGUCCUCUCUGGCGCGGUUCUUCUUCUUCUUCUUCCUCUUCUUCUUGCGACUUGGGGCUGAUAAUGCUGAGACCUCUCUUCACUCUCACAAUUUGCUUCAAACGUUCAUCUGGGUUUUGUAGUCUGUUUAUAAUCUCCUCAUCAACGUUGAACGCUUGAGUCAAAAAUUGUGGGUCGAAUCCACUCAACACGUUGUUUUUUCCUUCUUCUUCCUGCUCCUGCUGGUGUUUCCCACGCCUGCGUCCACCAGCACCCUGUUGCUGCUCGCGCUGCUGCCCUUGUUGUUCCUGAGUUUCUGGAUGCUCUUCUUCUGGGUUCCCAGCAAUAUAGAAUCUCUGCAAAGUCAAGUAAAUAAAAAUAUUAAGUAACAAAUAAAGAUAUAUAUAAACUGCCACCCAAUCAAAGAGACUCUUACUUAGUGCAUUUUAGUUUGUGAUCGUGAUUGUAGUCACAAUUGUGAUUAUUCUCAUUACGUUAGUUAUAAUGUAAACUAUUUUAUGAUUAAAUAAGUAUUAUUUAAUUCGAUACAUCAUGAUACAGCCCAAAUGCGAUCCGAUUACCAUAUAGUCUGAUGAUGCAACUACAUCAUUGUGAAUUAUUAUGAUGUGACACAAUUGCCGCGAUCACAACAACUAUAAUAUUGCGGUUGCAUCUCCUGAUAUCAAGGUAGUAAAGUAUACUUACUCUUGGGCUUGGAUCAAGCUGGUUUAACAAGCUGGUGGUGUCAAGAAGGUUGAUGGCAACCAACCGUUGUUCACCAUAGUUAUAGGUCCAGUAAGGGAUUCCAGGUGGAAUAGCAAUGAUGUCACCUUCCCUGAAGUACUGAAUCUUCUGGUGGCUAUCCUGUUGUUCCUGUUCCUGGGAUUGUGAUCGUGAGCUUCUUCUCCUAGGAUCUUGGCUGGAUUGUGAUUGUUGUGCCUCUUCAUAUGUUUCAGUACAUCCAGGAACUGAAAUUCCUAGGGCUCCCUCACCUGUAGUAUGUGAACAUGCACGUAAGUACUCACAAAUAAGCAAAUAAAAUAACACAAUCACAUUAGUGGCCUAUUGUCCUUCAUUGUAGUUAUUUUUAAUACCCAAUAUUAAUAUUCACUAGUAUUUUAAAUUGUGGUUACGAUUGUAAUCAUUAUGAUGCAGAUUGUACUGUCAAUUAUUUUGUGAGUACUUUUUUUUAAAUUGCAGCCUGAUGCAGUUGUGUUACGGCCCAAAUAUGGUUAGAUGCAGUUGCGUUGCAACCCAAUGUGACCUCAUCAUUGUGAUUCAGCAUCACAUCACAAUUGUUACGAUAUAAUGCGAUUGCAACGGUCACCACAACCACAAUAUUGUGGCUGGAUCACAUAAUGCGGUCCACAAUUUAAAUAACUUGACCAAUUAAUAACACUUAAGAUAGUGGCAACAACAACUACACAUAUUGUUGUAAGACUUGUAAUUUGUAGCAUUAGGAAAUUAAUAGGUGUGACCUUCAACGAUGAAAAUGAGCUGAGGAUAAUUAGUGUAGGAUGGCAAGUGCAGUCCUUGGGGCUGAAUGGUGUGCUUUUCAAAGGCAACACCAGCACAGCGUAGCUCAGGUCGGUUGGAGUUCCAUGUCUCAGUGACACCACCCUCAGACUCAACGCGGUUAUCGGGUUCUAACGCGUUGAGUCUAUCGAGUUGGCACUCCUUGUACCUUUCAGGCCUUUCUGCUAAGCAGAGACUAGAGAGUAACAGUAAGCAAAGGGAAAAAGAGAAUAGACAAGGCUUUGCCAUUGUGAUGGAACAAACAGUAGCAGACUGAACUUGGUGAAGAGGAGAACCUGAGCCAUGAUUAUUUAUAGUGAAGAUAUGAGGGUAAAUGAGGGACACGUAGUGAAGGUGUGUUUCCGAGCUAGUGACAUUCUUCAUUAUGCAUGGCUAUUGAAACAUAGAGUUGUUACACCUCAUAACUUUAGUUCUUCAUGAUUCACAUAAUAAUCCAAAGAAUGGAAUUGUUUGUAUGUUUCAUUCAUAUCUUGAUUCUGAUGUUAAAUGAAUCUGGCCAAAAUUGGAGGGACCCUAGAUGGUCCCCUUGUAGAUCCUCCGCGUCUAUUAUUGUCCUAUGUUCUUAAUUUACCUUUUAAUUUGUAGUGCAUGGAUUUGAGUUAUAACUCAUUAUGGAUUCUUUGCCUUGCAUAUUAUUUCAUGAUGGACUUUUUCAUUCAUGUCUCAUAUCUAAUUAGAAAAUGAGUUUAAAAUUUGCAAUAAUAGUAUAAAGUUUUUUAUAAUCUACAUCGAUUUAUAUUACUUUUGUUUGAGAGUCAAUGCUAGUUAACAAAUGAUUUAUUGACAGUGUAAAAAACACUUACACUGUCAGUGCAUACAUAUUAAAUCUUUAGAAAAUAUCAUUUCAUUAAAAAGAAAGAGGGAGAUUCACUUAUUUCAUCGUAGCCAUCAAUUCUACGAACAUCUAAUGAUUUAGAUCUAUUCACUAAUUCAAACUAUUGGAUUUUUCUAUAAUUGAUGGUUAAGAUAAGGAGUAAAUUUACACCUGGAGUGAGUGAAUCCUCCUAAAAAAGAAAAAUCAUGAUAAUAAAAAUUAAUAUUUUUAUAUUAUUGUGUAAUAUCUGGUUGGCUAGGGACAUAAAGAAAAAAAAACCCCUUGAAACAAAUAAAUUUGUAUAAUAGACUUAAUAACAUUUCAAAAGUUAUUUUGGAAACUAAGUUUUGAAUAUUGUGUACAUUUAUUUUAAUAUCUUACUUGCCCUUUAUCUUUGUUGUAUAUAUGCAUUAAAAAAACAUAUCAAAGUUGAAAGUAACAUCCUAUAUUAUCAGAAAAGAUGUAUCCACUGAUAUAAAUGUCAUGCAUGUUUUUUACACUAUUAUUGUAUCAUUUAAUAUUCAUGUUGAAUUAACUCUUAAAUACAAAUAAUCCAAAUAAUAACUCAAUGUUUUUUAGACAUCCUACAUUAUUCCACAAUAAUGUAUUGAACAAUCUUGAAUUUAAUGUCAUUUGAGAGAAAAAAGUUGUAGCCCAAGGGGAAAAAACAUUUGAGAGAACAAUUCACAUUUAAAUGUGCCAUCUUAAUAUAGUUAUUGAAUGGUGUAAAAAUAUUGAGGGAAAUAGUUUUUCAUGUAUUCUUUCUUUAAACUUCAAAGGACGGGAAAGGCCAAAGUCCGGAAUACAGAAGAAGAAAACUAAUUGGAUCUGCACCUUUAUUACGUAGAUAAUAAUUGUGGCUCCACAAAUAACCAUUAUAUAUCAGAAGUUAUCACAAUAUAUGUGAAGGGAUUAAUUAUAUUCUGAAAUGCAUAAUAGAUAAUACACAUCACGGUCAAUAUGAAUUCCAUAACCGAACUGUUGUGUGUUGGCAUGAAAUCUCUCACUUUUGGUUUAUUUCUAUCUCAAAAUAAUUAAAAAGAAAAAUCAUAAAAAUAUAUAAAAAAUUUUAUAUUAUUUGAUGAAAUGUGAUUAGUUUCAGAUAUAAAGAUAUAAAUUUUUUGGGUCAUGUAAUUCUUGUAGAAAAAUUGAGUCAUUUUAAUAGAACAAAGAUUAGUUAUCCUAAAUUAGGAUGAAGAUCACAUAUCUUAACUUGGUUUUCACAUUCAUGUCUCAUUCUAAUUAGAUCUAGACACGUGUAAUUAUGUAUAUUUGUAUAAAAUAAAAUGUUAUUUUUUAUUUGUUGACAAAUAUUGAUUGGUUCGAGACAUGAAAUAUGAUAUUGUAAGGGACAUAAGAUCUCCUUUCCCUAAAUAAUGUCUAUCAUGUCCCUCACCAAUAAAAUUAUGUUUUGUCAAUUACAAAAAUUAAACAUUCAUUGUUUUUCUAAUUUUCCUUUAAUAUUGCGAUAUAUAAUUUGUUACAUACUUAACUAAUUUAUUUUAGUAGGUGUUAGAUUAGAGCACUAAAUUGAGACAAUAGUAAAAAGCAGAUUAUUGAGAGGAAUCUUGCAUAGUAUCUAAUUAUACAUUGAAAGGGUAGCAUCUCUAAAACAAUCAGCCUUUAUUUCACUAAUUAGGAAUGAGCACAUGGUUCCAAAUAUAUUAUAAUACAUUUGAUAAAUUAUUUUCCUUGAGAAAACAUUGUUCACAUGUUUAAACUGUACUUGAGUUGUAAUUUUACAAUCUUUUCUACAAUAUAAGCUCCUCUAAUAUUCUCUUCAAUGUAUUCAUUUCUAAUUGAAUUAUUUAAUAUGACACCUAAAAGACUCUAGCAUUUCAUCCUUUCAUCUACUACAGUUGAAUUUUAUGGUUUACAUCUCCACCAAUUUCACUAUUGUGUUAUAUAGUUGACCUAAAUAUCGUGAAUUUUGGUAUGUUAUGAUCAUCAAGCUGUACUUCUACAAUAGGGUUUGUCUGUCUCUUUCUAAACUUAUACUCCAUAUAUUUUGUCUUACUUCGACUUAUAAUAAAGUCUUGUGCUUCUAAGAUUUGAUUCCACAUUUCUAGUUUCCCAUUUAAUUUCUCUCUCAAUUCUCUAACUAGGACAAUAUAAUACAUAAAAAUCAUCCAGUGUGGCACCAGCUCUUAUAUAUGCUUAGUAAGCGCAUGUAAAAACAAUGUUAACAAGUGAGGGCUCAAUAUUGACCGUUGGUGUAGUCUUGUAAAUAUCUUAUGAACAUUCUCACAUGCUUCUUGACCCAAUUAUACAUAUUUUUUGUUGCUCUAAGGUAGACAAUUUGAACACAUUUCUUUGCUAGAACUUUCUACAAUACCUCUCUAGACACAUUAUCACAUGCCUUCUCUAAAUUAAUGAAAAUAAUGUGCAAGUUCCUUGAUUCCUUCGAUAUCUCCAUCAAUAAUCAUAGCAAAUAUAUAACAUUCACGGUUGACCUCCCUAACAUAAAACCAAAUAAUUUUCAGUGAUAGAGUUUAUAGCAUAAAACCAAAUUGUCUCAACCUCCGCUUAAUUACUAUUUAUGUCGACUCCAUAGUAUGUCUCAUAAGCUUAACCCCCUAUAGUUUAUACAAUUUUGUAUGAUGCUCUGUUCUCAUAACCUUCGAGAAUUCAAUAGGUAUAUUAUCUUGUCCAACCACUUUGUCAUUCUCCAUCGUUUUCAAAGCUUAUGCUCCAAUAUAAAAUCUACGAUAAAAUGUUUAAAUUUGAUCCUCCUACUAUGGGUUUAGUCUAUUAGAAAACAUGGAUUUAAAUCGAUCAUUGAAAAACUUGUGAAAGUAAUUUUUUCAUCUUUCCUUAAUAUCUUUUUAUCCUAAAAGACUUUACCAUUGUCAUUUUAAAUUUAUUUUACUUGGUCCAAGUCUCUCGUCUUUCUUUCCCAACCAUUUCCAAGCAUGUAUACGGUUCUUUCUCACCCUUAAUACCUUGAGAUUUAUAUAACUUAUCAUAUGUUUUAUCUUUUGAUUCACCUAGUGCCUUACUGGUCUCUUUUUUAGCUACCUUGUAGUUUUCUUCUUUCAAUUUUUAGUAUUUUUACACAGUGACCAUACUUUAUGACAUUCCAUUUUCACCUUAAUUUUGUUCUAAAUGCUUUUGUCUCACCACAUGAUUUUUUGUGCAUCUCCUCUCACAUAUUGUUAGUACUUCCUUGUGUCUCUCAAAACUCUUUGAUUGAAGCUCUUACUUUCCUCUUCCUUCAAAUUACAUCAUUUAAUUCUUGGGACUCUAUCUUGGUCUUUUCUAUUCACUCUGCUAUUAACUUUUACGUCUGUAACCAAAACUCUAUAUUAGAUAGUCAAGCUCUCUCCAUGUAUGAGAACAUGUAAUCUCACUCUUAUAUAUGAUAAGAUUCUCAUCUCACUUCCUAAAAUAAGUGUUGAUUAUUGUAAAAGCAAAAGUUGGAGAGAAGUUUAGAAUAGUCUUACAUUCCAUAUUUACUUCCACUAUGACGUAUAAUCCUUCAUGAAGACCUUCAAAUCAUUAGUGUCCCUCCCCACAUGCCCACUAAGAUCUCCUUCUAGGAAAAUUAUUUCUCCUAAAGGUAUUCCCUAGACUACGCCUUCUAAAUCCUCCCAAAAUUUUAUCUUGUAGUAUUCCUCUAGCCCUACCUAAGAUUCUUAAGCAUUAAUCACAUAAAAAAGAUCUUUCUUGUUACAAACUCUAGGGUUAUGAUCCUAUCUAUUGUUCUUUUUAUAUCCACCUCACCUUUCUUUCAUUCUUUAUAUAUAAUUAUAUUACCUCAUUUCUCGACCUUGUCUUACUCAUGUAUCAUAGUUUAAAAUCACAAACUUCUAAUUCCCUUGACUUUUCUCUUAGUUUUUUAUAGACACAUAAAAUUGAUCCUCCUCAUAAUAAUCAUUGUGUCUACUAAUUCCAUUGAUUUACCUAAAAAAUGUCUAUUUCAUGUUCUAAUUUAUAUCCUAGACUCGUGAAAUGACUUCUUUACAUGCACCUAUUCACAUAAGUAUGGAACUCUCACUACAUCUCAGUGACAAUGCAUCUGCCCUUAAUCUUUUGACGCUACAAACCAACUGAUAAAGUGUGUGUUGCUUUUGGGCAACAACCUAUCAUUGAUAUUACCAUUCAUAUAAUAGAUAUUUGACAAAGUUAUAUAACAGUUGUCGACUGCCUAACACAAGCUAUCCCUUCUAUUCAACAAUUUAAAAAAAAAAAAUUUAACUGUAUUUUUUACUAUACAUAUUCAUAUUACACAUUUACUGACUAAAGUUUCAUAAGCCACAUUGUAACAGUGUUGGUUAUGUGUUGAGCAAAAAUGCAGAAAACAAAUGUGUUACAUAGAAGGUUUGAUAUUAUUCAUCAACAAGACACAUAAUUUAUAGAACAUGAAUGAGUCACAUAAGUGCUCCAACAUAGUAGAUGAAAAUAUUACUAACAAUCAUAUUGGCUCUUUAUUGUCUAAUGAAUAGAAGCAUUACAGAUUCUGAGUCAUAUUAAUCAACACUCCUCAUUGACUUUGAAGCUGCAAAGUUCAAACUUUUGUCAUAUACUUAUUCUUAGAACCGUCAAGAUUGAACUUGGUUAUGUAAGUCCAUUUGACUUUUAUACCCUUCUUAUAGUCUUUCUCCAUCAACUGAGGAACACUUAACAAAUUUUGAUUAAUUUCAAGAACAUAUAAGAUAUCAUGAAUUAAUUUCAAACCUGUGUAACUUUUAAUUGCAACUUUUCCUUUGCCUUUUGUUGUAAUAUAUGCCACAUUUCCAAUUCUGACUUUGGAAAUAGCAGUUUUAUCAAAUUCUCUGAAGAGCUCUCGAUCAUAAGUCAAAUGGUUUGUACAACCACUAUCAAUGAGCCAACUUUCUGUAGAAUUGUUGGCGUCAAAGCAUAAUACUACGAACAAUUGUUCUUCUUCUGGUUCAUCAACAACAACCUUAGCUUCUCCUUGUUGUUGUUGUUGCUAAGACAUGCAUAUCUUUUCCAUGUGCCCUAACUUUCCACACUUAUAACAUAUUGCAUCUGGCCUCCACCAACAUUUGUUUUGUGGAUGAUUAGUUUGUUUGCAGUAGAAACAAGGUUGAAAAACUUCAUUGUUGCUACUUUGGUUAUUUGUAUUCGUUGUUUGCAGAACCUGCUGUUUUGUAGUUGUUAUUUUGCCUCAUUUUAUUGUGAUUCCAACCAUUGUUGCUUUGUAAUUUGGUUUGGAAAGCACUCUCUACUAAUCAUUCUUGCCUCAUGAGUCUUCUUUGUUCUUGUGCCUGUAAUGCAUUCAACAUUUCUGCCAAGGUGAUGCUUGAAAUAUCCUUAGACAUUUCUAGAGAUGAAAUUGCAGCUUCAUAUUUUUUAGGAAGUGUAACUAAAAUCUUUUGAACUAUUCUAGAAUCAGAAAAUUUAGUAUCAAGAAGUCUUACAUUGUUGGCAACGACUAGAAGUUUAUCAGAGUACUCAUUAAUUAUUUUCGAAUCUCUCAUCCUUUGCAUUUCAAAUUCUUGGAUCAAAUUCAUUACUUGCACCCCUUUGACCCUUUCAUCUCUCUCACAUUCUUCCUUAAAAAAAUUUCAGAUUUCACAUGUAAUUUUUAGUGUCAUUAUUACUUUCGUUGCUUCAUUUCCUUCUCAUUUUUAAUUUGUGCAAUAGUUGGAUUGUGUGGAAGAGUUGGAAUGACAUAAUCUUCUUCAAUGGCAUCCCAUAGAUCAUUAACAUCCAAGAAAACUUUCAUUCUAACAACACAUACAUGAUAUUUUUUUCCAUUAAACAUUGGAGGUGAAAAUGCAGCAUAAACUACUUCUGAAUUCAUUUUGAUAAUUUUAGGGAAUAGAAAGUAAUAGAGAAAAUGUUUUAGUUGUGUUUAGUUUGUUCUCACAUAUCCCUCAAGAUAUAGUUCUAUAUACCAAUUUGUUGGUUAUGUAUUGAGCAAAAGUGUAGAGAAGAAAUAUGUUAUGUAGAAGGCUUGAUAUUAUUAAUCAACAAGUCACAUCAUUUAUACAGCAUGAAAAAAAAAACUGAUGCAGAAAAUUAAAUCCAACAUAGUAGAUGAAAAUAUUCCUAACAAUCAUGUUGACUCUUUAUUGCCUAAUGAAUAGAAACAUAACGCACAAUUUGAGUCAUAUUAAUCAACAAAUAGUUUACAUUCAACACUUAUAUAUUCAGACAACUUGAUUUAAAACCCUGAUAAGUUUUACAUUUUUGUGAUGCAACCAUUUUUUUUAUAAACACAUGCUAAUGGUAAACAAUCUAUCCCCCAAAUGAUUAACUCAAAAUAAUGCAAAAGGUCCAGCAGUUCUCAAUGCUGAACUUAUAAUAAAUCAAAGUAACUAUGUUUGAACUAACUAUAACAUAAAAAUAUCUAUUCCAUUAACUCAUGUCUUUCAAGUCCAUAUGAUUAUAAAAAAUUAGAAACAUGUGCAUAUAUAGACAAUCAAUUCUAACAAUCAAGAACUAACAAGUGAUUGUUAGAAACAUGUGCAUAUAUAGACAAUCAAUGCUUGCUUCUGACAAAUUGGAGUGAAAGAAUAUACAAUAUCUUCAAAUUAAGUGGUAGCUUGGAAGCUAUUUGUCAGGAUAAUAACAGAAACAUAGGAAUAGUGGUUCUGGAUUUAAAUCUAUAGAACAUUUUCUUCUUAUUGAAAGUAGCAUUUGCCACUGUAAUCACUAUCUUCCCAGGUUCAUUGAUGUAAAAGGAGUUUCUAGUACUGUCACCAACUCUAUUUUGGUUUUGUAGCAAUACAAUGUAUGAGCCUUCAUCAUCUGGAAUAAACUCUUCCUUGUAGGACACUUCCCAUCCAACCACAGUUACAUCCCAUGUUAUUGUCACUCCAGGCUAGACAAAUACCAAUAUAUAAUUAGAACUAAGCAAAGUCCAAAAUGUGUCAAAUAAUCAAUUGUCCCGAGCCAAUGAAAACAUGUCAUGUCGAUUGAAAAUUCAAAACAUUCAUAUGGGACAGGAUCUGGCACAACAGAUAUGUGUUCGUACAACAUACCUCCUUGACUGGAAAUUCAACUCUAGAAACUGUAUUUGCUUUGAUUUUAAGUUCUCCAACCUUCUCAUCAGGCGAAAAUUCUUGGUCGUUUUCCCUCCUGAGACCACCAUAUUCAACUGGAAGAUGUUCUGGGGCUAUAACCCUUCACAACUCACAAUGUUAGCAGAAGAUGAAUUGAAUCACAUUAGAGUUCAUUCAGAUAAUGAGACAUUGAAGUUCAGGUUAAAAUCACACUCACUUGAGAAGAGUCUCUGUGGUAUUUUGUGGUCUAGCUAAGAUGAACCUCUUUUUAUUCCUCUGACUCAUAAGCUUUGAAAAUAGAAUUUGAGAGGUGAAGAACCAAAAUGGAGAAUACACCACUAUCUGCAAAUCAUAAAAUGAGGUGAAAACAGAAAACAAUCAACCUUUCUGUAAUUUUAAUUUAGAAAAUGAUUAUCUCACUUCACCUUAUAACUACUUAUUAAAGACUUUGAAAGCAAAAGUGAUUAUAAAAAGGGUGUGGAUAAAAAAUUUGUGAGAAUAUGAUCACUCAAUAACAUUGAUAUACUAACACUUUUGUGAAUUAUCUCAGGAUAGUAGUUCUGAAACAGAAUUAUAGUUUUCUUGCUGAUUGAGUGAAGUUCCUUCAUUCCUUGUGCUGGUGUGUUCCUUAAAUCAUAAAUCUGAAGUAUAGAAUCAACCCCUCCUUCUCUAAAGCUUAACUUCUUAAUAGCUUUUUCCAUUAAUUGAAUCCCCCACCUGAAAAACAUGUCACGUUUUUCUUGUGUUCCAAAGGAAACCUUAUACACAAGUUUGUCUCUAAAAAAACCACGAACAUGGUAACACACCGGGCGACCUUCUCUAUCCUUACCCUUUAAGAAACCGGCAUUUUCGAAAUCAAAUUCUUCAUCCAUGAUCCCAUCAAUGUUGUUCUCGAUUCUCCAUAUCAUGGUUUUUUGUAACAUAUCGAAGGCGUCAUUGACCUUGUAAUCUUUGGUUUUCAAGAAUUUCAUUAGAAUAAUAUCAGUGCCCUCAUGAGCCUUGCUUGGUAACAAAGGCACACCCCAUAGAGUAAUAUCUCUAAGCUUUUCCCUUGCAAGUCCUAUUUCCCCUUGAGAGAGAUUCUCAUGUCGUUCCCCUAAUAAAUAGUUCCCAAGAAUCGAAUCCUCAACUUUGCAACGAAAUUCCAAUAACGACUUCUUUAUCUUCAACUUAUUCUCAAUAGGAUUUGGAUUAUUCCCUUCUCCAUAAGUUUCCAAAUGAUCAAGAUCUUCUUGAUCAUAACAACUAUCCUUGUUUUCUUGAAAGGGUUUUUCCCUCUCAUCAUCAAAAGGCUUUUCUUCAUCAUUUACAUUCUUCUCAAUAUCAUUGAAAACUACAUGCAUAUUCAUCCCAACAAGGUUGUUAUCCCUCCCAUUUUCAUCAAUGCACUCAUCAUCAUGGCUAUCAAUCAUGGCUGUCAUGGUCAAAACUUUGUUUCAGGAAAGUUCUAACCGUAUCUAAAAAAGAUUAAUCUCUUACUUAACAGAUAGCCCGAAAAGCCGAAAAAACUAAAGUCUCAUUUUUUUCUUCUCCUCCUUAAUCAGAUUUUCCAGCACCAAGGACUUACCGGAAAAUUAAACCUUGAGGAGCUCAAGGAUUGAAGGGGGAAAGAUGGUCUUACAUGAAGACCUCCUUCAUUUUCAAAUAUGGCAAUAUUACAAGAUAAUGUUGAGUGAUGAUGGAUAUCACUACCCUGAAUUCAUGACAAUUCUCAACCAUUAAUUGAUUUGUGUGGAACCAAAUAUAGAAAUUGGUAUGUUUACAUGAGGUGGCGUAAUGUUUGGUUUCAUUGUCAAACCUUAUCAUAUGAUAAUCUAAUUAAACCAUAUUGGCAAUGUUCUAAGGUCAACGGUUUUUUCAUGCAAGAUAAUCAAUUCAUAUACCAAACUCUUUAGCAGAGACAACCAACUAUAUUAUUUAAAAGCUCAUUAUUUAUAUGUUUGAAACUAACAUUCAUAUCAUUUUUUUUUAAAAUAGAUCAUCAUUUACGUUGGACUCUCCAAUAUUAAAUAAAGAUGGUGGCAUGUAUACUAAUAUAUUUCAACCUUUAUUUUCAAUUUAAUCAAGAUAAUAACAUAUAUCUUAAUAUAUUUUUUCUUCUAUCUCACAUCUCACAUCUCAAUAUUGGAGAGGAUCCUUACCCUUUAUUUUUGUGUCCCUACAUACUUGUUUAUCAUUUUUUCUUACAUCAUUUCAUUCCAAUCUCAAACAUCAUGUCCCUACCACAAUGUCACCCCUAAGUUGCCCAUAUAACGUUACUCUUUUCUUCUUUUUGAUAGUGAAUAUCUCACUUCAUAUUUUCUGUUCCACUACACGCCAAAUGUAUCACUAUAUACAAAUUAAAUGACGUAGGAAUUUCUGUGUAUAAAUGCAUUUCUGUAUGACCAUGGUCCUAUAUACAUUCCUAAUGAUGUGUAUAAAGAAUAGUUGUUGGCUGGUUUAGUGAUGUGACUUGAAAACUACCUAAAUCAUUGUGUCGAGGUUCUUGUAUUUUAUACUGUAUUCUUUAUUCUAUUUGUCCAAUGAAAAUGUAACACAAAAUUUAUUCUUUAGAUAAAAUAAAAGAAAAAAUGAUGUAUGCGCUGAUAGUAUAAGAGUUUGUAUAUUAUCAUUAUAUUUUCAAUUAUUAUUGACUCUUAUAUAAAAACAAUAAAAACGAAUGAUGUUGUGUAUAAUUUUUUACACAUCUGUUUAAGUAAUACCUUGAAUAAAAUAGAAUUUCUGUUUUAUUAUACAUUAUUUAUAAACUAAAAACAUAAAUAUAAACUAAAAAUUGCUUUCAUGUGAUGCGGCUUAAAUCAAAAUUCACUGAAGCGUAUAUUUUGUACAAUUUUUUCUUCUUCUAUAAACAUACAGUUGAAUAAAUAGGAACAUAAUUUGACAUUAAAACACUAUGUGAACUUUCUUGUUACAGGUUUUUUAAAAAUAAUAGGGAAGUCGGUAGAAAAUAUAAUAUAAAAAAGGUAUAAUAGUAAGUUAUUCAAAAUAAGUUUAUUUCCAGUUAAAAUAAAUUGAAAAGUGGGUGGUUAUAAUUUACUCAAAUUAUUAAGUUCUUGUCUUUCCUUUCAAUAAUUUACUCAUUAAAUUGUACUUCCAUUUUCUAUGUGAUUCUAUUAAACAAGAUGCUAAUUAUAAAUGGUUUUUGUGUUGAAACAGAAAAAUGUAAUUCAAGUUAGUUAGAACUUACUAAAAAUAGAAGUUAGUUGAUUAGUAGUUAGUUGGUAGUUGAAGAUUCAUACUAUAAAUAGAAAGCAGUGUAUUUUGUUUCAAGUUGAAUAAGAAGAUACACACUUCAUUCAUAUACUCUUCUUUCAUCUUCUCUGCACAAUCUUCUCCUCCUCUAUUUUUCAUUCUCAUCUCAAUCUGAUUUCUAACAAACUGGUAUCUAGAGCCAAGAAAAGAAGAAAUGAUCUGUGGUCACAAGGAGGAAGAAGAAAGAGGCAAAUAUGGGGUAGAAGAAAAGUUGAUCAAUUGCUGCAAUUUUUGGUGGAGCCUUAAUCUGAGGAAGAGACCAAAGGCAGAUUCAUCAAAACAAGAAAAUGGUUGGCAAUGGUAGCAAUCUCCCAUCAAUGGGGCUCCCUAUUCUAACAGACAAGAAUUGGGAUAGAUGGAGAACACAAAUGAAUGUAUUGUUCAAUUUCCAAGAAGUGAGUGAGGUAGUAGAAGAUGGAAUACCUCCAUUGAAUCCUGAGGCAAAUGAAGGACAGAGAAUCACAUUCAAAGAUGCCAAGAAGAAGGACAAUAAAGCACUGUUCUUGAUUCAUCACUGUGUAGAUGAUGUGAACUUUGAGAAGAUUCAGAAUGCCAACAAUGCAAAGGAAGCCUGGGACAUAUUAAUUCGAAGCCAUGCAGGGGGAGAUAAGAUAAAGAAGGUAAAACUUCAAACCCUUAGGAGACAAUAUGAACUGCUAAACAUGGAGGAAAGUGACAGAAUUGGUGAUUAUUUCACCAAGAUUCUAGCCAUCACCAACCAGAUGAAAGGCUAUGGAGAACAGAUAUCAGACAUCAUGAUAAUUGAGAAAAUCAUGAGGUCCUUGCCUCAGAAAUUUGACUUCAUCAUUGUGGCAAUAGAAGAAUCGAAGGACAUCAAUGUGAUGAAAAUUGAGGAACUUCAAAGCUCCCUAGAGGCACAUGAAAUGAGAUUACUUGAAAGGAAUCCAAACAAGAAAGCAGAACAAGCCUUAAAAGCAAGUCACUAUAAAGAAGAAGAGAAGAGAAAAGACAAAAGAUGGAAAGGGAAACAACCAAGGAAAUGGCCUAUGCAUUCAGAUAGAAACAAGACAAGAAUCCUGAAUCUUCUGAUAGAAGAGGAGGGUCAAGAAUGAACCAGAAUCCAAAGAGGUUUGACAAAAGAAAGGUGGAGUGUUACAACUGUCACAAACAAGGCCAUUACUCUUAUGAGUGCUAUGCAGACAAAGCAAAAUCAAAGAAGAGUGAAGAAGCUUACACUGCAUAAGAAGAAUCAGACUUAGAACCACUAAGCUUAAUGGUGACAACUUAUGCAGGAGAUGCUCACACAGAGUCAUGGUACUUAGACUCAGGAUGCUCAAACCACAUGACAAAGCACAAGGAAUGGCUGACUGAUUUUGAUUCCUCUAAGAAGAGCAAGGUAAAAUUUGCUGAUGAUAGCUCACUUGAGGUAGAAGGAACAUGCAAUGUAGUUAUAAUGAGGCAGAGUGGAUCAAAAGCUUUGAUAUCAAAUGUGCUAUAUGUUCCCAAGAUGAAAUGCAAUCUACUCAGCAUAGGGCAACUGGUAGAGAAAGGGUUCAGUGUUGUGAUGAAGAAUGGUAUGCUUGAACUAUUUGAUCCAAACAAGAAACCAAUAAUAAGGAGAAAGUUGACAAAGAAUAGAACAUUUCAAGUUGAUAUCAAGGCAACUGAAGUAAAAUGUUUAGCCACUAUUGAAGCCAAAGAUGUAAGUUGGUUGUGGCACUCAAGAUUUGGGCACCUGAACUUCACAAGUAUGCAACACCUAGGAACAAAACAAAUGGUCACAUGGAUUCUUACAAUUUCUCAGCCAGAAAGAGCAUGUGAGGUUUGCUUGAUUGGGAAACAAACCAGAAACUCAUUCAAGUCAGAAGGGUACAUGAGAUCAAGAUCAGUCCUAGAAGUGGUUCACUCAGAUGUUUGUGGUCCAUUUGAAACUCCCUCACUAGCUGGAAACAGGUAUUUCAUUAUAUUUGUUGAUGAAUUUAGUAGAAUGAUUUGGCUAACAAUGUUGAAAGUCAAGAGUGAAGCAUUUGAAGCAUUUCUAGACUUCAAAGCAUCAGCAGAAAAAGAAAGUGGAAAACAACUCAAGGUGCUGAGAACAGAUGGAGGGGGAGAGUUCACAUCUAUGGAGCUUGAAAACUACUGCAUAAAGCAAGGAAUCAAGCAUGAAGUAAUCCCACCUUACACCCCUCAACACAAUGGCCUAGCAGAGAGGAGGAAUAGGACCAUAAUGAACAUGGCCAGAAGCCUGAUCAAGGAGAAGGAACUCCCACAAAAGCUAUGGGCAGAGGCUGUGUCAACUUCAGUCUACCUACUAAAUAGGUGUCCAACAAAGAAACUAGAGGGAAGAGUCCCUCUUGAAGUAUGGUCAGGAAGAAAACCACCUGUUGGCCACCUCAGAAUCUUUGGCUCAUUGGCUUUCAAACACACACCAGAUCAAAAGAGAACCAAGCUUCAAGACAAAAGUGAGGCAAUGGUGUUUGUAGGAUAUCAUCCCACUGGAGCAUACAGAUUAUUUGACUCAAUCAGAAAUAAAAUUCAAAUCAGUAGAGAUGUCCUGGUUUUAGAAAAUGAACAAUAGGAUUGGAAGAACAUGCAUACAAGUCUGAAAAGAAUUCUACCUAGACUAAAUGAAGAUGAGUCAAACACAGAAAAUCUAACUGAAAGACCAAAUGAAGAAGGAGAUCAAACAGCAGAAGAAACAUCCUUAACUCAAAGAUCACAAAGGCAGAGAAUAAGGCCUAUCAGAUUCAAUGACUAUGAAGUGCACAAUGAUGAUCAGAUAGAUGAAGCAGGAGAUCUGAUUCACCUAGCAUUAAUGGCAGAAGCUUUACCAAUAGAUGAAACAGAAGCCUUAAAACAGAAAGUACGGAAAGAUGCAAUGGAUGAAGAAAUCAUAUCAAUUGAGAAGAAUGAAACUUGGAACCUAGUUGAGCUUCCAAGGGACAAACAUCAAAUAGGGGUGAAAUAGAUCUUCAAACAGAAGAUAAAUCCUGAUGGAUCAAUCUCAAAAUACAAGGCCAGAUUAGUUUCAAAAGGCUUUCUGCAGAAACAGGGCCUAGACUAUACUGAGGUCUUUUCCCCUAUGGCACGAAUUGAAACAAUCAGGUUAGUGAUAGCUAUUGCUUGUGCAAGAAACUGGACACUGUACCAACUUGAUGUAAAGUCAGCAUUUCUCCAUGGGCCUCUGAUUGAAGAAGUAUAUGUACAACAACCUCCAGGCUUCAUAAUCAGUGGCAAAGAACACAUGGUGUACAAACUAAACAAGGCCCUAUAUGGCCUGAAGCAAGCACCAAGGGCCUGGAACAGAAGGAUUGACUCAUUCAUGGACAAACUCAGUUUCUAUAAAUGCUCAGUAGAGCAUGGAGUGUAUGUGAAAGAGGGAAACCAAGGAGAAUUACUCAUUAUCUGCCUAUAUGUUGAUGACUUACUAGUAACAGGAUCCAGCCUAGAAGGAAUUGAAGACUUCAAAAGUGUCAUAAAAGCUGAAUUCGACAUGAUAGAUCUAGGGAGGCUAAGUUACUUCCUUGGCAUGGAGUUUGCAUACACAACUUCAGGAAUUCUUAUGCACCAAAAGAAAUAUGCAAAUGAAAUGCUAAUCAAAUUCAACAUGGACAAAUGCAAUCCUGCAAUUACUCCUACUGAAUCUAAUCUGAAGUUGACAACAGAUGAGGAUGGUGAGUCAGUAAAUGAAACCAUGUUCAAACAAAUAGUUGGAUCUCUAAGGUUCCUAUGCAAUAGCAGGCCUGACAUCACAAAAGGGUGGGUUUAGUGAGCAGAUUCAUGUGCAAACCAAAAAAGACUCAUAUGUUAGCUGCCAAGAGAAUCUUGAGAUACAUCAAAGGGACUUCAAACUAUGGGAUCCUAUUUCCAACAAGAAAACAGAAACUAUCACUCAAACUGAUUGGUUUUUCAGACUCAGAUUAUGGUGGUGAUCUUGUUGAGAGGAAAAGCACUUCUGGAUACAUCUUCUUGCUCAAUGAAGCUCCUAUCUCAUGGUGCUCCAAGAAACAAGAAGUAAUUGCUCUAUCAAGUUGUGAAGCAGAGUAUAUUUCUGGUUGUUAUGUUGCCUACCAAUUCGUAUGGCUUGAAGAAUUGCUUAAGGAGAUCAAGACAAAGGUUGAGACACCUCUGCAACUCCUAAUAGACAACAUUUCUACUAUCAAUCUGUCCAGAAAUCCAGUAAGUCAUGGCAGAAGCAAACAUAUCGAAGUGAGGUUCCAUUUCUUAAGGAACUUGGUGAAUAAAGGACAGAUUGAGAUUGUUCACUGCAAAACCGAGGUACAACUAGCAGAUGGUUUCACUAAGGCAUUAAAACCAGAAAGGUUUGCAAAGCUAAGGAGAGGGAUAGGUGUUGAAUCUCCUAGAUACUUGAAUUAAGGGAGAAUGUUGAAACAGAAAAAUGUAAUUCAAGUUAGUUAGAACUUACUAAAAAUAGAAGUUAGUUGAUUAGUAGUUAGUUGGUAGUUGAAGAUUCAUACUAUAAAUAGAAAGCUGUGUAUUUUGUUUCAAGUUGAAUAAGAAUAUACACACUUCAUUCAUAUACUCUUCUUUCAUCUUCUCUGCACAAUCUUCUCCUCCUCUAUUUUUCAUUCUCAUCUCAAUCUGAUUUCUAACAUUUUGGACGUAGAGCAAAACAUUCUAGCAAGCAAAACAUCAUAGCCAAUCUGCUACAUAGAAUACAUAUGAAGAUAAAAGUCAUAACACACAAGAAAAUAUGAAUGAAGUAAAUAUAUAAAAGUUUGCAUUUCUAAUGGCAGAAAGAGCAUAUUCUUUGGUUUAGGAGUGUGCUUGUUUAGGAUUAUUUCUCAACAAAAUCACUUAUAACUUAAUGAAACAAGUUUUGUAAGAUUAUUUCCAUAAUAAGAAUUUGAAAUUAAUCAGAUUAAUUUCAUAUUCUACUUUGAUAAUUUGAUUACAUUCGGAUUGUAAUGGGGGUGUGGUAGAUGAGAGAUAAACAAUGCCCAAAUUAUGGAGCAUUAUAAAAUGGAUUAUUUUGGUCUGAAUCAAACAUAAUUCGCUUUUGAUUUUCACCAAAGUCUAUAAAAAUUAAAUUACUUAUUUUACACAAUCUAAAAUAAGUACUUUUUACAUCUACCAUUUUGGAUGACAAAUAUCAAUAUCAUCAUAAAACCAACUACAUUUCCAGUUCUGAAUUUAACACCCUUACUCAACCAAUAAUGUAAUUUCGGUAUAAUGCUAUAUGGUAAAAAUAUGUUACUCCUAUAAACUUUAGAUCAUUAUAAAGGAUUUACAUCAUCUUUAAUGAUUAUAUAACCAAAUAUUUGUUACACAAGUAAUAUUAUAUAUGUUAUAUAUUUGUGUUUUCGACUUAGAUUUUUUUUUUCAGCAUUCUUUUGUAUAUGCAUCAAAACAAAUUUGUCUUUAGCGAAUGCACAUAUAUGUUGCUAGUUUUUAACCUUAAAAGAUAGGGCCCAAAGUUCCAUUUAGUGGCAUGUUUGUUUUCAGAAAAUUUAAAGCACAAAACUUCAAAGCAGUUGGCCUCGUGUGGUGUUACAUUCAGUGCUCAUCAUGUGCAACAGUUAUGUGUAAAAUUUGUUUGUUUUUUUUGGCAGAUAGGACUUUUUUAUUUUAGAUUAAAUAAUCAUUUCUGUUUCUCAUGUUUUUUUGCCUUAACUAGUUUGAUUCCUAAAAUUUUGAAAAACACAAAAUAGUCCCCAAAAAAUUCAAAUAUUUGUUAAAUUAAUCAUUUUUUUAUGUUUUACAAUAUUUGAUAGUAACUAAUUUGACCUAAAAAUUAUUUGACUAACAUUUGAAUUUUUGGGACUAUUUUAAGUUUUUUCAAUUUUUGAGGGACCAAACUGGUAAAGUUAAAAAAUACAAGAGAAUAAAAUGAAUAUUUACUCUUUAUUUUAUAGGUGGUAUGAGUCAUGAUCAUCUAACCAUAGCCAUAAAUGUUGCUAAUUAGGUGUGUAGCUUAAAAUUUUGGAAAUUAGAUAUUACUUCAUAGUCUGUUUGUGAGUUGAGUUUUGAUGAAGGAAAAAGGAAAAUACAAAACUUGAGAACCAUAAAAUACACUAACGAUAUGACUUUAAAGUCUUCCCAUUGUUAGAAAUUCAUAAUUUCUAAGUAAGGUAGACAUCAUAUAUUUAAUACAAUUAUAUUGGCUAUUUAUUUUGGGUUACAAAACAUGUGAUCUAAUUAAUGACAACCUAUAAGACUUCUGAGACUGAUAACAGAUAUGAGCUUAAUGAGUAGAUACCCAAACGGUUGACCUAUAGGGGAUAAUGAGAACACUAUAAGUUAAUACAUAAGGAAUGGUUAUAGUACCCAAUACACCAAAUCACAAAUAGUUUUUACAUCUCCCCAUCAGAGAAAAAAUGAAGGUCCCAAAAGGAAUUAAGGAUUUGGUUGAGGAAGACCAUCAUACCAAAACUCUCUCCAAAGGUAUAUCAAAGGAGUAGAUGAGAGAACAUGGAUUCAGGUAGACUUUGGAUCCUUGUUUUCUAUUAUAUGUAAGAAUCAUGAUAUUCAAGAUCCUAGAAUUGAUAUUUCACAAAUCACCAGGAAAUAUUUAACAAGUGGUAUCAGAGCUUUAGGUUCUGAAUUUUAUGGUUCUCUAAGAUGUUUCCCCCAAUUUUUUAUGAACCCUAAUUUUUUUAAAUUUGUGGAUUUUUAUGCUUCCGCUAUUGGUUAUGAAAAUUGGGUAUUUAGGAAUAAUGAUGAUAAAUUUUAUUCGCUCUCGCAGAUAUGAAUUACGAGUAAUUUGUAUUAUGAAUCAUUGCAACAUGUGUUGAAGUAUAUAUUCAGAUCUGUGCAUGAACAUUACAUUAAAUUUUAUGACUAUAUUAUGUAAUAUGUAUAUUAUAUGUGCACUAAUGUCUUAAUGUUGUACAUUGACUUUUAUUACUUCGCAGUUUUUGUUUUUGCAAUUGUUAAAGUAUAUGUAUAAGGUAUAUAUAUAUAUAUAUAUAUAUUGUGAGCAACGUGUAUUUAUUAUACAUUGGGGUAUUAUGUAAUCUGAAUAUCUGCAUAUAUGUUAUAUAUAUAAUCAUGGUUUGAUCAAAUAUACUCAUGUAUAUUUGAGGUUUUUGAAUAUUGCUCGAAACUUCUAUGAUUCCCACUUGAUGCACAACGUGUGGGUGAUCUUUAUUCGCUCAUAGCGUGACAGAUUGGCAAGAGAAAAUACAUUUUUAUUGCCUUAAUGUAUGUAUAUAUAUAUAUAUAUAUAUAUGUGUGUGUAUAAAAUAAUUGACCAAAUAUAUAAAAAGAUAUGCUCUUGAUGUUUUAAAGUUGGGCAUAAUCAUAUUCGAUUUAGAAUUUAUGAUAUUGAUUUGCAUAUAUUUUUUAUGCUUUUCAAUGUGGAUGUAUUUUGUAUUUGAUUAAGAUUGCACCCAUUUUUAUAUGUUGAUAUAUAUGUAGUAUAUCUUUUUUUUAUUUGGAACUAGCAAGUUACCCGUGCAUCAGCACGGGGCAAUACUUCUUUGCUGUAAGAUUAAUAACACAUAUUACAUAGACAUUUAUAUGGUUAAGAAACACAUGUCACUCGUGCAUUCGUAUUGUUAAGAACACACAUGUGACUCGUACAUUCACAUGGCUAAAAAUACACAUGUUAUCUGUACAUUCGCAUUACUAAGAAAACACAUGUUACUCAUGCAUUCGCAUAGUUAAAACAUACGUAUUACUCAUACAUUUACAUUAUUAAGAAUACACAUCUUACCUGUAUAUUUGCAUAUUCAAGCACAUAAAGAAAAUAAAUGACAAUUUUUAAUUUGAAUUUUCUAAUCGAAAUAGCAAACUAAAAGUCUGAAACACGAUAGCAUAUUAUUUUUAUUAAAAUAAAUAUUUUAAAAUUUAUAGAAAAUGAAAUGAUUUUUCAAUUUUAAAUACGAUUUUUUUAAUGAAAAAAUGGAAAUCAAAUCGUUAUACUAUAUGAGUUUUUUAUUAUGAAUAUAUUUAAAAGUUAUAAAAAACUUCAAUUUGGAAUUUGAUUUUUUUAAAUUUAUAAUAGAGAAAAUUUAAAAUUCAAAGAAUCUAAAAUAUUAAAAUUCAUUGGGAAAAAUGUCACAAAACUUUGAUAAGGUGAAAAAAUAGAAUUAUUCUUAGAUUAAUGGUAAACAUAUACAUAGAUUAAUGUAAAAAAAUAGUUUGGAUGUGAAAAAUAAUUUCAAUCUCAUCUAAUAUUCAGUGUCUAUUGCAUUUUAACAUAACAAAAACCAAACGCUAAUCAUUAGUAUUAAAUUAUUAACAUAUAAAAUAUAUAAAAAGUAAAGAUAAUGUAGGAAGGUACAUAGUAAUAACAUAGAAUAUUUUAGGAGGGAAAGAUGUGAGAAGGUAGUGACAUGUGGCAUGAAGAAGAAAAUGUGAGGAGGAAGUGACAUGUGACAUGUGACAUGAAUGAGUUUUUAUUUUUUUUAUUUUUUAAUUAAUAACAUAGAACAUUUUAGGAGGGAAAAUGUGAGGAGGAGGUGACAUGUGGCAUGAAGAGAAAAAAUGUGAGGAGAAUGUGACAUGUGGCAUGAAUGAGUUUUUUUUAUUAUAUUGUUAAUAGAUAGAUUAUAUUGUGGGAUUAGAUUUGUUAAUAUAAAAUAUAUCAAAUCUGAAGGUAAUUAAUUUUUGAAUUAAUUGAUGCAAUAUGAUGCCAAAGUAACCUCUAUUGUGGAAAUUGAUUAAAAUUACAUAGAUGAGUAUGAGAUUAUUUAUGCGAAUUGUGUUCAGCACAAAGAAAUACACAAUUUGGCCAAGUAAUAACAUAUAUGUGAUGAUAAAUAAGUAACUAUUUUAAAGUUUUUUUCAUGUGAAUAAUAGUCGGUCCAAAGAAAGACUAUUGUUUGACAAAACUAAUUGUUAAUAUUUGAUCAUUACGUUGAGAGUACCACUUACAAAUUAAUUUCUCUGUCCAUAGACUAGAAAUUGAUGUUAUGUUAGGUAUCUUGUGAUGAGUAUAUUAUGUAAAAUUGACUUGUUAUAUAUAUAUAUUACCUGACUUGUUUAUUAAAAUAGUUGCAAUACUUAUGGUUUGUUGCAUUGGUUGGUGGCUGUUGAUUGCAUUAUUAAGUGGUUGCUAUUAUUGAAGUAUUGUUUCUGUUUGAACAACUUGCUCUACCAUAUUUAAUCAUGUAUAAAAUGAUAAUAUUUUUUAUAGAAAAUUCAAAAGGAUCAUUAUUGAAAUUCGAAAUGCAAUCUUUGUGAUGAGAAUGAUGCAAUGCUAUCAGUAGGCUAUAAUGAAUAUAUGUAUUUAUAUGUGAUAUAAAUAAUAUAUGUUUUGGAUUAAGGUUAUGUUGAAUCAAACUCAACUAGUGGUGCAAAUAUUUCUGCUUAAAUUAAGAACAUCUCAUUGCUGAAUGGGACAAAUUUUAAGGUCUAUAAGGAAGCCGUAUAAAUUAUUUUCGGUUGUAUGGAUUUAGAUCUAGCACUUUAGGUAGAGAAAUCCAUUUCUACUUUGGAAAUUCUCGAUGAGGUUAAAAUUUAGAAAUUGGAAGACUCUAACCGAAUGUGUCUAAUGAUCAUGAAUAUUCUAGAAGCGUUUCAUGGCUCUAUUUAUGAGAGUCAUAUGGCAAGGAAGUUCCUUGCAGAAACAGAACAUUUUUUUUGCCAAAAAUGAAAAGGCGGAGACGAGUAGCGUUUUGGCUAAACUCAUCAACAUGAAGUAUAAAGACAAAUGGAAUAUAAGGGAGUACAUUAUGGAGAUGUCUAAUCUCGCAUCAUAGUUCAAGUCACUUAAGUUAGAGCUUGGUGAUGACUUACUCGUGCACUUGAUUUUGAUCUCCCUUCCUACACACAUUGGGAAAUUCAAAGUGAGUUACAACACUCAGAAAGACUAUGUGCAAGAGGAAGAGAAACUGUAGAGAGAUAGGACUGAAAGUGUUCACUUAGCUAUGACCUCUCAGAAUAAGAAAAGAAAGAACAAUAAGGAUGUUGUGAAAGGGUUAUUUGUAUUUUCCUCAGAGAAUGUGGAGUUGUUCUGGAAUACACUAUGUUUGGAAAAUCUAGCAUGAAGGGUGUUGUUGAGCGAAUAAACCGAACUCUUAAGGAUAUGGUGAGAAGUAUGAUUAGUCAUUCUUACUUACCAGAGUUUCUUUGGGGUGAAGCUUUAAAGACCGCGAUUUACAUCCUUAAUAAGGUGCCAAGUAUAACAGUUAACAAAACCCAUAUGAGAUUUGGAGUAAUAAAAGACCAAGCUUAAAACACUUGCACAUUUGGGGUUUCCCAUCUGAAGUGCGGCCUUAUAGGCUGCAUGAAAGGAAACAUGACUCAAGAAUUGUUAGCUGCUAUUUUGUUGGCUAUGUUGAACACUCUCGGGGUUAUAAAUUUUAUGAUCCCACUUCAAGACUUUUUGAGACGAGAAAUGCAAGAUUUUUUGAGAAAGUUGAUUUUGGGAAGGAAGAUAACAUAAUGAAUGUUGUCUUUAAGGAAGAACAUGUCACUAAUGGUGAACAAGUUCUUGUACCUAUUACCAUUCAAGGAAUAAAUUCAAUAAAUAUAAGAUAAUGUUCAUAAUAUUGUUCCUGACAAUAUUCUAGAACAAGACAACAAUGAGGUUCUCCCUCAACUACCUAUAGAACAAAUUCAACAACCUCAAGAAGUAGAAGUGUCAUUAAGGACAUCCACUAGAGAGGAGAAAUACAAUUCUUGAUGAUUAUAUUGUAUUUCUUUAAGAACACGAGGAUGACAUUGGGUUAACAGAGGAUGAUCCAUUGAACUUCUGUCAAGCCAUGAAAUGUUCUAACUCUAAAAAGUGGAUUGAUGUCAUGAAGGAUGAGAUGAAGUCUAUGCAUGAUAAUGACGUUUGGGAUCUCGUCGAAUUACCUGAAGGUACGAAACAUAUUGGUUGCAAAUGGAUAUUUAAAACCAAGAGGGAUUCGAAGGGUAAUAUUGAUAGAUAUAAAACUCGUCUAGUAGCUAAAGGCUUCACUUAGAAAGAAGACAUUGAUUAUAAAUAAAUCUUUUCUCCAGUAUCUUCGAAGGAUUCUUUUAGAAUAAUAUUGGCACUAAUGGCUCAUUUUGAUUUAGAUCUACAUCAGAUGGAUGUUAAAACCGUGUUUCUAAGUGGUAACAUUAAAAAAACGAUCUAUAUGGUGCAGCCAGAAAACUUUGUGUAAAUUGACUCAAAGUCAAUGGUAUACAAAUUAAAGAAAUCCAUCUAUGGACUUAAACAAGCUUCUCGUUAAUGGAAUCACAAGUUUCACCAAAUUAUUACCUCGUAUGGUUUUGAGGCAAAUAAAGUUGAUGAUUGUGUGUACCACGAGUUCAGUGGGAGUAAAGUUAUAUUCUAGGUAUUAUAUGUCAAUGAUAUACUGCUUGCAAGUAGUGAUUUGGGACUAUUGUAUGAGACCAAGAGAUUUUUAACGAAUAAUUUUGAAAUGAAAGAUCUUGGGGAAGCUUCUUUUGUAUUAGGUAUUCAGAUACUAAGAGAUUGCUCUCAGGGUAUCCUAAGGUUGUCACAAGAAAGCUAUAUAGAUAAAGUCCUAAUAGAUUUGGCAUUAAAAGUAGUAAACUAGUGAUACCCCUAUAGCUAAGGGAGACAAGUUUAGUCUCGGACAAUGCCCCAAAAAUGAACUUGAAAGAUAAGAGAUGCAAAAUAUUCCUUAUACAUAUGUAGUAGGAAGUCUAAUGUAUGCUCAAGUUUGCACACGUCCCGACAUAAUGUUUGUCGUGGGAGUUUUGAAAAGACAUUUGAGCAAUCAUGUAAUGCAUCAUUGAAAGACAUUCAAAUUAGUUAUGCGUUACUUAAAGAGAACAAAUGAUUACAUGUUCACUUAUCGGAUGUCUGAGAAUUUAGAGAUCAUUUGGUAAUUUGACUCUGAUUUUUUGGGUGUCUAACAACAAACACUACACCUCUGGAUAUAUGUUUUUUAUUGGAUGGAGGUGCUAUCUCUUGGAAGUCUGCUAAACAGACGCUCAUAGCUCCUUCAACCAUGGUAGCAGAAUUCAUGGUUUGUUUUGAAACAUUAUACCAUGACAUAUGGUUAAUUUUUGUCACUGACUUACGUGUGGUUGAUGGUAAGUCCACGGUUCUUUACUCUAACAAUAAUAGGAGUUCUACAAAGUAAAAUUUUAUUGAUAUCAAGUUUCUGGUUGUGAAAGAAAGUGUUCAAAAUAGACAGUUCUGUAGAACAUAUAGGGACAAAAUUUUUGCUAGCUAAUCUACCAACUAAGGGUUUGGUACCUAAAGUCUUUCAUGAGCAUAUUUCUCAUAUGAGCAUUUCUCCUUAGAAUACCUUAGCUCAGUGGGAGUCAAUAUGUUUUAUGAUUUACUUUGGACGUCAUAUAUAGUUUUAUGCAUAAUAAAGUUGAUGGUUUAUUGUUCCAUUUUGAAAUUGUGCAUUGUAACUAUUGUAUUUCACUUAAAGACUUUGGAUUGAUCUCACUAAAGAAUAAAGAAGGACCAGUUGGAAAUAGACAUGUUUAAGAUCACAUUGCAAGAAAUUUCCAUAUCACUCAUCCAUAUUUGAUCUAUGUCAUUUAGUAUAUUGGUAUGGUGAUCAACGUGGUCGAGUCACAUUUGAAUAUGAUGGAGGUUGUGGUGGUUCCAUAGUUGAUAUAUAAGAUGUACCAAAUUGUAUUAAGGAGAAGUCUAAAUAUAAAUAGCAUACAGAUGUGCGCCUAAAGAAUAUGUGAUAUAAUUGUUAUAGGAAAAAUAUUAAGCCCAAGUGGGAGAUUGUUAGAAAUUCAUAAUUUCUAAUUAAGGUGGACAUCAUAUAUUUAAUACAAUUAUAUGGACUAUUUAUUUUGGGGUUACAAAACAGGUGAUCUAAUUAAUGACAACCUAUAAGACUUCUGAAACUGAUAACGAAUAUGGGCUUAAUGAGCGAAUACUCAAACAGUUGACCUAUAGGGGAUAAUGAGAAUCCUAUAAGUUAACACAUAAGGAAUGGUUAUGGUCCCUAAUACACCAAAUCACAAAUAGUUUUCACCUCUCCCCAUCAGAGAGAAAACGAAGGUCCCAAAAGGAAUUGAAAAUUUGGUUGAGGAAGACCAUCAUACCAAAACUCUCUCAAAAGGUACAUCAAAUAAGUAGAUCAAAGAAUACAGAUUCAAGUAGACUUUGUAUCCUUGUUUUAUAUUAUGUGUAAGAAUCAUGAUAUUUAAGAUCCUAUGAUUGGUAUUUCACCAAUCACCAGGAAAUAUCUAACACCCAUUUCAUUCAUUUCCUUGAAAACUCAACCCGCAUUCCAAAAUUAGUAGGAGAUUGAUCGGCAAUUGACCCCGAGAAACUAGAUAACUUCCUAGUUAGAGGAUUAACUUCAAUUGAAGGUUAUGAAAUGGUUAUUACUGAUGAACAUUUUGCUCUCUCUUUAUAUGUCCAAACCAUACAAGGCGUAAUCAUUCAUCUUUUCUACAAUAGGAACAACACUAACUUUUUCUUGAUGCAUUUAUAUCUAAUCCUAUAUUGUCUAAUGUGACCACUCAUCCAACGAGAGCACAUCUUCUUUCCCAAAAUGUGUAUCACUCCAUGUGUCACUUUCUCUAAUUGGUCAGAAAAAUACUUUUGUUAAAUUUUAAACUUAAAUAUAUAUUUUUCAACUAAUCAGAACAAGUGUCACAAGGAGUGACACACUCUUUUGGUACAACAGAUGUUGACCCAUCAUCUAGCAUAAUAUUCUCAUCUUCUCAUCUAUAUUCUCAUAUUCUAUUGUUAAUAUUUUACACCCAAUAUUUAGUGCAUGUGACAUUGCAUGUCUUAUAGUUGUAUGGCAAAACUUCCCCUUAAGUUUUAGUGAUACAAUUUUAUCACAAAUGACACCUAAAACACUAUGCCAUUUCAUCCAAUUUGCUUGAAUCAUACGGUUCACAUAUCCAUCAAUAUUUCCAUUGUCUUGUAUGAUUGAUACAAAAUACCUAACUUGUAACAUCGUGUUUUAUAGAACACUUUUAAUUAAGUAAUUAGUAUUAAUGGAUUAAUUAUAGAAAUUAAUAAGUAAUAUUUUAGGCUAAACCUAAUUUGAGUUUUAGUCUUGUAUUAUGAUUUUCUUUCUUGCCCUAUUUUUUCAAGAUUUUUGGAUAAUAAAAGUUUCUGAGACGAUUUCGGGUCAUUUUAUCGAGUUUUCGACCAGUUUUUGAGUUUUGUAACUCGGAAUUGAAUUCCAAUUUCGCCUUAAGCUUAGAAAUAUUAUUUAUAGUCAAAAUAGACACCAAGUUUGUCUGUAACUCAUCUCUAGAUAUUUUUCACCUUGAAAUUUAAGUUUCGAAGUUUUAGGCAAAUAUCCUAAAUCGGGAGAUUGUAUAUUUCCGGACGAAAUUAUCUGAAAAUGUUCGGACACGAUGUUUAUCGGGAAAUUACAUCAUAUCAAUAAAGUUUGAAGUCGUCAUUUCAUGAGUGACUUACUUGUUACACAAGUAAUGCAAAAGCUUCCGAAAGCCCCUAAAACACUCAAGAAAUCCUCUUACUCCACCAUCAUUAGACACAUCAACUAUGUUAGUCUAAAUCUACUUUGCAUUAAAUUUUCUGAUUUGAUGAGGGUGAUGCUCUCCUAUAAAUACCUUACCCAAUUCUCUCAUUUUUACACUAAAUUCCCUAUACAAACUAAUGUAGUCUUUUAUUUUCUCUUCUUCAAUUAUGUUGUUCAUAAAGUAGAUUUUAUUUGUUAUUUAAGUAUUUUAUGAAGGCAUAACUAAAGGGGAUAAUAAUAAAAUCAUAUGAACCUUUAUGUAGUUUUUGACUUUUGUAAAUCUUGAAAUUUCUUCCUUGUUCUUAGAUGGAAAAACUAUAUCUUUGGACAAGGUUAGAUGAGUUAUUUGUUUGGAAAAACUAUGUUUAGGAAAAAAGUUUCUAUUUUAUUCUUGAAAGAUUAUGAUGUUGAUGAUUUUUUGUUGAAAAUGUUUAAUUUUUAGAAAGUAUUAUGUUUUAAAAGUGGUUUAGCAUAUUUUACUCUUUUAUUUCCAAGUUAAAAUUAUGAUUUGGGAUAAAAGAUGAUUUAUAAAAGUCUUGACUUCAUAUACUUAAAGUGUUAUGAAAUUUUGGAUAUUAAAGUAGUAGAAAGUCUUACCUUAGGAUUUAUUUUCAUGACUAUGAAAUUAAAACUUACUAAUCCUUGAGGUUUUUCCUAAAAAAUUAGGAGGUGUUAAGAUGUUCAUGAAAAGUUGUUGUGUUAAGAUGUUCAUGAAACUUUGUUUUAGUAGUAUACUUGAAAUAAGGAGAUUUACCUAAAAGUCUUGACUUUAUAAACUUCAAGUGUUAUGAAGUCUUAGAUGGUAAAAUGAUUUAAAAAUCUUGAAUCUUAGUUAAAUGAACUUACUCUAAAAUGGUAAGAUUUACUUAAAAAAUAUUGAUUUUGUUUAAAUUGACUUACUUAAAAAAUGAUAAGUGUAGCUUAAUGAUCUUAUUUUAAAAGGUUAGUUUUAGUAAAAAUGUUUUACUUACAAAAAAUAAGAUAUAUGAACUAUCGGAAAAAUGUAAUGAAAUAGGAAUACAUGUCUAGAAAGGUUCUGUCUAAGGAAAGACUUGGUAUUUAAGGGUGUCUUUACAACCCACAUCUCUUUCCUAGGAACUAGCCUUGUGUAUAUCCACAGAUUACGACAUAAUUCCGGUAUAAGUUUUAUUGAAAAUCUUACUUUAAAAAGUGUUAUUUGAUUGUAAGACUUUCAAUGACAAAUGAUAAUUCAAGGAUGUUCAACCUUGACUCGGAUUGACGAAAGCAAUUAAAUUCAUUUUAAAUCGGAAGUUUUAUCUUCGCGUAAAAAUUUAUUUUGUAAGUAUAAUAAUUAUCGCAUGUUAACUAAUUAACGUUAUUUUGGCGUAAUGACGAGUUCGAGAGGAGAUCGGAUCAAGUAAGCUCACCUGCAAACAAAGAAUCUAGCGACCUGACACACUCAGGUGAUGGAGAAAACAUCGUGACAUAGUGGUGUCCGAAUAUGUAUCAGGACCUCCAAACUCCCUCACAAGUUUGGAGGUGCCUUGGGUAUUAAGAAAGUUCGUACUUAAUCAAUUGCCUGUUUGUUUGGAUUAAGUACAACAAUAUUUCUUAUAUCGANNNNNNNNNNNNNNNNNNNNNNNNNNNNNNNNNNNNNNNNNNNNNNNNNNNNNNNNNNNNNNNNNNNNNNNNNNNNNNNNNNNNNNNNNNNNNNNNNNNNGUGCCCUCGCUUGAGCGAGACAGCUCUCGCUUGAGCGAGAGAGCUCCAUACAGACAUGACUUCUUUUUAAGUCGUCUGAAUGAUAAGUCUCAUAUAUACGAGAGCCUAAUGGCAUGUUUGCCAUCAAGAAGUUGUAAAGGUAAAUAAUUAUAAGAAAUUCUUGAAAGUAAUAAAACUAAGGAAUUGCUUUGUUAAAAGGAGAGGCCCGAGGGUGUGAUAUUAUGCCCACGCAGCGAGAUCGUUUGACUGUAAGAGACUUGGCUAGAGCAGUCGUCCAGGAUGAUUCAGCAAUGGUUCGCAGUGGUGCUGAGAAGUAUUAUGUUGUGCCCAUGCAGCGAGAUCGUCUAACCAUAAGAGGAUUGGCUUGAGAGCCGUCCAAGAUAAUUCAGCGAUGGUUAGUAGUGGUAUCGAAAUUAUUCUCUUUUUGUUUAUAUGUUAAGAUCGGGACCCACUAGAAGCAUUCUCGAUGGGAGAUGUCUUAGGAUGGGUAGAUCGCUAGAAAAGAUGGAUUAAAAGACAUAAUUUGCUAACUUCAGUUAGGGUGCAUAUCCAUGGUCAAAAAUGUAGUAGCGGAGAGGAAAUGUACAGGAGACGAAUGAGCCCCGAUAUGUUUAGAGGGACGGUGUUGAUGGCGGUGAUUCGUCAGCAAAGUCUUGAGGGAGAGUCUAGGUGAGAUGAGUCCCAUGUAUUCCUGGGAUCAGAUAGUGCUCACAGCGCGAACUAGACGAUCUCUGACAAUCCCUCUUUGCAAUCAUGAUCGAUGAGAGGGAUGCCCAGAAUGUGUGUGAUAUGACACCAUCCUGAAAUGGACAGUUCCGUUGGAAUAGAUCGAUCAUAUAUCCUUGCGAGGAAUAAUUUUGGUGCAAUCAAAUCAGCUUGUUAUGUGAAAUGUACUCUCGGUUAUUUCUGAAUAGUUAUUGAGAGGUUAAAGGAGUAAAGAUGGUGGACUCAAGCAUCGCAUUGCAUACAUGAUAUUCUUCAAUAUUGAUUCUAAAUUCUCGAGUUUACUUCAUUCAUCGUUAUUAUAUGCUUGUAUGAUCACAUGAUAAAUCUAUACUUGUGUGUUGUCUUGGUGUAUUAUUCCGUGUAAUUCCACAACGCCGAUGACAAGUUCUUCAUAGAUUUUUUACUCCCUCUCUUUUCUUCUGGUGUAUUUGUAUGCAUGUUCAGAUGGACUCAUCAACACUAAUCUGAGGUUAUCGCUUCCCUAUGUCCCAGGAGGGGACAUGGAGUGUUGAGGGUAAUCGACACACUUACACGGGUCCUUGCGACCUGUAGCUGGAUUGGGCAAGCAAUGGGUCAGUUAUGCAUCUUCCACCUUACUACGCAGUUCGGGAGGCAUUAUUCACUUUACCCGACCGAAGACCUGCAACCGUCAGACUUUCUGUACCGGCUGAAGCUCGAGGCGUACCAGAAGUUGUUAGGACCGGGCCCCAAACAGGAUUCUCAUCAUUAGAAUCGGCGCCAAGAGAGACAGACGGGGCCAUGCCAAGGGGGGACACCCUGGACCCCUCAAUGGAUUGGGGAGCGGAUGAAGUGGAGGAGGAGGAAGACAACGUCGACAAUGUAGAGCUUAUCUGCAUAGAAGACUCAGUUGAGGUCAUUGAGAUCACUUCUAACUCAGAGGUGGAGGAAGAACCCAGCGAGGCUUCCAGUGCACCUCCGGUUUAGGAGGUUUCUCUUUUGUUUUGUUGUGAUAGGAACCUGUGUGAGGUACUUUUUGUGAUGUCAAUGCCCCAACAUUAUUUUCUUUGUAUUUUCAGUUUUUUUAUUUUUAUUUGUGGUGAUGAUUAGAUUUCACCUUGUAAACAAUUUUGUAUUUAUUCAAGAAUUUUAUGAAUGAGAAGUAUUCAGAAAAGAAUUGUGUUCAUUUAAUUAUCUUCAAUAUAUGAAGAAUUUUAUUUCCACAAUGUUUGAAAAUGUGAUGUCUUAAAAAUUAAAUAAGGUAAAAGUGAAAAUGAUUUAUAAGUUAUAGGUUACAUAAAAGAAAAGAAAAAAGGAAAGAAAAUUUUAACUAUUUUUCUAAGAGAUUAAAUAUAUUAAAUAUGAAAUGAUUUUUGGGGCGUUAUAUAACUCUAAUGUCUUAUGGUAUGAUAUUAUCCUUAAUCUUUACCUCUAAAGUAGAAGUGUCAAAACAGGCCAGCCCGGUCAGGUCGCCCCGCCAAAGCCCAAAAAUUUAUAGGGCUUGAGUAUCAUUUUAGACAUUUUUUAUUGAAUUCGGACUUUUUAGCCCGGUCCGACCGAGCUAUAUGAAAACCGGGCUCGGGCCGGGCUUAACCGGGCAGGUUCGAGCUACCCGUUUUUCCUUUUUUUUAUUUAUAUUUUUUGGAACCUUUGACUUGAUAAAGUCUUAUGUGAAAAUUAUUUUACAAAACAACUUAUAAUAAAAAAUAGAUAAUAAAUAUUAUGUUAUGAACUUUGAAUAAAAAAUAGAGUAAUGUCUACAACAUAAAUAUUUAUAAAUUACAAUAAUGUUAUAGAGUUAAACAUUAUAUUAUUUUUCUAUUUUACAUAAUAUCAUUUUAAGCCCAAUAAAAAAUAAUGUAUCAAAUCAAAUUAGAAGACAUUAAACCAAUGUUGUAAAAACCAUUUCGUACUAGCCGGUUCAACCGGAAAACCGGUGAAUCGGACCCCUAACCGGUACAGUACAGGUGUUGAACCGGUUAAGUAUCAAAACCGGUCAAAACCGGCCAAUAUUUUACUAAACUGGCCAGUUUAUACACAUAUAUUUUUUUUUUGCAAAAAAAAAUUAAAUACUUAAAAACUCAUUACAAGGUGACUCAUCUUUCCAACCAUUCUUCAACACUUCAAGGCACAUGUUUCCAAGGCAUAUAUAAAUUACACUUUUUGGUUCCUAAUGUUCGUGUGUAAUCUCAGUGACAUUUGUGUAAUCUUGGAGUAGUGUGUGAAAAUAGGAUUUGGUGGAAAAAUAUAAUAUCGAUAUGAAAUAACUUUGACUCCUUGGUGUUAAAUAUUAAACUCCAAAUUUAUUUGUUUUGUAGAGUGAGUUGUGAACUUGUGUCAUUUAUUUAUAUUUUGCGGUUGUUAAGUGAUACUUUUGGAUUAAUAUGUGUUUUGUAAUUUAGACUUUGAAUUUGUUAAAGUCUUAAAGUUGUUUGUUUAUGUGAAUUUUUAGUAGAUUAUAAACAUGGAUUAUAAAUUUGAGUAUCUACCUAUUUGGAAUUUUUUUGUUAUAGGUUUUUAUAUAUAUAAAUAUAAGUAGGUAUGUCCGGUUUAACCGACAUGCGGUUUAAUUACUGAACCACCGGUUGAACCACUGUACCACUAUACCAGUACCUGACCGGUUUGAUAACCGGUACGGUUUUAACAACACUGCAUUAAACCUUAUAGAUUUCACUUUUCCUUUCUUAAUUGUGUAUCUAAUUAGAUUUAACUUCUAGAACACAAACAUAAUAAAGAAAAUAACUUUUGCAACAAAACUAAAAGACAAUAUAAUUUUUUCUCAUAAAGAACUUCAUACAACCAAAUUUAAUAUAAUAGUUCAUAAUAAAAGUGUUGAUAAAGAACAUACAAAUGAUACUAUUUUUUAUAGUGUCUAAAAAUUUAUAUAAUAUAGUGAAGUCCAAAUUAUAUUGUGUUAGAGAAUAAAAGUCCAAUAAAAAUGAGAUAUUUAAUAAAUGAGUUAUGUUAAAAAUUAUAUAUGUGGACUUCAAGUCUUAACUAAAAAAUCAGAAAUUAGAUCUAUAAGUUUGGUUGUAUUGGGCAUAGGAAGUGUGUUAAAAAAGUUAUACAUUAAUAUCAAAUAUAUAUAUUAAAUAGAUUAAAUAAGUUAAAAUUUAAAUAUUUUUUUAAUAUUAUGCAGGCCUACUCACCACAACCUGCAAUCCGCUUAGGGCAGAUUUGGGAUACAAUAUGAUAUGCAUAAAUUGUAUCCAGGCUUUUUAUCCCGUCCCGAUUUAGCCUGAACCCGAUAUGGGGUAGCCUGAACCCGUCUGAGUAGUCCAUUUUGACACCUCUACUCUAAAGUAUAGUUUAUUGGUCUCUUUCUAAAUGUACACUCCACUCAUACAACAUAAAACCAUGGUCUUAAAAUGAGCAAAUAAUUCUAUCAAGUAAUAACGAGACAAGUUAUUGCUCUUGCAUUUAUAAACAAAGGUAAAAAAAUUAUCUCAUUAUAUCUUAAGGACAAAAAUGUUAAAUCAUAUUAUUUUUUUCUUUUUUUAAGUGUAUUUGUCGCUCAUUAUCAGAGAGGAUCCUAAUUCCUUAAGAAGUGUUGGAUUUAUAAUAAUGGGAAAAGUUCACAAAACCAUCUUAAAUUUUACGUGUUUUGCAAGUAGACACCGUAAACUAUUUUUUCUUCCUAAUUACUCCUUAAACUUUAACUAUUAGUGAAAUUGGUCCCUAUAUGUUAGAUAUUUCGUGAUGAUUGGUGAAAUAGUAAUCCUAGGAUCUUGAAUCUCAUGAUUUUCACACAUAAUAUAAAACAAGGAUACAAAGUCAUAUCUGAAUCCAUAUUUUCUGAUCUACUCAUUUGAUGUACCUUUUGAGAGAGUUUCGGUAUGAUUGCAUUCUUCAACCAAAUCUUUAAUUCCUUUUAUGACCUUCGUUUUCUCUCUAAUGAGAGAGUUGAAAACUAUUUGUGAUUUGGUGUAUUGGGGAUCAUAACCGUUCCUUAUGUGUUAACUUAUAGGGUUCUCAUUAUCCUCUAUAGGCCAACCAUUUGGGUAUCCCUCAUUAAGCUCAUAUUCGUUAUCAGUUUCAUAAGUCUUAUGGUUUGUUAGUAACUUUUUUUUGUUUCCCAUAGGUAUCCUCGCACUGUAGGCAAUCCUGUCCUAGCCGGGAACAUCCACAGGUAUGUGGGGCUAACUCUCCUAGCGGGUAUUUUUUCCAUCCAGUAGACUUGAACCCGAGACCUUGUUUAAGGGGAAUCAAGCAUGUACCACUUAAAUCAACACCUCUUCGUAGUUUGUUAGUAAUUAGAUCACUUAUUUUUUAACCCAAAAAUAAAUAGUCGAUAUAAUUGUAUUAAAUAUAUUAUGCUAACCUUAAUUAUAAAUUAUGAAUUUCAAACAAUCUCCCACUUGGACUUCAUAUUUUUUCUGAACAAUUAUAUCACAUUCUUUAGGCGUGUAUCUGUAUGCUAUUUAUAUUUAGACUUAUCAUUAAUACAAUUUGGUCCAUCUCGUAUAUGAACUAUGGAACCACCACGACCUUCAUCAUACUCGACCACGAUGAUCACUAUAUUAAUAUACUUAAUGACAUAGAUCAAAUAUGGAUAAGUGACAUUGAAAUUUUAUGCAAUGUGAUCUCAAACAUGUCUAUUUCCAACUGGUCAUUCUUUAUUCUUUAGUGAGAUCAAUCCAAAGUCUUUAAUUGCAACACAAUAUUUAUAAUACACAAGUUCAAAGUAGAACAAUAAACCAUCAACUUUAUAAUGCGUAAAAUUAUAUAUGACGUCCAAAGUAAGUCAUAAAACAUAUAGAAUCUCACUGAACUAGAGCAAUACUCAUUGAGCAAUAUUCUCAUCAAAGACUUUAGGUACCAAACCCUUAGUCAAUGGAUCAACUAGCAUAAAAUUUGUCCAUAUAUGUUAUAUGAUUUUUUUUAUUUUGAACACUUUCGUUAACAACCAGAAACUUUAUGUCAAUAAAAUUUGACUUUGUAGAACUCUUAUUAUUGUUGGAGUAAAGAAUCGCAGACUUAGUGUCACAAUAAAUUCUCGAUGGUCUUUUCAUACCAUCGACCACAUGUAAGCGAAUGACAAAAUUUCUACAACCAUAUUGCAUGGUAUGAUGUUUCAAAAAAAAACCAUGAACCCCACAACCAUGGUUGAAGGAGCUAUGAGUGUCUAUUUACAAGACUUCCAAGAGAUAUCACCUCCAACCAACAUAAAUAUAUAUCCAAAGGUGGAGUACAUGUUAUCUAAACAUCUAGCAAAAUUGGAAUCAGAGUACCUAAGGAUCUCUAAAUUUUCAGACAUCUGAUAAGUGAGCAUGUACUCAUUUGUUCUCUUUAAGUAACAUAACACGUUUGAUUACCUUCCAGUGAUGUAUUACAAGAUUGCUCAAAUAUCUUUCCAAAACUCCCAAGACAAACACUAUGUCUGGACAUGUACAAACUUGAGCAUACAUUAGACUUCUUACUGCACAUGCAUAAGGAAUCUUUUGCAUCUCAUUUCUUUCAAGGUCAUAUUUUUUUGGGCAUUGUUCGAGAUUAAACUUAUCUCCCUUAGUUAUAGGGGUAUCCUCUGGUUUACUGUCUUUCAUACCAAAUCUAUCUAGGACUUUAUCUAUAUAGCUUUCUUUUGACAACCUUAGGAUACCUUGAGAGUGAUCUCUUAGUAAUUGAAUACCUAAUACAAAAUAAGUUUUCUCAAGAUCUUUCAUUUCGAAAUUCUUUGUUAGAAAUCUCUUGGUCUUAUGCAAUAGUCUGAUAUCACUACUAGCAAGCAGUAUAUCAACGAAAUAUAAUACCAAAAAUAUAAUUUUACUCCCAUUGAACCUAUGGUAUACACAAUCAUCCACUUUAUUUGCCUCAAAACUAUACGAGGUAAUAACUUGAUGAAACUUGUGAUUCCAUUGACGAGAAGCUUGUUUAAGGUCAUAGAUGGAUUUCUUUAAUUUGUAUAUCAUAGACUUUGAGCCAAUUGACACAAAAUUGUCUGGUUGCACCAUAUAGAUCGUUUCUUUAAUGUCACCAUUUAGAAGCACAAUCUUAACAUCCAUUUGAUGUAGCUCUAAAUCAAAAUGAGCUACUAAUGCCAAUAUUAUUCUAAAAGAAUCAUUCAAAGAUACUGGAGAGAAGGUUUCUUUAUAAUCAAUGCCUUCUUUUUGAGUUAAGUCUUUAACAACUAGACGAGUUUCAUAUAUGUCAAUAUUAUCUUUUGAAUCCCUCUUAUCAUGCAUAGACUUCAUCGCAUCGUUCAUGGCAUCAAUCCACCUUUGAGAGUUAGAACUUUUCAUGGCUUGACAGAAGCUCAAUGGAUCAUCUUCUGUUAACCUGAUGCCAUCUUCGUGUUCUUGAAGAAAUACAAUAUAAUCAUUAGGAAUUUCUCUUCUCCUCUCUCUAGUGGAUCUCCUUAAUGACACUUCUACUUCUUCAGGUCGUUGAAUUUUUUCUAUAGGUACUUGAGGAACAACAUCAUUGUUUUCUUGUACAAGAAUAUUGUCAGGAACAAUAUACUCUUCUAUUACCGAAGUUAUUCCUUGAAUGGUAAUAGACACAAAAACUUGUUUACCAUUAGUGACAGAUUCUUCCUCAAAGACAACAUUUCUUAUGUUCUCUUCCUUCCCAAAAUCAACUUCCUCAAUAAAUUUUGCAUUUCGUGUCACACAAAAAAAGUCUUGAAGUGGGAUCAUAAAAUUUAUAGCCCUGAGAGUGUUCAACAUGGCCAACAAAAUAGCAGCUAACUUUUCUUGAAUCCAGUUUCCUUUCAUGCGGCCUGUAAGGCCGCACCUUAGUUGGAAAACCCAACUGUGCAAGUGUUUUAAGUUUGAUCUUUUAUUACUCUAAAGCUCGUAUAGGGUUUUGUUAAUUGCUUUACCUGACAUGCUAUUAAGGGUGUAAACUGUGGUCUUUAAAGUCCUCCCAAAGAGACUCUAGUAAGGGAGAUUGACUAACCAUACUUCUCACCAUAUUCUUAAGAGUUCGGUUUCAUUGCUCAGCAGCACUCUUCAUGCUAGGUUUGCCUAGCAUAGUGUAUUGUGGAACAAUUCCAUAUUCUCUGAGGAAAACACAAUUAGUCAUUUCACAACAUCUUUAUGGUUCUUUCUUUUCUUAUUAUGAGAGGUCAUAGUCAAAUGAGCACUUUCAGUCUUAUCUCUAUGCAGUCUCUCUUUCUUUUGCACACACUAAGAUAUAAACUCAUUGAGAGGCCAUUUGUCCUUUUGAGUGUUAUAGCUCACUUAGAAUGGCUCAAAGUAUGUAGGAAGCGAGAUCAAAACCAAUUGCACGAGCAAGUCAUCACCAAACUCUAACUUAAGUGACUUGAGUUUUGAUGUGAGAUUAGACAUCUCCAUAAUGUACUAUCUUAUGUUCCAUUUGCCUUUAUACUUCAUGGAGAUGAGUUUAGCCAAAAAGCUACUCGUCUCCGCCUUUUCAUUUUUGCAUAGUAUGGUUCUAUUUCUUCAAGGAACCUCCUUGCACUCUAACCCUUAUAAAUAGAGCCCCAAAAAGCUUAUAGAAUAGAGUGUUUCAUGAUCAUUAGACACAUUCAGUUAGAGUGUUCCCAUUUCUCAAUUUUAACCUCAUCAAGGAUUUCUAGAGUAGAAACGAGUUUCUCCACCUGAAGUGUCAGAUCUAAAUCCAUACCACCGAGAAUAAUUUUUACGGCUUCCUUAUAUACCUUAAAGUUUGCUCCAUUCAGCAAUAGGAUGUUCAUAAUUUAAGCAGAAAUAUUUGCAGCACUAGUAAAAGAACAAAACAAAUUGCAAUCAUUCUUGCAAUUAAACUCACAUUCAACUUUAUUGCUUAAAUUCAAAUGAUGGUGGAGCACAUCACGAGUUACCUAACACAAAAUUAAUAUUCAGUCUUUGGACAAAAAUAUUAACUUGUAAAUGAUACACUCAAUGUAGUAAUCAAAUAUUGAUAAUUAGUCAUGUCAAACAAUAAGUUAUUCUUUGGACUGGCUUAUUAUUCACAUAAAAAGUCAUAUGAUCAUCACAUAUUUAUUGCUAGAAGUAUGCUUGUAAUUUUGGCCAAACAAUAAUCUUCUUUUGGGUCGAUCACUAUUCGCAUAAUAUGCAAAAUAUACAAUUAACUUGAUAUUUCAUAUCAAUCACUAAUGAUACUCUUGUUUGUGAUGGUCAAACAUUGAUCAUAAUACAUGUCAAAUAAGAAUCCAUUCUUUGGACUGAUUUAUCAUUCACAUAUGCAACUUUAUAAUAAUCACAUGUUUGCCAUCAUAUGUGUGUAUUUAAUUCGACCAAAUAAUAGUCUUCCUUUAGGCCGAUUAAUACUCGCAUGGAUACAUAUGUGCACUAGCAUUUGAUAUUUAUUAUGAACAAUUCAUAAAAAAAUAUCACUUUGACAACUUCUUGUUUAAUAGGUUCACUUAAAAUGUCAAACAAUUUUAUUUUAUAAAAAAACCAUUUAGUUGAGUUUGAUUCAACAUAAACCUUAAUCCAAAACAUAUAUUAUUUAUAUCCACAUAUAAAUAUAUAUAUCCAUUAUAACCUAUUGAUAGCAUUGCAUCAUUCAUAUACAAGGACUGCAUUUUGAAUUCUAGUGAUUGUCCUUUUGAAUUUUCUAUAAAACAAUUAUCAUUUUAUACAUGAUUAAACAUGGCAGAGCAAACUCGCCACACAGAAAUAUUGUUUCAGCAAUAACAAUCACUUAAUAAUGCAAUCAGACACCAACCAAUGCAACAAAUCAUAAGUGUUGUAACCAUUUAAACAAACAAGUCAGGUAAUAUAUAAAACAAGACAUGUUCACAUAAUAGACUCAUCACAAGAUACCUAGCACAAUAUCAAUUUCUAGUCUUUGGACAGAGAAAUUAAUUUGUAAGUGGUACGCUCAACGUAAUGAUCAAGUAUUAACAAUUAGCUCUGUGAAACAAUAGCCUUUCUUUGGACCCACUAUUAUUCACAUAAAAAAAAAACUUUAUAUUUAUUACAUAUUUAUCAUCACAAGUAUGUUAUUAUUCGGUCAAAUUGUGUUUUCCUUUGGGUCGAACACAAUUCGCUAAAUAAUCCUAUACUCAUGUGUGUAACUUUAAUCAAUUUCCACAAUAUAGGUUACUUUGGCAACAUAUUGCAUCAAUUAAUUCAAAAAUAAUUAUCAGACAAAAGUAAACAAUAUGGGUCUAUUAUAAAAAAAAUAUAAUUUUGGAAUUAAAACCUUCAGAUUUGAUAUCUUUUAUGAUUAAGAUUAACACAUAUAAUCCUACAAUAUAAUUUCAAAUCAAAAACAAUAUAUUACAUAUAUAUCAACUCAUAAAAAUGGAGACAAUCUUAAUCAAAUACAAAAGAGAUCGAGAUUGAAAUGCAUAAAAAAUAGAUGUAAAUCAUUAUCGAAAUUCCAAAUCGAAUAUGAUCAUGCAUAUCUUAAAACAUAUAUAUAUAACUAUUAAAAGAUAUAUAUAUAUAUAUAUAUGUGUGUUAACUUUAAUCAGUAAUUCCAAACAUUACAGCAAUUUCAAGCUGGAAACAAUUACAUAUGUAUAUAUGUAUAUUUUAAUUCGCAUUAUAUAUACAAUACAAGGCCAUGAAUUCUAUAUUGUAUAUGUAUAAAAGAUAAAACAUGACUUAACCCAUAUAUACCUUAUACAUAUACUUCAGCAAAAGUCAAUGUCCAACAGUAAGGCAUUAGUGCACAUAUAAUAUACAUAUUGCAUAACAGAGUCAUACAAGUUAAUGCAAUGUUGACGCACAGGUCUGAAUAUAUAGUUCAACCCAUGUUGCAAGGAUUCAUAAUACAAAUAACUCAUAAUUUAAAUAAGCAGAAGCGGAUAAAAGUUAUCAUCAUUAUUCCUAAAUACCCAAUUUUCAUAACCAAUAGCAGAAGCAUAAAAAUCCUCAAAUUAAAAAUUAGGGUUCAUAAAAAUUGGGAAAAAACAUAUUUAAUGGAGAAACAUAAAAUUCAGAGCCUAAAGCUCUGAUACCACUUGUUAGAUAUAUCAUGAUGAUUGGUGAAAUACCAAUCCUAGGAUUUUGAAUCUCAUGAUUCUCACACGUAAUAUAAAACAAGGAUAUAAAGUCAUACUUGAAUCUAUGUUAUCUGAUCUACUCAUUUGAUAUACAUUUUGAGAGAAUCUUGGUAUGUUGGUCUUCCUCAACCAAAUCCUUAAUUCAUUUUGGGACAUUUGUUUUCUCUCUGAUGGGGAGAAGUGAAAACUAUUUAAGAUUUGGUGUAUUGUGAACCAUAAUUGUUCCUUAUGUGUUAACUUAUAACUUAUAGGUUCCUAUUAUUCCCUAUAGGCCAACCAUUUAGGUAUCCCUCAUUAAGCCCAUAUUAUUAUCAGUUUCAGAAAUUUUAUAGUUUAUUAGUAAUUAGAUCACUUGUUUUGUAACUCAAAAAUAAAUAGUCAAUAUAAUUGCAUUAAAUAUAUUAUGCUCACCUUAAUUAGAAAUUAUGAAUUUCUAACACUAUAUACAUACGAUUUUAAAUUACUAAUAAUGAAAUUAAUAUUAACAAAUUAGAUGAUGUAAAAAUGAUUCUUAACUAUUGUUAUUAUGUUUCAUAGAUUCAUAACUUUUCCAUGUGGUGUUGCACAUUGGCAUGGUUUAAUUCCUAUAGCAUGGCAGCGUAACUCUAUUUUACUUCAAGUAACAUGGUAUGGUAACUUUCUGCAGGAAUUCUUGAAGCUCCUGAAAAAGAAAAGAAACAUAUAUGGAACUUUCAGAUACCAGAAGAAGCUUCAUAUUAUUGGACAGAACUUUAUGGUCAUUUAGACAACCUUGACCAAUGAUGAAAUUAUAAAAAUCAAGUUUAUGCAAAUUAUGAAUAAAAAAUAGUUUACGAUGACUACUUAUGAAACACAUAAAGUUUAAGGGGAUUUUGUGUAUUUUUACCUAUAAUAAUUAAUAAUAAUAAAUGUGUUGAAUAAAAUGUAAAGUCAAGAUAAAAGGCCUAAGUCCAGUGAAAUGUAAAAUCAAACAUGCAUUAUUCAGCUUACAUCUAACUGUCAUUACCUAUCUACCCCUGAUCAAAUAGUUAUUCCCGAAAAUAUCCCUUAUCAGGGGUUACUAAACUUAGUAUUUUUCAAACAAACACAACCUGCGAAGUGUGACCGUACGAAAACCGCCACCGAGUCUCACUCUCCGUGUUACAAACAAUGUCGCAAACGGCGCAUGUUGUCGUCGGUAAAUCACCGUCUUCAAUUAUUCUUUCCACAUAAACUUAUUCGAAAUACAAAAACCUUAGCCAACCUUAAACUAAACAAUAAAUACUAAAUAGCUGGUUCAAUUUCAUUAACUUAGUGGGUCUGUUUUUCAUUUGCUUAGUUUAAGAACUUGUAUUGAACACAUGGGUUUUGCAUACUUUGUGAGUUUUUUAAAUGUUUUUUCUGUUUUUCUCUGCAUUUUUGUGAACCCCAUGAAGGAGCUGGUUUUGAAGGAUAUAGUAUUCUGUGCCUUUGUGGGGUUUUGAUUGCUCCUAUUGCCUGCCAUAUGUUUGAUGAAAUGCGGGUUCUAAACCAUAGUAGUUGUAGGACACUUCAUUAUCAAAGGAAGUGCCCUUCUCCUCAGUUGCAUAGGGCUUUCUUUUUUCUGAAUACUUUCUUUAUGUUUGUUUUGAGUUUUGGCAAUGUUAUUUUGCUUUUCUAUGUGAUUCUUUCCAUCCAGCCUAAUGCCUUUAUUCAUAUCAAAGUGUGGUAAUUAGAAUUGGAUGGUUUUGAUGAUUGUUUUAAGUUGUAUCAUAGACAAUGGGUUGUAUGAUCAGUGUUCAUUACCUAUAGAAUGGCUCUCACCAAACUGAAAGCAUGGAUCUUUAGGUUCUGUUUUUCUUUGUGAUUGAAUGUUAGCAAUUGUUGUAUUUUGGGUCAAUUGGUUUUAUCUGCCAGCUGCUUCUACUAUAGUCUUAAGUCAUCAUGACUCUAGCAUGAUUAACUUAUUUUUAGCUGGCAUUUCUAUGGUUGAGUUCCCAUUAUUAGUCUUUUGUGAUGUGUAUUAUCCCUAAAUUCAGAGGCUUGAGUACUUGGUACCUUAUGUAGGGUUUCUGUUGUGACGUUUUGUGUCAUUUGAUGUCUUUGUUUAUUUUUUAAGUUCUCGUACUUUAUCUUUCUCUUUGUGGGUUUUUGUGUUUUCGAUGAUAUUGCAGGUUGUGGAAUGUCAGAAGGGAGGUGUCUCCCAUGCUCAGGUGUGUCUGGAAGAACAGCUGCUGUAUAUUCCAGCUCUUCUCUGAGUCAUUACAGAAUUCAUUCACUUGUCAAACUUAGAGGGCUGAAGUAUGCUUCCGUGAGUGCAUCUUUUGUUUGCGAAGCAAGGAGGAACCCUGAUUUCUCAAGGCAAAACAAGCACGGGUCCUCCAGAAGCAGGAACAAGCACAAUGAAGGGAGAGAUAGCUUUGAGCACUUUGAAGAAGAUAUGUUGUCUUUGAAAAAUGGACCCUUGCCAUCACUUUCUGCCUCUGGAAAAUCCCAAGCCACUGCAGUCCCUGGACUUAGAGAGAAGGAGAUUGUUGAGCUAUUUAGGAAGGUUCAAGCACGGCUGCGUGAGAGGGCUGCUACCAAGGAACAAAAGAGGGUUGAAGCUUCUCCAGUGCGGGGUAAAGAGAAUGGUACCGUUGAUUCCCUCCUCAAGCUACUGAAGAAACACUCAAGUGACCAGCAAAAUAAAAGCAGUGGAGGAGGCAGAGGAAAAGAUUAUAGUCUGGAUGGGUCGCAAGAAACUAGCCAAUACAACGGUCGACGAAGCACUAAAAUUUCUAAUUUGGAUAAUGCUGCAAAGGAUGAGUCCCAAGAAUCCAACAUCUCAUCUAUAAGUAGGCCUCAGUCAAGUUUCCAACGAAGGUCUCCUGUUCCUCGUGUAAAAUUCCAGCCUAUCGGUUACGACGAGGAAGAUACGAAUGUAAUCCAACCAAGUAGAGAGGUUAGAGUGAACAAUCACAAUCAGAGACAUUUGAAGAUUGAUCAUAAGGAGGGCCCUGGUUCUGAACCAGAUCUUGAUCAUGACUUAAAGACCGAUUCUGAACUAGAUCUUGAUCAUGAGUCAGACCAAGACUCUGAACCAGUUCUUGUUCCAAAGGAUGAGCUAUUCUUCCCAGGUAGGGAGAUUGAUGACUUGUCAGAUGAUGAUUCUGAACAUACCGAUAAUGACGAGCAUGCGGAGGAGGAGGAGCUAGUGGUUCAGCAUGAGGAUUUGAGUGCACUGAAGCUGCCUGAAUUGAGGGCAAUUGCAAAAUCUCGUGGCCUAAAAGGGUUCUCAAAAAUGAAGAAGGGUGACCUUGUGGAGUUGCUAUCUGGGAACUGAUUACGAUCAAGAAGGGACAACACAUGUCAGUUGAUAAAAUAGAUGUUUCCUUCUGUUUUUACCCUGCAUUGUAUUUUUCUGUGUUGGUUAAUCAUUAGAGUAAUCAUGAUAUCGUUGCCUUGGACAGGGUUUUUGACGCAUAGUUAUGUUCCCAUGAUAUUUGCGAACUUUUACCAGUGAUUUGGUACUUCUAGUAGGCACUUCUAUUUACAUUAUACACAUUAACGCGUAGACCGGCACUUAUAUGUAUCAUCUUCAUCUUAUACUAUUUAAGAAAAACAAUUUAAAUAGAAGAAAUGCAAUAUAUGAACUCGAUAGAUAGUGAAGAUAUAAAUAAGAGAAUUUGUAGAAGAUUAAUAAUAUCUUAAUAUAAAAAAUAAAAUUAAUAGAGGAAAUGUGUGGAAGUUUAUAGUAGUUAUUAAUAAGAGAGGUUAUAAAGGAUAAUUUUGGAAUAUAAAAAUUAGGUCAUGGUGGUGGUUAUUAUUUGUUUUGGCUUUUAUUAAUAGUAUAGAUAUAGAUAAGACAUCACUACUCACCCAAAUUUUAAUAACCUUACAACCCUAACUUCUAAACAUACCCCUCUUAUUUGCGUCUACUCUCUUCCUCUUUCUUGUUCCUACUGUCACGAACAAUAGUAAUCAAUUGAUUGUCUUGUGGCCUAAAUAUUAUGUUUUCAAAUCCUGAAAAGACUCUCCUCACUGGGUCAUCUUUUAAAAAAGAUGUUGAACUUCAUUGCAAAGCUUCGGUUGUUUGCUUUGUGGUUUCAAGGCCAUGUGCAUGAUCGAACAAACUUGAUAGCUUUUCAUUUGAUUUUUCUAAAAAACAACAAACAUUCCUUCAUUUUUGUUCUAAUUUUCAAAACUAAUUCCAUUAACAAUAAAUUGAUAAAUAUUAUAUGUAUAAUAAACUUUUGUAAAAAAAUUAUUUGCUAAAUAAUCAGUUUUUGUUGUAGUUUAUUGCUUUUUAUUUAAGUUUUGUUUCUCACAAUUUAAACUCAUUUAAUUAUAAUCCGCAAUUACUCAUAGCAAAUUAUGAAUCUGAUUAUUUUAGAGCGUGCUUAAGUAGCUGUUUGUAAAAUAUAUUUUAAAUGAAUUUGAUUUUGUAAAAUAUAUUUUAAAUGAAUUUGAUUUUUUAAAAUAUAUUUUGAUUAUAAUCGUGUUUGAUUUUUUAUGCUAAAAUUACUUUGAUGUAAAAUUGUAAUGUAAAUUAUAUUGAUAUUUGGAGAGUUAGUUUGUGAGUUAGGUUAUGAAUGAAAAAUAAAUAAGUUAGAAGCUAUAUAAGACAUGAAAUUCACUAAUAAACUCUGAAUUAUUUUCUCUCUAUUCCAAAAUCACACACUUAACUUUAGGAAAAUCAGAAAACAUUUAUUCUUCUUACAAGAGAUUAUUUAAGCAAUUUUGUUUUGAAAAAUGAAGUUAUUAAACUCUUUCUAAUUUUUAAUCUUGCACAAAUCACAACAUUUUAAUUUUAGUGCAUUAAUUAUCACAUCCCAAUGGCUGAUACUACUGGGUAAGCGAGCGUAUCUGGGAACUCUUAACUCUGUUUAUUAUCCCAUCCUCUCUAUCAUACAAUCGCAAAAAUUCAAUCUUUCCACUUUUCCACAUUCAACCUCAAAACUUGAUGCUACAAUAAAAUGAAUAAGAACAACCAUACACGGUUCCAAUUCCAGUGUCUGUAUCAAAUAAUUCAUACUGGAAACGUAGAAGCCAUUAAAGCUCUACACAGAAAUGGUGCCAGCCUUGAGGUAUAUGACACAAAUUUAUAUAUAUUUUUUCUUAUCCGUUUUUAUGAGUUUUGAGUAAUAGAAUUCAUAUAUGCAGUGGAGUGAUGAAGAAGGAAGGACCCCUUUAAUAUUGGCAUGUAUGGACUCUGCACUUCUUCAUGUUGCUAAGUUUUUGAUUCAUUUGGGUGCCAAUCUUAACUCUUACCGUCCUGGUAUGUAGCUUCUGUUCCUUUUCUAUUUUUUCUUUUACUAAUUUUCAAUUCGUAUAAUUUUAUGAUUCAAAUCCCGGAGACAGCCUUUUAGUUUGCGGGGAAGUGUGUAUCUGCACUCUCGAGACUCCACUGAGUUGCCCUUUAAUAUUUUCAUUGCAUAAAUUAAAGGGGGAAUCUAAAAAUGCCCCUAAACUUUAGUCCCUGAAUUUCAAAAUUGUGUAAGAUGAUACUAAACCCUGGUUGGGGUGCAAAAUACAAUUUUUCUAAGAUUUCAGGGAACGAGAUCCUCUAUCUCAAAAUCACUAUGUCCUCAUAUCCCUAGCCGAUCAGCAUCCUCCAAGUAAUAUAAAUCAAAUUUAGGGUCCUUUUUACACUUUUUUCCAAUCAUGUCCCUAGCCAAGCUCCCUUUUAUUUAUUUUUCAAAUUUAGGGUCUAAAUCAAAUAUGUCAAGAAAAGUUUCAUGACUGUUUUUUGGAUUUUUCCCUUAGUUGAACUCAAUAAGGAUUUAGUUGUUAUACGUGAUUCGUGUAAGAGUUUUUAUACCGCUAAUCAAUAAUAUCAAAUGCAUGAUGGGUUGUUAGUGUAAAAAUAUAUGAUUAUAUUGCACCAAAUUUAACUUCUAGAAAAUGUCAUGUUACUUUAACUUAAUUUUUAUUUCAACCUUUUGUGAAGGAAAUGAACAAACAUAAAAAAAAUGUUUUUACUUGUAAAUAAAAAGCAAAUUGAAAAUUAUAUGAUAUUUUUGCAAUUAUAAAUGAGAACAUCUUGUUGGAAUCUCAUAUUGUCAUGCUAUUUCAAGAUUCAAUUUAUAAUAAUUGACCAACGAAUAUAAUAACUCAACUGAACAUUGUCUUCAAUUCCUUAUAUAUAUUAUAGGGCCUUUUGGUGGCACUCCUUUGCAUCAUGCUGCUAGAAGAGGUCUAGAGCAAACUGUUGAGCUGCUUCUAUCUCACAAAGGUUCUUCUCAUUGAUUGAGCAUGUUGAAGAUUUACGCUGCAUUGUAUCAUGGAUAUUGUAAGAACCAUAUGCUAGUGAAGUAAUAAUGUAGUGAAAUCUUUUCGCUAAUUUUUCAGCUAAUGCUCUUGUGAGGAAUGAUAAUAAUCAGACACCGCUGGAUGUUGCUCGAUCUGAGAGGCAUGCCCAUGUUGUCCGUGCAAUAGAGGUUAGUGUACUUACUUUACAUACGUCGAGUUUUAUCUGCUUAUGUGAAUUGGCAUGUGAUGUUGCUGAAAAUAAUUAUAUGUAUUUUGAAUUUUGUUGAUUCUAGAAUCAUAUUUGCUAUUUCAAAGGUUGGAUGAGAGAGUUUCAUGGUCCAUGGUUUCUUGAAGCAAUAACUCCUCAAUUGGUAUCCAGAAACGUGUAUGUGCAAAUCUCCAGUCAAUAUUUCUUGUUAAUCAUCGCAAUAGUACUGAUGCAAGAAACUAUUUCGAAACACUUUCUAUUUGCGUUUGCUUACGAAAAAUUGUUUCUUGCAGUUGGGUUGUUGUUCUCCCAUAUUCCGAAGAACCACUGAAGUUGGAAAUAAUGAUAUAUCCUACUCAGCAGGUAUGGCAGACCAUAAGGUUUAUUAACUAUUUAACUUCUAGUAUUUCUUAAGAUUCUUGACACAUUUUGUAUAUAAAUUCAAAGUGAUUCUACAAAAUCAUAUGGUAGAUCUUACAGCUAUAGUUCAAUGCACAUUAUGAUUUUGUUUUGGGUGCUAAAAGUUCUGUCCACAUACCAUAAGUACUAUUUGGUAUGCUUAGUUUCUCAUUAACUUUGUUGUAUGUUUUGUCUUCUAAGAGAUUGGCAUUUAGGUUAAAUGCCCUUUUGGAUACAGCUGCAUAUCUGUGAGGAAUUGACCUCUUUAUUUUGUUUGAUAUACAAACAGGACUCCCAGCCCCGUACAGUUAUCGAUCUUUGGAAGUCCGAGAUUGAGGAACCCGCAUUUGACGAGUGGGAUCCAAAGCUCACAAUUUUUAACCAUUUUCCUAGUGAGUUGUUUCUGUAACUUUUCUUGUUUUGGACUACUAGAGAUCAUAGGACUAGAAUGUCAUAAAGAUAGUCAGUCUAUUUUUAUUUCACUGUGUCAUAAUUUACACAUUCUCUACAUAGUUAAGACUCAAGAUUAUUUGCUUGGAACUGUUGACUCCAUUGAAUUUCAAAUUGCUUUAUCAAAUCAAAGUGAUAAUGUAGCUCCCUACUUUCUUAAGGAAUUUUUUUUUGGAUGGUAGAUAAAUAAAUUCAUAAUCAUAUGCAAAUUCAUUUCAUCACCUGAAUGUCUACAAUUGAUUCUCCUGUAGGCUGAAUUACUUCCCAUAUCUCGUUUUGAUUCUCCCAUUAUAUUCUAAUGUUACUGAGUAUAGUACACAGAAUUAACAAGUUAUGGUACUGAUGCAAAAAAAAAUGUAUGAUGUGGCCUGAUUCUGCAAUAGUUGUGCAUUUUUCAUAUUUUUAUUUCCAUUGGCUUAAUUGAUCUUGGUGAUCUUGUUGAAAUGAUGCAGUAAAGCAUCCAAAAUAGUUGAUUUAGAAUUAUUUGCUUAGCCUAGACAGGGAAUAUAUGUUUUUCUUCCGAAAAGAAUUGGAUGGUAAUAUGGUAUGCAUAUCCACAAAUAUAAGUUUUUUUUGUUCUUCGGUCUUCACUGUAUAUAAUUUAUUUCCUCAGAUAAUUUGUGGAACAGUUAAGGUAAAUUUAAUAGGUGUUUACUUGAAGUAGGGCAGUCUUAGCAGUAUUACUCUUUUGAAGUGAAUGUCCAGAGUAGGUGUUGAUUUUGACUUAACUCUGGAUAACUAUCACCAUUUGCGUUUUAUGAAUUCUUCAUCCUUUUAUUUCUCUUUUCCUCCCAUUAUAUUUUUCUCUUAGUUCCCAAUAUAUCAUAUUAACCGAUGCCAGUUUCUUUAUCAGGGACAAAGUACAGGCUUGCCUCUGCAAUACAGAAUGACAAACAACAGCUCCAGAAUUUAUACAGUGCAUGCCGAGGAAUCCCUCAGGUACAUAAUUGGACAGCCACUAUGUAUUUCUGUUUACUCUUGCAAUACCUUACAUGUUUUUAGGGAUGCAAAGUGUUGUUGUAUAUUCAUUUAGAAGAUAAUAGCACGUGGUGUCAUUGCAACAGCUUUAGAUCUGGAACAUAGUGCUAGUUCUUACUCACUGGCUGAUUAUAAAGAAGAUUGCUGAAUUAUUGAUACCAAAUUUGAUCUUUUGCUCUAUGCCUACCACAUUUAGUGCAAGUUAUCAGAUUUAUUGACUUAAAUAAUUACAUUACAGUUGUAUUACAUGAUUUUUAGUCCAUUGUUUUUCUCAAAUUUGCAAACAGAUUUAGUUGUUCUGUGACGAUGAUGCCGGUGUCUAAAAUGGAUGAGAAGUUAUCAACAAUCUGAGUUUAAUUAUAUCAUUUAUAAGUCUAGAAAUGAAAUAAUUGCAUGAAAAAGUGUGUGCAUUUCGCUGAUGCUACACGUUUGUUUUUAAGUUGCAUAAUUAUGGCUGAAAUGGAUUCAAACAGUAAGAUGACAAGUAUAACUAGACCAUAAAAGGUUGCAUGCUAAACCUUUCUGGUCACACUGGGUACUUGUGCUAUUCUUGUUUGUCACUGACAAUUUUUAUGAAAUACCUUUAUCAUGUUGUUCUUCUGGUUUCAGGUUAAAUCUUCACCAGUUGUCUCUGAUACCCGCACUUCAUUGCUCUGUGCAUCUGUUCAGUCUGAACCAAUUAACACCAAUGGCUGGGGAAGUUCAAGUGAUAAUAGUAGCUAUAACGGUUGGGGAACCUCUCUUGGAGCCAGACAUUCAUCAGAGAAAAAUACUAAUGGAUGGAUGGACAAACCAGUUAAAGAUGACCAGAAUGGUUGGGGAUCACCUGACUCUAAGCCAGUUGACCAAUCGACAAAAAAUAAUUUUGGAAGUUCAAGUGAUAGUAGCUAUAAUGGGUGGGGAGCCUCUCUUGGAGCCAGACAUUCAUCAAAGCUAAAUACUAAUGGAUGGAUGGACAAACCAGCCAAAGAUGAUUACAAUGGCUGGGGAUUACUAGACUCUAAGCCAGUUGAUCAGUCGACUGAUAAUGUUCUAAGUCGUGACGACAAUUCUCCUAUCGUCUCCUCAGCUAGUUGCAGUUUUGUCUCCUCUCAUUUUGUUCCAUCCGCUCCCCCUAUUCCUGAUGAAGUUUUGAGUGAAGGGCAACUACAUUAUCCUUCAAUUCAUUCUCCGGAAUUGGAUAUGCAUGUUCCAUCUAUGGUUGAACCUGCCUUGUCCAACGGCAAGAACAAUGGUUACAGGGAUUCUUCAUGUGCAAUAUGUUGGGAUUCUGCUAUUGAAGGUGCAUGCAUACCUUGUGGCCAUAUGGCUGGUUGCAUGCCUUGUUUGAAUGAGGUCAGAGUUAACAAAGGUGUUUGCCCAAUUUGCAUGACCAAAAUAGAUCAGGUUGUGAGGCUAUAUGCUGUGUAGUUCUCGGCAUGAUCAAAAGGUGAAAAGAGAAUUCGCGUCGGGUAAUUGGUUUCAUGUGAUUUCCUACACUAUGCAGUUGGUACUGAGUGAAUGUUCUAAAUGAUAUUGGAGAUGUAGCUAGUUUAAACUCCAAAAGCUUAAGCUUAGUGAUAUAAAAUAUGCAGGAUGGUGAAAAUAUAUUUGUAGGUUAAGUUAAUUGUAGAUAAUAUGCUACACUCUAUAAGCACUGAGAGAUCCUCAGUUUUCUAUAAUUUUGUUGUACAUUGAGUAGUUGAGUAAAGUAAAAUUUGAGAAAUGAUAAAACCAAAAAAUGAAGCACAAUUAUUCAAACAUUCCCAUACAGUUACCCAUUAUCUUUCUUAAUAUUGUUCUUCUGUACAUAUGUGGCUGAUAGUUAGUGUUAAGAUAAAAACACUUUCAUGUUAAAGUCAUCUGUAGAAGCUUCCUACUCUCUUCAUCAAAAAACUUCUAUUGUUUUAUUGAAUUUGAAGCCACCAUCCUAUCUAGAAUAAAAUAAUUUGAUCAUUAGAAUGAACAAAUAAAGGACAAUUGAACUAGGAAAAUGGUGUUGAAAACUGAAAUUAUGUAUUGAAACAGCAGAAAGGAGAGUGGUAUUUGAUGCAUAUAUGUAUUCAUCAAGAGUACAUGAAUCUGAGAAUAUGACUAAUACAAAAUUAAACAAAUUCUGCUUUCAAAGAUCUUCCUUUGAUGUAUUGGAUUUAAUAAUACCAAACACAUGGACUCAAAACAGGACAAAAUGCCAUGAGUGGUUUUGUGUUGGGUGUCUUUUGAGGUAGGGUGAGAUGAACAAAAGAUUUUUUUGGGUGCAAAGUUUGGCAUGAUCUGAACGUUCCAUUUACAUUGAUUAGAUGAUUACUCUUCACACUGAGGUACAACCUUCAUGUAAUUAGAGUUUGGAGCCUAUAAUUCAAGGAAAAUAUUUCUGAAAACUUAUUUUUGACACCCCUUAUAGACAUUGUAGAUGGAUGUGAGUGAAAGUAUUGAGAUAUGCCAUAUGUCAAGUAAUAUUAGAUAUAUGUUGUAUGCUCCAACUAGACGUUGGUCUAUUAGUGUAAGGUUCCACUAAAUCCUCACGUAAUAUCAUUAGUUAUACCAGGGGAAAAUGUGUUGUGUUCAAAUAUUAGAAAACUAGGAUGGCAAUUUCUUUUCUUUGGAAAACACAACACAUGCCUACUUUUUCUUGCUUCCAAUAUAAGCAUUCCCAUCAUUCUGCUCUCUUUGUCUAAGGUAGAGUAGUAGAAUAUUUACAUAUUUCACAUGCUAGGGGACCCCAAACUAGAAAGUUUAUUCACCAAAGAAGCUUGUGGAUUUGGGGUUUGCUUAUUUUGUACUUGGACAUGGGUUUCUUUAGUCUUCAAUAACUAUGUGUUUUUCGUUUCAAAUCCUUUUAUGAUCCACAAUACUAACCAUGAGGUAUAUGGUAAGCACAAUAAGUAAUUAAUACAAAUCUAAGACACAUUAAGAUCUCAAUUAGCAUAAUCAUGGUUGACUUGAGUUCUAAGACUUCGUGCUUGACGAGUUUAGGAAUAUAAUAAAUAACCUUGUCUCCAAACCUAAACUUACGCCCAUAUAAAAAAUUAAAUAAAUUACAUCAUAAUAAUGAUUAAAUAAUGAACUUAAACUCACAUGUUUGGUUAGAGUUGUGAUUUAAUUCUUAUGUUUAUUAAUUUUUUGUAACUCUUGGUUUCUAUUUCAUAUAUUAUAUGAAUUAAAAAUAUAUGAUCUAUGAAUUAAAAAUAUAUGAUCUAUGCUUUAUUUAAUAUAUAUAUAAGUGAAUAUAUUUUAAAGGAUUAAGGGAAAAUGGAUGGAUGGGUUUCUCAUGGGUUUCCACGAAGUCGAUGGCAAUGAGGUUGGGUAUAUUUUUGUAGCAUGCAUUUAUCAAGCCCACUCUAAUUUUGACAAGGACAAAGUUGAGAUUUGUAAAACACGAUUGGACCCACCCAUUACUAUGCUUAGUGUAAUAUAAUUUUAAUUUGACAAUAUAUUAAAUUCUAUAUAAUAAUAGAACUUAUCUAGAAGUACAACAAACUUUUUUAAAUUAGUUGAAGACAUAUUUUCAACUACCGGACAACAACUUAAUUCAAUAAUUAUUCAAUAAUGUCUUUUAAAUAAGAUAAACAAUGUUUAUUUUUUUUAAAUAAUUAGUAAUAGUGACUAAAAAUAUAAGGGUGUGAUUCAAGGUAUAUUCUUCAAAGUCUUAAGACAUGCUACUUACAAGAGCUCUUAACAUCCUGCAACUCGACCUUCACCCUAUCCUCUAAUUUCGCUUUAUAUUUUUUCAAUAUACUAAAAAAUAUGAAAUGUGAUAAUUUUGUUGACAAAACUAGAGUUUUGAUCAAACUACUUAUACAAUAAACUUAGUUGAGGUUAAAAUUGACAUUUCCUCAAAAUUAAAAAUUAAAUUGGAGAACCUAGUUAUUCCCAACUUACAAUAUUAAUUUAAAAGUUUUGAAAUACUAUUUCAAAUAACCAUUUCUUCCAUAUUUUUUCACCAGACAUUUCAAAAAAAAAUUCCAAGUGAAUAAGGCAAUAUUUAUUAAAUAAGCUUUAAACAUUUGUGUUCAUAAAGAAAACUAUAAACAAUUGUACUCAUAAAUAAAGCUAUAAACAAUUGUAUUCAUAAAAAAAUGGAUAAACAAUUUUUAUCAAAAUCAUCGAAGGGAAAAAGGAAAUAUUGUAUAUUUAUGAUCGUAAGCAUAAAAGGUUUAUAAAAGUCAGUAUAUCAUCUAUUAUUUAUUUAUAUUAUUUUUUUGAAAAAUCAAUUAUAAUUUAACAUGAAUGGUGAAUAAAACAAUGAUAGUGUAUGAAACUCAAUGUAUAUAUUGGUUUUAUGAACGAAAAAUGUUCCCCUACCUAGUAUUGGUAAUUAGUGUUAUUCUGCUCGUGUCCAUGCAAUAUUUGCUUAAAUUAGAAUAGACACGAGCAUGUUUAUUUUUAAAUAGAACAUAAAAUAUUAUAUCAUGUCCGUCCUAAACAUGAGCCGGACUUGCAGACGACUCUAAAUAAAACAAAAAAAUAUUAUAAAUUUAUAUACAUUCAUAUAAAAUAAACAUUACAUAAUUUACAUAGAAAUAUGUAAAUGCAUUUAUUAUAAUAAACAAUCAUACUAACAGAAUAACACAUACAAAAUAUAAAUGUAUAUACAUAAUAUAAAAUAGGUAUAAUACAUAAUUUACAUACAAAAUACAUAUCGAAUAGUAUAUAUAUAUAUUAUACAAAAUUAAAUGUAUAUAAAAUAAGAAAAUAAUAGUAUUUUUUUAUAUUUGAUAUACAAAUACAUAUAUAACAAAUGGAACACACUUUUUCACGUUUGGCAAAAUUUAUAUACAUUUACAUAUUUCAUGUUCAAUACUUUCUUUAAUUAAUAAUAUCUGUAGGCUACAUGUUUUGCCCGUUUGAAAUAUCCAUGGACAGGUAGGGAAUAUUGAACAUAUAUUUUAGGGUGGAUAAACAUAUUUUUUAUGUCCUACCCAUCCAAUAAAUAUGGGUAAGUGAACCCCGUAGCUUUACCCAAAUUGCCAAUGUUACCCUACCUAAUACCCCACCAACAAUUUUUUCAUCUAUUUGUUUGGACAUUUUUACUUCUAAUGCCAUUUUUUUUGGUGCAUAGUAAAUGACAACCCACUUUAUAAUUUUCUAUCUCAGCACUGUUGGAUUAAUCACUUAACCAAAGUUUUCCACAAAACAAAUAAGCAACCAAAUAUUCUUUUAUAAACAUUAAUUAAGGACCCACCACAUUAACCUUUGUUAUGUUUUUUAAUAGUUUCUUCAAAAAUUUCCCUAUUUUUUGUUGCUGCUGUUGUUAGAUGGACCCUCUCUCUUUGUCGCAGCCUCUCCAAACAGCUUUGUUAGGAAACUACAUGAAUGAAUGAAGAUGAAGAUGAAGAUGAAGAAAUCCUUCAGUGGCAACAAAUAUGGAUAUUUCAUAAAUACAUGAUUUUUGGAAAACUUUCAUUCCAUUCCCUCAUGGUUUGAAGUUGUUCAGGAUCUGUUUCACUUGUCCCAUUUGAGUUUAUUUCACAACCAUGCAUAUAGGUAUGCAUAUGCAAUGAUCCAAAGCUUUUUAUUUUGCUCAAAAGAUGUUCUUUUUAAAGUUUCUUUCUAUUUUAUAAAUGUGGUUUGCUUAGCUGCCCUGUUUUAGUUUUUGAUUUAUUGGGGUAUUGAAUUAGUUCUUCUAUUAUUUCGAUUAUUAAAAAUCUGAACUUUGGGUAGUUUUGGUUCUCGUUUUUCUAUGAGGGUGCUAUUAAUUGUAAGAUAAUGGAAUCGUUGAGAUUUUAUUCAUAUCAAAUAGGUAUAAAUAUACAAGAUUGUGAGAGGUUAAUAAUGAUUAAUUACAACCUAAUAAUAACUGAUUACAACAAAUAAUGACUAAUGAUGACUGAUUAUUAUGUGAAUCGUAACAUAAUAAUAUCGUAUCAGAAUAUUCUAUCACACCCCCACAGUCGAAGCGGGAGGUUUACUGACGCUGAGACUGGUCCGAAAGUCAUCAAAGAGAAUACGAGGAAGUCCUUUCGUGAAGAUGUCUGCGAUCUGUUGUCGAGAGGGAACGUGGAAUACGCGUGCCUGACCACGGGCUACUUUUUCCCGUACAAAAUGAAUGUCCAUUUCAAUAUGCUUGGUACGUUGGUGUUGUACAGGAUUACCAGAAAGAUAAAUGGCACUAACAUUAUCGCAAUACACCAAAGUUGCAUUAGGAAUAGGAAAAUGAAGCUCUAGUAAUAGAUUACGAAUCCAACAUGACUCAGAGACAACAUUAGCAACACCUCUAUAUUCGGCUUCAGCACUAGAACGAGAGAGAGUGCGUUGCCUUUUGGAAGACCAAGAGAUAAGAUUGUUGGCAAAAAAAAAAACACAGUACCCAGAUGUUGAACGUCUAGUGUCGGGACAUCCACCCCAAUCAGCAUCAGUGUAGGAGACAAGCUUUGUGAUGGGGGAUGGUGAUAAAUGCAAUCCAAAGUGUAUGGUACCCUGAACGUAUCGAAGAAUGCGCUUGAGAGCAAGCAUGUGUGUUGUGUUAGGGUUGUGCAUAUGAAGGCAAACUUGUUGAACUGCAUAAGAUAUGUCUGGUCUAGUGAAAGUGAGAUAUUGUAAGGCUCCUGCAAGACUACGAUAAAGAGAGGGAUUCUCAUAAGGAGUGGCAGAUGAAGUACUGAGUUUCUGCUUGGUGUCAAUAGGUGUGGCAGAUGAUUUACAGGCCGCCAUUCCAGCACGUUCAAUGAUUUCAGAAGCAUAUGUGCUUUGACUGAGAAAAAUGCCACCAGGAUGACGAGAGACAGCAAUGCCCAAAAAAUAACUUAGGGGACCCAGAUCUUUCAUUGCAAAUUCUGAUGCUAAGAGUGACAUGAUUGAUUUGCGAAGGGCAUGAGUCGAGCUAAUAAGUAUGAUGUCAUCCACAUAAAGAAGAAUGUAAGCCAUGUCAGAGUGUUGUCGAUAUAUGAAGAGAGAGUGGUCUGAUGUGCUAUGUUGAAAACCAAUGGUUUUUACAUAGUCAGCAAAGCGUUGGUACCAUGCUCUAGGUGCUUGUUUGAGACCAUAUAGUGACUUCUUCAAAUGACAAACGUGAUUUGGAUGAUGUAAGUUACGGAAACCCAAUGGCUGAUGCAUGUGAACAGUCUCAUGAAGAUCACCAUGUAAAAAGGCAUUUUGAACAUCCAACUGAUGAAUGGGCCAUGAUUUAGAGAGAGUAAUGAUGAGUACCGUUCUAAUUGUAGCGGGUUUGACCACCGGACUGAAAGUCUCAUCACAGUCCACACCUGCAACCUGUNNNNNNNNNNNNNNNNNNNNNNNNNNNNNNNNNNNNNNNNNNNNNNNNNNNNNNNNNNNNNNNNNNNNNNNNNNNNNNNNNNNNNNNNNNNNNNNNNNNNAGGAUGAGGACGAGAAUGAGGAGGAGGAUAUGAUGGGGAAGAGGACGAGGAUGAGGAUAAGAUGAGGACGAGAAGGAGGAUAAGGAUAGGUUGAGAAUGAGGAUAGGAUGUGGAUGAGGAUGAGGAUAGGAUGAGGACGAGGAUGGGGAUAGGAUAAGGAUGAGGAUAGGACGAGGACGAGAAUGAGGAUGAGGAUAGGAUGAGGAGGAGGAUGAGGAUGAGGAUAGGAUGNNNNNNNNNNNNNNNNNNNNNNNNNNNNNNNNNNNNNNNNNNNNNNNNNNNNNNNNNNNNNNNNNNNNNNNNNNNNNNNNNNNNNNNNNNNNNNNNNNNNACCACUGCCAACAAUAACCUUCUGAUUUGAAUUACUCAAAGGAAAAUAAGACGAGAGAUUACCUCGCGAUGCUGCCGUGUGAGAUGUUGCACCAGUAUCCAUGUACCACUGAUUGUCAGGAGUGUGUAGAGACAUGGUGUGCAUAGCCGCCUCAAUGUCUGUCGGUGUCUGAGAUGAUGUAGUGGCUGCGUAUGCCUGAGGAUGUUGUCCUAAAAUUCCUGGCUGCUUCGGGGGACCGGUAGGACGUGUCCACUGAGACGUGGGAUACAGACACGGUGGCAAAGCCCAUGGUGGUGGAGCCCAACCCCAUGGCUGCCAGGCUGGGUACUGUUGUUGCUGCUGCCAAGGAGGAGAGGACCAUGAUGGAGGAGCAUUGGGAGCUCCAGACUAAGGUCCACUACGGUUACCACACCCUCCUCCGCGGCCUUGCCUCCCACGAGAACGAGAGCGGUUGUCAGGACGACGGUUGCCACGGUGAGAGAUGUCUUCAGAAGGUCGCUGCUGAGUGGUGUGCAUAGCCGCAUGAGAGCCUGUGCUUGCCAUUUUAGCCAUACCGGCUUCUUCCAAAGUGAGCAUGGAGCGAGCCUGAUAAAAUGUAGGAAGAAGAUUACUCUGGCGAAUCAAGGUGGCAACACUACGAUAUGCUUGUGGAAGGCCUGAUAUCAGCUGAAGAACCAGACGAUGAUUGUUAACAGGAGAGCCAACAUUUCUCAACUGGUCAGAGAGCAUCUUAAGACGCUGACAGUAAGCAGAGACGUUGGGAAAAUCUUCCAUGCGGGUGUUGGAGAAUUCUUGCUCAAGAGUGACAGCACGAGCAUUUUGAUUAUCCUGAAAAAUAUCUGUCAAAAGAUUCCAUGCCUCCAUGGCAGUGGAAUUAGGUUCCAGAAUAGUUGUCAACAGAUCGGUAGAAAUAGUAGAAUAAAUCCAUUGAAGAACGGUUGCAUCAAGAGUGACCCAUUGUUCAUGGUCGGCGUCGGUAGGAGUUGGUGGUUCUUUUCCGGGAGAUGGAAUGAUGUGAUGUAGGACUUGAUGUGAGCGAGCAUGAAGGCGGAAAAGCUCAGCCCAAGUACCAUAUUGAUCUUUCUCCAUCUCAAGAAUAAUAGGAAUGUGAUUCCUAAUAUUGGAGCGUGUUAACUGUGUGCUGGCUGGAAUGACUAGUAGCAGCGUUAGUUGUACGUUCUGAAUCAGACAUGGUUGCAGAGAAAAGAUAGAGAGUGGUGUCAGAGUCUUGAAAUGGAGGCGGAAAUGUGAUCACGAACAGAGAAUGGUGGUGUGGUGUGCGACGGCGGCGGCACGAUACGAAAGAGGACGAGGAAUACUGUAGUUCUCGUGAUUGGCGGCGGCGGUGAGCAACACGGUAACAAUGGUGCUUCAAGGAAGAAGAAAAAAGAAAAAAUUAAUUUAGAGAGAGGGAUCGGUAAAGGCUGACCAUGUAAGAUAAUGGAAUCGUUGAGAUUUUAUUCAUAUCAAAUAGGUAUAAAUAUACAAGAUUGUGAGAGGUUAAUAAUGACUAAUUACAACCUAAUAAUAACUGAUUACAACAAAUAAUGACUAAUGAUGACUGAUUAUUAUGUGAAUCGUAACAUAAUAAUAUCGUAUCAGAAUAUUCUAAUAUUCUAUUAGAAUAUUCUAUCAUUAAUUUGAGAUAUGUUUGAUGAAAUGUUCUUAACAAGUGGUUGUUUUAGAUUUUUGUUAGUGAUUUGUUGGAUUGGUUAAUGGAAAAGAUGCACACUUUCCACUUGCUUUGUUGGUGUAAAUAAACUGAGGAGUUGUCAUUUGUCAAAAAGAUAGGGCACUUUUGGAAAAUACUCUUUCAUAUAUAUGGUUCAUGCCUUCAUGGUAUAGGUAGAGUUCUGUUUUAGCUUAAUAGUUGAAUAAGGUUAAUUUGAUUCGACAUUGCUGUCUUCACAUGACUAUUUUACUUGAAUUUCUGAAUCAGAAGGUCUUUCUCCUUCAAUGGUCUUUGACUUGUUUUGCAUGCACCAUUUCUCUAAAAUGCUGGGACCCGAGCCACCAUUUAUUGAGGAUCAUUGUACAUUAAUAACCUCUUUGUAAUUUUUGUACUAGACCUGUUUUACCUGGAAGUGAACUUCAUCUUCAUUUCAUCAAAAUUUAUAUAUAUAAAUAUCGUCACCUUUAGCGCAAGAAUCAAAUAUGCUUAUGUAUUAGAAUCAUUAAUCAUGAUAUGUGUUUUGGCAUGAAGAGAAACUUGUGGUACUCCAGUUAGAACAUUUCUUGAUCUACUAUGCAUUGUUGUCUAUCUAAUUGCUUAUUUUCCCCCAAUGAAUACACUCAUAUUAGACUAAACACGGGACUAUCUUAUAAUAUUAAGUCCAUUCCUCACUAUAUCUUUCAAAAUUCUUUUGUUGUUUGUGCAAUAUUAAUUUGUUUUAUGGGUUCACUUAAGCAGGUCAAACAGAUAAAACUUCAGUGAAAUGUCUAAUCAACAGCAUUUCUCGAUUUAUUCAUUUAGCUUCUUGCCGAACAGUUAAACCGGUACCCUUUCAGAAGAUCUGUAAUAAUAUGGUUGGAGUAUUAAAGCCUUUGAAACCAGUGCUUGAUGACUUAAUGGAUUACGAAAUCCCUUUAUCUGAAAACAUGUCUAAAGAGUGUCAAGAAUUAGAUAUGCAGGUUAACAAAGCUUGAGAUUUCUUUGAAAAAUGGGGUCCAAAGAUGUGCAAGAUUCACAGUGUAAGUAGUUACUUAUAUUCUUAUAGUCAAAUUAAUACCAAUAUCCAACAAUUAUUCUAACUUGUUUAAGAUCAUUUCUUUUGAUAGUUGAAAAAAACAUUAACCACCAAUACCUCCACUAUUUCUUUCUUCAUAGGGUGAGGGUGACUGCAACCUCAACUCUUAACUGUUUUGUGUGGAUUAUUCUGCUUUCAGGUUCUCCAAAGUGGGACAUUGUUGAUCAAGUUACAGUGCACUUCACUGGAUAUUUGUCACUUGAUAGUUAAAUCCUUACAGUCACCCACACCUGCUUCUGUUUUGUCUAAUCUUCAGGUAAGUUCAAACCGGAAACUAAAUCCUCUAUAGAAGAUUCCUGUAUUUGGCAGGAAUAGCUGAUGGCAGUUUUUUUGGGUGUAUUGUUAAUCAAUAUAAGUAUGAGACUAAUUUCUAGCAACUUCUUCAGAACUAUAUUCAGGAAAUUCAGUGUCUCAAGAAGGAAUCAGCAAUAGUCUAUAUAGAAGAAGCACUGAGAAACCAAAGAAAUAAUAUUAAACCUUGCAAUGAACAUCUAAAGGAAAUUAUCGAGUUACUUAAAUUGACAUCAAACCAGGAGCUCUUGAAAGAAAGUAUUGCUGUAGAAAAGGAAAGGUUGAAUGCUGAAGUCAAAAAAUUAAAACCGAACUUGGAAGAAGUUAAUGAAAUUGUGAACCUUGUUCGCAAUUUACGUGAUUACAUGAUGAAAACUGAGUGCACUGAAGUCAAAAGUAGUGAUUCAAUCCCUUCAUACUUCCGCUGUCCUUUAUCAUUAGAACUCAUGUUGGAUCCUGUUGUCGUGGCUUCAGGUCAAACAUACGAGAGGCAAUCCAUCCGAAAGUGGCUAGAUCGUGGGCUGCUGUUUGUCCCAAGACUCGUCAGAAACUUACUCAUACAAAUCUCAUUCCCAAUUAUACUGUCAAAGCUAUGAUAGUGAAUUGGUGUGAGGAAAAUGAUGUCAACUUUUCCAGUAACUCUGAGCACAAUCAUUCUGCCCCUAUUGCCUUCUCCUCAGAUGAUUCAUUAUCUCAAGGUUUAGCUCAUGCAUGUGGUGUUGGGUCUUUACCUAGUAGCAAUUCCAUUUCAAGAUCAUCUCUUCAAACUGGAAAUACAUUUGAUAAGCAAAAGGAUGAUAACUCAUAUAGAUUAAGUGAAGAACACAAUGGAUGCCGAAGUGGAGCAGCAGAGAAGUUUGAGCAGCAUUCCCCAUAUAUUCACAGCAGAAGUGAAUUCUUUUCAAGUACAAUUUCUAGUACCGACUGUUUACUUCCAGUUUCAAAAGAGGUGUCAUGGAUAUCCAAUCAGCAUUCAUGUGCGAGGGCGAUUUCUAGAGAAGUCACAAAUGUGUCUGUCGCUUUGCCUGUUAAGAAACAAUCAGGGAUUUCGCCUUGGUUAUCUGGAAAGCAAUUUGAAUGCCCUGGCUCGAAAAUUGGAGGAUUAAUGGAGAAUGGAAAUAAUAAUAGCAGUCAUACCAAUAAUAGUCAUUUAAGUGUUGAUUCCCGUCAUGUUUCCACCUCCGGAUCGGAUGAAUUGACCGCUGCUUCUCAUGUCAAUACAUUGAUUCAAGACCUUCACGGACAAUCAAAAAAAGUGCAAACUACUGCUGCAGAAGAAUUGAAGCUGCUUACAAAGCAUAACAUGGAAAACCGUCUCAUUGUAGGGCAGUGUGGGGCUGUCGUGCCUUUACUUUCGCUGCUGUAUUCAGAAGUGAAGAUAACACAAGAGCAUGCUGUGACAGCUCUGCUAAAUUUGUAGAUUAAUGAAGACAACAAGACCUUGAUUAUGGAAGCAGGAGCCAUAGAUCCACUUAUCCAUGUUUUGAAGACAGGAAAUGAUGGUGCCAAGGAAAACUCUGCAGCAGCUCUAUUCAGCCUUUAUGUGAUAGAAAACAAUAAGGCAAAAAUUGGCCGAUCUGGUGCAGUUAAAGCUUUGGUGGAUCUUCUUGCAUCAGGAACUCUUAGAGGAAAGAAGGACGCUGCUACUACUUUAUAUAACCUGUCAAUAUUUCAUGAAAAUAAAGCUCGUAUAGUUCAAGCGGGAGCUGUGAAAUUUCUUGUUCAGAUGAUGGAACGUGCUGAUGGAAUGGUUGACAAGGCUAUUGCUCUUCUGUCAAACCUGUCAACAAUUUCAGAGGGCUGGUUAGAAACUGCAAGGGAAGGGGGCAUCCCCUUACUAGUUGAAAUCCUUGAAUCAGGGUCGCAGAUGGGAAAGGAAAAUUCUGCUUCCAUUCUCUUGCAACUAUGCCUUCAUAGUUCCAAGUUUUGCACUCUAGUUUUGCAAGAAGGAGCUGUCCCUCCCCUGGUUGCAUUGUCUCAAUCUGGUACGCCGAGAGCAAAGGAAAAGGUAUGGAGGUUAUCAUUAUCUGCCUUUGUCAUCAUUUUCAGUGGUUAACAUUUCUCUCAUGUGCUAUUAUACUACAUACUAGCUGUUUUGCUGCAUUUGGAUAGGUAAACAGUAAACUAGUGUUGAAACCUUGAGGGUCAAUCUUUAUGAUGCAACCAUUUUGUCGAAAUCUUGGUUUCCAAUAUAUGCUCGACAUUUGGUUUUUAGGAUUACUAAAAAUGUCCGGUAUAGUUGAUAACUGAGUUCCUUAAGUAUGCAGUCAGGAGUGCAAAACUUGGACGGUCUACACCUCCCAAUGCCCAAAGGCCCCAAUUCUCUCUACAAAUGAUAAGAUACCUCAACCUCUCUCCCUCUUCCUAUCUAAAGCAACAUGCCUUAUUUCCAUCACACUAACUAGGACAAACAAAUUAUAACUACUUCUCUAAGGGUUAGUUUGAGAGUUGGAUUUUGGAGAGGAAGGAAGGGAAAGGGAAGGCUUGGGAGCUAUGAAAUACGUUUGUGAGAAGACUCCCAAGCCUUCCCUUUCCCUUCCUUCCCCUCUAAAAUCCAACUCCCAAACUAACCCUAGAUGGUUAACCUAUCAGAAACAUUGACCCUUGUUUGGAGCUUUGUUUAAAGAUAUUUUCCCUUUGGUCUUAACAUGGAAUUUCUUUUUAAAAUUAGGAACUUAUGAAAGGUGGUUGAUGAUAGAAGAAUACAAGGAUGUUGCUUGAUGGAAUUUGUUGUUAUUUUUACUUGUUAGAAACUGAUGGAAGAUCUCAUAAACACAUUAAGUAAGAAUGCUGACAUGUUGUACACAUCCAUUCAUGCAGGCACAACAGCUCCUCAGCCAUUUUCGGAAUCAGCCAGAAGGAGCAACUGGGAAGGGAAAAUCAUGAAGAUAGACAAUUUUGGUUAUUUCAUAGCCCUUUUUUCUUGCAUUAGUAGUAACUUGUAGCAUUCAUAUUUCUCCAUGUUCCAUUGCUGCCAUGUUGAGGACUUUAGGUCUCCUUUCAUUGCAUUCUUUUCAUUUUUACAUGUUACCAAUUAUGAAGCUUUCAUUUUUCUCCUACUUCCACUUUGUCUCAUUUCUCCCCCUAACUAUUUUCUAUUUUGAUAGUCUACUUUCUGAAAAUAGUCCUCCCUCCCAAGUCAGUGUUAUACAUAUUUGUACAUAUAUACUAGGGAAUCUUGUGGUCUACUAUAAAUUAUUGUAACACUGUUCUAUGAGUUGUCUCAUUCAACCUUGUAUAUAAAUCUAUACUUCAUAGGAACAAGGAUCCUCACUUCUUUCUAGUACUAGGGAGAAUCCUACCUUUUUGCAUACCUUGUACUGUCCAUAGGUUGUGUUGAGAAAUGCCAAAUAUGUUGGAAUGAAAUCUUUUAUGAUAUGUCAUUGUCUUGUCUCUUUCAUAAUGGAGACUAGCCAGCAACUAGAGCACCACGGUUCUAGUAUUCUACACUUAGACAAUAAUAUCAUUAUGCUUCUUUCUCUUUUACCUUUAUUUUUAUUUUUUGAGGGCAUAGGUACCAAAAAAUGUAUUGUGUUCAUUUAUUGGAUACUUUUUAUUUUGAAUUUUACUAAAAUUUGUUUUCUAACAUAAUAAGGAUUUCAAGAAUAAGAAAUGUAGAGUAUACCAAACUUAAUGAAUAAAUGGAAACAAAUAACACAGAGAAAAGGAUAUAUAUCGUUUAUUAAGUUACUAUUUAUUAUUAAUAAAAUAAAAUAGAUUUAAAUUUAUAAAAAAGAGGAUUAAAUUUGUUUUUAGUGGUUGUAAUUUGUAAAUAUAACUUUUUUAGAAUUUAGUCAUUGAAACGGUCUUUCCUCUUGUAAAGGGAAGAUUGUAUAUAUCCUAGAUCACACUAAGUAUGAAACUCGUGUGUGUUGGGAAUUUAUAUUAAAAUUUUAUUUGAUUUUAGUCCUUAAAAAAUAUAUAAAUAAUGUGAAGAACAAUACUGGCCCUGUUAUGACAAAAAAUAAAAGUGAUUUGGCUGAUGGUACUUCAUCUACUAUUGGUGUGAGGAAAAUGAUGUCAACUUUUCCAGUAACUCUGAGCACAAUCAUUCUGCCCCUAUUGCCUUCUCCUCAGAUGAUUCAUUAUCUCAAGGUUUAGCUCAUGCAUGUGGUGUUGGGUCUUUACCUAGUAGCAAUUCCAUUUCAAGAUCAUCUCUUCAAACUGGAAAUACAUUUGAUAAGCAAAAGGAUGAUAACUCAUAUAGAUUAAGUGAAGAACACAAUGGAUGCCGAAGUGGAGCAGCAGAGAAGUUUGAGCAGCAUUCCCCAUAUAUUCACAGCAGAAGUGAAUUCUUUUCAAGUACAAUUUCUAGUACCGACUGUUUACUUCCAGUUUCAAAAGAGGUGUCAUGGAUAUCCAAUCAGCAUUCAUGUGCGAGGGCGAUUUCUAGAGAAGUCACAAAUGUGUCUGUCGCUUUGCCUGUUAAGAAACAAUCAGGGAUUUCGCCUUGGUUAUCUGGAAAGCAAUUUGAAUGCCCUGGCUCGAAAAUUGGAGGAUUAAUGGAGAAUGGAAAUAAUAAUAGCAGUCAUACCAAUAAUAGUCAUUUAAGUGUUGAUUCCCGUCAUGUUUCCACCUCCGGAUCGGAUGAAUUGACCGCUGCUUCUCAUGUCAAUACAUUGAUUCAAGACCUUCACGGACAAUCAAAAAAAGUGCAAACUACUGCUGCAGAAGAAUUGAAGCUGCUUACAAAGCAUAACAUGGAAAACCGUCUCAUUGUAGGGCAGUGUGGGGCUGUCGUGCCUUUACUUUCGCUGCUGUAUUCAGAAGUGAAGAUAACACAAGAGCAUGCUGUGACAGCUCUGCUAAAUUUGUAGAUUAAUGAAGACAACAAGACCUUGAUUAUGGAAGCAGGAGCCAUAGAUCCACUUAUCCAUGUUUUGAAGACAGGAAAUGAUGGUGCCAAGGAAAACUCUGCAGCAGCUCUAUUCAGCCUUUAUGUGAUAGAAAACAAUAAGGCAAAAAUUGGCCGAUCUGGUGCAGUUAAAGCUUUGGUGGAUCUUCUUGCAUCAGGAACUCUUAGAGGAAAGAAGGACGCUGCUACUACUUUAUAUAACCUGUCAAUAUUUCAUGAAAAUAAAGCUCGUAUAGUUCAAGCGGGAGCUGUGAAAUUUCUUGUUCAGAUGAUGGAACGUGCUGAUGGAAUGGUUGACAAGGCUAUUGCUCUUCUGUCAAACCUGUCAACAAUUUCAGAGGGCUGGUUAGAAACUGCAAGGGAAGGGGGCAUCCCCUUACUAGUUGAAAUCCUUGAAUCAGGGUCGCAGAUGGGAAAGGAAAAUUCUGCUUCCAUUCUCUUGCAACUAUGCCUUCAUAGUUCCAAGUUUUGCACUCUAGUUUUGCAAGAAGGAGCUGUCCCUCCCCUGGUUGCAUUGUCUCAAUCUGGUACGCCGAGAGCAAAGGAAAAGGUAUGGAGGUUAUCAUUAUCUGCCUUUGUCAUCAUUUUCAGUGGUUAACAUUUCUCUCAUGUGCUAUUAUACUACAUACUAGCUGUUUUGCUGCAUUUGGAUAGGUAAACAGUAAACUAGUGUUGAAACCUUGAGGGUCAAUCUUUAUGAUGCAACCAUUUUGUCGAAAUCUUGGUUUCCAAUAUAUGCUCGACAUUUGGUUUUUAGGAUUACUAAAAAUGUCCGGUAUAGUUGAUAACUGAGUUCCUUAAGUAUGCAGUCAGGAGUGCAAAACUUGGACGGUCUACACCUCCCAAUGCCCAAAGGCCCCAAUUCUCUCUACAAAUGAUAAGAUACCUCAACCUCUCUCCCUCUUCCUAUCUAAAGCAACAUGCCUUAUUUCCAUCACACUAACUAGGACAAACAAAUUAUAACUACUUCUCUAAGGGUUAGUUUGAGAGUUGGAUUUUGGAGAGGAAGGAAGGGAAAGGGAAGGCUUGGGAGCUAUGAAAUACGUUUGUGAGAAGACUCCCAAGCCUUCCCUUUCCCUUCCUUCCCCUCUAAAAUCCAACUCCCAAACUAACCCUAGAUGGUUAACCUAUCAGAAACAUUGACCCUUGUUUGGAGCUUUGUUUAAAGAUAUUUUCCCUUUGGUCUUAACAUGGAAUUUCUUUUUAAAAUUAGGAACUUAUGAAAGGUGGUUGAUGAUAGAAGAAUACAAGGAUGUUGCUUGAUGGAAUUUGUUGUUAUUUUUACUUGUUAGAAACUGAUGGAAGAUCUCAUAAACACAUUAAGUAAGAAUGCUGACAUGUUGUACACAUCCAUUCAUGCAGGCACAACAGCUCCUCAGCCAUUUUCGGAAUCAGCCAGAAGGAGCAACUGGGAAGGGAAAAUCAUGAAGAUAGACAAUUUUGGUUAUUUCAUAGCCCUUUUUUCUUGCAUUAGUAGUAACUUGUAGCAUUCAUAUUUCUCCAUGUUCCAUUGCUGCCAUGUUGAGGACUUUAGGUCUCCUUUCAUUGCAUUCUUUUCAUUUUUACAUGUUACCAAUUAUGAAGCUUUCAUUUUUCUCCUACUUCCACUUUGUCUCAUUUCUCCCCCUAACUAUUUUCUAUUUUGAUAGUCUACUUUCUGAAAAUAGUCCUCCCUCCCAAGUCAGUGUUAUACAUAUUUGUACAUAUAUACUAGGGAAUCUUGUGGUCUACUAUAAAUUAUUGUAACACUGUUCUAUGAGUUGUCUCAUUCAACCUUGUAUAUAAAUCUAUACUUCAUAGGAACAAGGAUCCUCACUUCUUUCUAGUACUAGGGAGAAUCCUACCUUUUUGCAUACCUUGUACUGUCCAUAGGUUGUGUUGAGAAAUGCCAAAUAUGUUGGAAUGAAAUCUUUUAUGAUAUGUCAUUGUCUUGUCUCUUUCAUAAUGGAGACUAGCCAGCAACUAGAGCACCACGGUUCUAGUAUUCUACACUUAGACAAUAAUAUCAUUAUGCUUCUUUCUCUUUUACCUUUAUUUUUAUUUUUUGAGGGCAUAGGUACCAAAAAAUGUAUUGUGUUCAUUUAUUGGAUACUUUUUAUUUUGAAUUUUACUAAAAUUUGUUUUCUAACAUAAUAAGGAUUUCAAGAAUAAGAAAUGUAGAGUAUACCAAACUUAAUGAAUAAAUGGAAACAAAUAACACAGAGAAAAGGAUAUAUAUCGUUUAUUAAGUUACUAUUUAUUAUUAAUAAAAUAAAAUAGAUUUAAAUUUAUAAAAAAGAGGAUUAAAUUUGUUUUUAGUGGUUGUAAUUUGUAAAUAUAACUUUUUUAGAAUUUAGUCAUUGAAACGGUCUUUCCUCUUGUAAAGGGAAGAUUGUAUAUAUCCUAGAUCACACUAAGUAUGAAACUCGUGUGUGUUGGGAAUUUAUAUUAAAAUUUUAUUUGAUUUUAGUCCUUAAAAAAUAUAUAAAUAAUGUGAAGAACAAUACUGGCCCUGUUAUGACAAAAAAUAAAAGUGAUUUGGCUGAUGGUACUUCAUCUACUCUGAGCGUUUCUCGGACAUGAUUUUAGUAUAUAUAUAUAUAUAUAUACAGAGGAGAGAUCUGUUUACAACCAAGUUAAGUUACAUUUAAUCUCAGUAAUUCAUUUUCUUAAAUCCAACGGACCAAAUAAGUGGUUGCAAUAAAUUAUUUAAUAUUUCUCCUUUUCCCUCUCAUCAUUUAUUGUACUCACCCAGUCACCCAUUUGAAUGGAAAUGGAUCCUUACUGUUGUUACAAGAAAUGAGAGUAAUUAUAUAAAAAUAGAGAAAAAGAUGUAUGUAUUGAGAGUAUAAGAGUUUUUUUUGCAUUAUUAGUGUAUCAUUCACCAGUAAUUUUCAAUCAUCAUUAACUCUUAAAAAAAAUAAUACAAAUAAUAAAUGAUGUAAUAACCGCCUAUAAAUCUUUAUAUUGUUAACUUAUAUAUAUUAAACUCAUAAUUUGGCGCUUGAAGAUGAAAAUAUCAGUUUGAGAGCAAAGAUCCAAUAAAUUGGCUUUAGAUUAGAGAACCGUGGGAUAAGAAUUGAAUGCCCUUAAAAGUUAGAAUUGUACUCCUUUCAGACCUUAAUUAACUGGCACUUAUUGUAAGCAGUAACAAGUUUUAAAGACAAAUAACAACAUAGUAACUAGUCCUCUUUCUGUUCAUUGUUUAAACAAUCACGCUUUCAAUGCCACAACCUGUUGGUUUUAGCAGUAAAAUGGUUCAGUACAAUAGUAAAUAAUGGUUGUUCACCAUACCUAUAAAGGAAGAGUAUAAAUAGUAGCCUCAAACUUCAUAUUGAUUUACCAACCUUUUUAUUUUUUUAGUUUUCUUCUUCUUUCCAUUGAAUUCUCUUGAGAAAUUAUUAUUAGGGAAAUAUUAAUUAUAUUAGUAGACUGGGUAAUGAGUAUUGGUUAAAGAAACUUUUAAUUGGAUAAUGCUGAUUUUAAAUAAAUUAAAAGUUCAAAAUAUGUAAUUUUAAUAUAUUGCUUUUACUUUUGGAUUUCUUAAUCAAUACUCUUAGGGCACUCCUUAAGUGGACUCGUAUUGUUAAAAUUACUUAAGUCAAUUUCUUUUUUAUUUCUUCCAAUUCAUUAAAUUUUUAAAUGGUUGCAAUAUUUUUAUAGUUAGAUACAAGUUAUUUUAUAUUGUUGUUAAAAAACACAUUAGAAAUCAAAUGCAUGUGAUGUAAGUCCUACCUUGAGGAGGAGGAAUGUGCAAAGUAAAAAAUUACAGUAGAAGAUAAAAUUUGUUAGUUAAGAUGUGAUGCGAGAUGACUAUGAAGGGCUUCACAUUAGGAGACGCCUAUUAGGAAUUAAUUAGGCGUAGUAUCGGUGAAGAAUGUGCAAAAUCUAAAUAUAUAAAUAGAUUAACUCAUAAUUCUAAUAUUUUAAUUUAAGGUUUUGUAUUAUGAUGUUAUGUUCAAUUCGUUACUCCUCAUGUGGUUUAAGUUAGAGAAUGAAAUCCCUUAAUAUAUGAUCUUAUGACUAUCAAUUAUGUGAUAAGUUGUCAAUCUCUAUAAUUAAGUCAUUACUAUAAUUAUACUAUAUCAUGUAAUCAAUAAUAUUUGUAAUUGUAAUUAUUAUAGGAUUAUUGUCAUGAUGACUAGCAUGAUUAUAGGAUUAGAAUCACUAGUCAUUGUUGUAUAUAUACUCAUGUAUUCAUUUAUGAAAAUGAUCACCUGAUCAUACUUUCUAACUUGGUAUUAGAGUAUUUAAAUCUUGAUCCAAAACAAAUCAUGUCAUUGGCUGCCAACUCAAAUCACAAAAAUGAUCUACCAUCCACUGCAUCUGUCAAAUUGGACAGAGACAACUAUCCACUAUGAAAAUCACUAGUGUUGCCUAUAACCAGAAGUGUCAGGAUAGAUGGUUACAUGUUAGGAAACAAGGAGUGUCCUGGAGAAUUCAUCAUUGUUGCAUAUUAAAGCAAAAGGUCCAAUCCUGAUUUUUGAAAAUUAACAAGCAUAUGAUCAACAACUCCUUGGUUGGUUGAUGAACUCAAUGACUACUGACAUAACAACACAAUUAUUGCAUUGUGAAAUCUCAAAACAACUUUAGAUGAAGCUUAAAGUCUAGUUGGUACUCAUACAAGGUCACAAAUUACUUAUCUCAAAUAUGAAUUCCUUAGCACCAGAAAAAGAGGAAUGUAAAUGGAAGAUUACCUGAUCAAAAUGAAGAAUUUGGCUGAUAAGCUAAAGCUUGCAGGUAAUCCAAUCUCAAAUUCUGAUCUCAUCAUCCCGACUCUAAAUGGAUUGGAUUCUAAAUAUAAUUUUGUAGUUGUCAAACUAUCUGACCAAACUAUACUCAGUUGGGUCGAUGUACAAGCUCAAUUGCCAACCUUUGAAAAUAGAAUUGAGCAACUAUACAACCUCACCCUCAAUGCAAUAAUAUAUGUUGCUAACAAAACUGACUACAAAGGUAACAAGUUUACCUCAAACAACAACUAGAAAGGUUCAAACUUUAGAGGUUGGAGAUGAGGCAGAGAAAGAUAUAGAACAUCCAAGUCAACAUGUCAGGUUUGUAGUAAAAUUGGACAUACAACAAUGCAAUGCUACUACAGGUUUGAUAAAGUCUACUCAAGCUCUAAUCAUUCAACAAUGACAAGCAAGGAGCCCACAAUGCCUUCAUGGCUUCUCAAAACUCAGUCCAAGAUUAUGACUAGUAUUUUAACAUUGGUGCAAACAAUCAUGUGUCACACUAUAAUGAUAAGUUCCAAGAUCUGACUAAACAUCAUGGUAAGAAUUCUCUAGUAGUUGGAAAUGGUGAAAAAUUAAAGAUUGUUGGUACAAGUUCUUCAAAACUGAAUUCACUCAACUAACAUGAUGUUUAUGUGCCUAAUAUUACCAAAAACCUAUUGAGUAUGUCUAAGUUGGUUGUUGAUAAUAAUAUCUUUGUUGAAUUUGAUGCAAAUUCUUUCUUUGUGAAUGACAAACUGACUAUGAAGGCAAUUUUAAAAGGGACACUUAAGAAUGGUCUGUAUAAGCUCUCAGGAAUUAAACACGAACCAAAAGCUUAUGUAUCAAUGAAGGACAAGCUGACAAGGAAGGCAAUUUUAAAAGGGACACUUAAGAAUGGUCUGUAUCAACUCUCAGGAAUUCAAUAGGACCCAAGUGCUUAUGUAUAUGUUAAGAAGAACUAACAUAGGAAACUUGGCCAUCCAAAUUAUUAAGUCUUAGACAAAGUAUUGAAAGUUGUAAUGUGAAACUAUCACCUAAUGAUCAUUUUAGCUUUUGUGAGUCUUGUCAAUAUGGUAAGAUGAACCUUUUACCUUUUAAAUCAUCUUCAUCUCAUGCUCAAGAAAUCCUUGAGUUAGUUCAUACUAAUGUAUGGGGUCCUGCACCAAUAAUAUCAUCAUAUAGUUUUAGAUAUUAUGUUCAUUUCGUUGAUGAUUUCACUAGAUUUACAUGAAUUUAUCCUUUAAAAUACAAUUAAGAUAUUGCACAUGUCUUCAUUCAAUUCAAAAACAUGGUAGAAAAUCAGUUCAACAAGAGGAUUAAAACAAUUCAGUGAUGGUGAUGGUGAAUAUAAAGUUGUUUAGAAAUAUGUCAUAGAAACAUGAAUGCAAUUCAGAAUAUCAGCCCAUACACAUCAGAACAAAAUGGUAGGGCUGAAUGAAAACAUAGGCACAUUGCAGAACUUGGAUUGACACUAUUGGCACAAGCCAAAAUGCCUCUAAAUUACUGGUGGGAAGCAUUCUCCACUUCUGUAACGCACCGAAAAUCAUUUCAUAAUUACUAUAUUUAAUCUCUUGGAAAAAUGGGUAAUUUUUUUUUAUGUAACAUAUAACUUACAAAUCAUUAUUUUUCCAUUUUAUCAAUUCUCUUUUAAGACGUCAUAUUUUCAAACUUUUGCAGAAAUAAUUUCUUAACACUUAAAAUAUAAUUGAACGAAACACAAUUCUUUUAUGAAUACUUCUCAUUAAUCAAUUCUUGAAUUUGUAAUACGGACAUCAUGGUUUGCAAAAUACAAGGCUGAGUCUAUUCUUCACUCCUAACAUAGACUAAAAAUACAAAUAAAAAUAAAAUAAUGUCGAGGGCGUUGGCAUUAAAAAAGUACCCUACACAAGUUCACUAUCAAAAGAAAGAAAGGAGCUUCUAGACCAGUAGUGCACUAGAAACCUCACUCGGGUCUUCCUCAAUCUCCGAGUCUGAAGAGAUCUCUAUAACCUCCACCGAAUCCUUUAUGCAAAUUAACUCUACACAUUCAUCGUCCUCGUCCUCCACCACCUCAUCUGCUGCCCAAUCCAUCAAAGGGUCCGGGGUGUACCCCUUAGGCUCCGAUGAAGUAGCCAUGCCUGCCCCUUCCUUCCCUCUUAGCGUUGAAUCAGUAGAUGAGAAUCCCAAUUAGAGCUAGAUCCUGAAAACCUUCGAUCUGCCUCGUGCCUCAACUGGUGCGGAUGGACCAAUAGGUAUGGACCUUCACUCUGGUAUGGUGAAUGAUGCUUCCCGAACUGCGUAAUGUGCCGGGAGAUGCAACAUAGAGCCAUCACAUAUGAGAUCCAAUUCCAGACCGUAGGGACCAAUGUAGGUGUAUCUGUUUCCUUCAAUGUUCCAUGCCCACUCCUAGGACAUGGUAAAGCGGUAGCCCCUAAUAAUCGUCGAUCUGUCCAUCUAAACAUGGAUGUAUACGAGUACACCAGAAAGAAAAAAAGGGAGUAAAACAUCUAAUGAAAAAAUUAUCAUUGACAUCGUGGAAUUUCACAGAAUAUCACCCCAAGACAAAGAACAAGUACAAAUAUAUCAUACGAUCAUACACACAUGUAUUAAUGAUGAGUGCAGUAUAAAACUUAUAAUUUUAUGAUCAAUAUCGAUAAAUACCAUGAAUGCAUGCUAUGCAUAUGUCCACCAUCCUUAUACCAUUAUCCUCCCAAUAACUAUUCGGAAAUAACCGAGAGUACAAGUCCCAUAACAAGCCGAUUUGAUCGCAACAAAACUUAUUCAUCGCAAGGAUAUAUAUGAUCGAUUUGUUCCAAUGAAACUGUCCAUUUCAGGACGGUGUUGUAUCAAACACUUUCUGGUAGGGGUGGCAAUAUGGGCUUGGCCCGACGGGCUAGCCCGUUCGGAUGGCUAUUUUUAGCGGGCCGGGCUAGGGCUUUUAGCCCAAAAACCCAUAUUCAGCCCGUUUUAGUAGCCCGUUUUUUAGACGGGCCGGGCCGGGCCGGGCUGGCCUGACUGGCCCGACGGGCCAUUGUUAAAAAAUAAAAAAACUAAAGUGUGUGACACUGUGCUGUGCGUGGGGCGUGACAACUGGUUUCUUCUUUAGAAUUUACAAGUUUUAAGCUAAGAUGUUAUGUUGUUAUUGUAAUAUUGUAGACUUAUGUUUGUGAUUUUUUGUUUUAAAAUACAUCUAUCAAGUUUGUUGAUUAUUUUUUGUCUAAAAGUUUUAAUUAUGUACAUUUUGGAGGGGAAAACGGGCCAGCCCGUCGGCCUGCCAGCCCUGCAAAAUAUAGGUCGGGCUGGCAUUUUGAGCCCUUUUGACAAUACGGGCCAGGCCGGGCCAGCCCUUAUUUUGGCAGGCCAAAGGCGGGCUGGGCCGGGCCGGCCCACAUUUCCACCCCUACUUUCUGGGCAUCUCUCUUAUCGAUCCUGAUUGCAAAGAGGGGUUAUCAGAGAUCGUCUAGUUUGCACUGUGAGCACUGUCCUAUCCAACAGAAUAUCUCAUCCAAGAAUACACGGGACUCGUCUCAACUCUCCUUCAAGACUUUGCUGACGAAUCACCACCAUCACCAUCCCUCUCAACAUCUCGGGGCUCGUUCGUCUCCCUUAAAUUUUCUCUCCACUACUUCAUUAUUCAUAAUGAAUAUGCACACUAACCGAAGUUAUCAAAUUAAAUCUUUUAAUCUAUUUUUGUAUACCGAUCUGUCCAUCCUAAGACAUCUCCUAUCAGAAUGCUUCUAGUGGGACCCGAUCUUAACAUUUAAACCACAGAGAAUAAACCUCAGCACCACUAUGAACCAUCGCUGAAUCACCCUGGACGGCUCUUAAGCCAAGCCUCUUACAGUCAGACGAUCUCACUACAUGGGUAUAUAAUAUUUCUCAGCACCACUACGAACCAUUGCUGAAUCACCUUGAACGGCUCUCAAGCCAAGCCUCUUAUGGUCAGACGAUCUCGCUGUGUGGGCAUAAUAUAACACUUGCGGGCCUCAUCCUUAACCAUGCAAUUCUUUACAUACAUCACUUUAGAUAUGACAACUCUUCUUUGUAUCAUUUCCAAGUAUUUCAUAUAAUUAUUCAUCUUUACAACAUAUACUUAUUGAAAGAACAUUAUCUUUAAUAAAUAUGUUUUAGGUUUUAUUGAAUAUGAUUGGAAGUGAAUGAAUUCUUGAUGGCAAAAAUGCCAUUAGACUCUCGCACAUGUGAGAGUUACCGUUCAGACGACUUAAGAAGUCUUGUGUGUAUGGAGCCCUCUCGCUCAAGCGAGAGCUGUCUUGCUCAAACGAGGAAAUCACCAUUUUCAUAAGGCACAUGUGGCUCAAGCGACAGCUAUCUCGCUUAAGCAAGAAAACAACCAGUUUUCUUUGUGCAUAUUUCAGCUCAAGCGAGAGCUGGCUCGCCCAAGGGAGAAAACCCGUUUUAUCUGGACACUUCUCGCUCAAGCAAGAAAAACUUGAAACUUAGUUAAAUUUCUUUUCUCAAUGAAAAGUUUUCUCAUUUAUAACACAUGUUUUUAAGUCUUGAAUUUAACAAUUAUCUCAUACAUAUAAUUCUUAGAACAGUUAUUCGAACAAUAUUAAACAUGAAUAAUCAUACAUAAACAUAACCUAACAUAAUUCGGCAUGAGAAACACUGUUGUACUUAAUCCAAACAAAACAGACAAUUGAUUAAGUAUAAGCAUUCUUAAUACCCAAGACAACUCCAAACUUGUGAGGGAGUUUGGACGUCCUGAAGCAUAUUCGGACACCACUGUGUCACAAUGUUUUUUCCCUCACCUGAGUGUGUCGUGCAAAUUGUUUCCUCGAUUCCAGGUGAGCUUAAU
This 92600-nucleotide long non-coding RNA is filed under the name Lupinus angustifolius (narrow-leaved blue lupine). RNAcentral's name for it is "long non-coding RNA (LANG_LNC002923)". The record is from RNAcentral. Lineage: Eukaryota; Viridiplantae; Streptophyta; Magnoliopsida; Fabales; Fabaceae.